UUCUUUUCGUGCAAAAAUUAUAUUCACGUUUUUUUUAACUUCUCAUUAAUGCAUUUUCAUUGCCAGGGUUUCUGCGUUUUCAAUAAAAAAUCUAGUGAAGAAACUGGAAAAUGUUGGAGGAAACGCUAAUGCAUAAUACGUACAACCUAAUAAACAAGUUGUUGGAGCGUACGGCUAUAGCAAUUUGUUUAUGGUCAUCUGUGCUUCUGUAUACUAUUAGUAAAUCUAUUUUGCAAUGAACCCAAAUAAUCAAAUUGUCCCGUGGCACUUACGGUCCAUGGAUCUAAUAAUUUUUGCUUCUUUUUAUUUAUUUAUUUAUUGCAUAUCAUAACCUGUCAGUCUCAUAAUAUUGUCCAACAAGAUUGCCUUUUUGAAAAAUUUCACAUAAAUCGGACACGGAUGAUUAUGUUAUCCUUUAAUUUUUCUAACGAAUAUAAUUUUCACUGUCAUUUUGUGUUUUGGAUAGGUGGAAUGACAGUGACCUGACUGAAAAAUAUGUUAUCUGGACGACGAACGACCAAGUCAAGGUCUUUUAAGUGUACAGUCCAACUCCUUUUAAAUAGCAAUUGAAUUCUGCACUUUAAGCAAUAAGUUACUCGGCCAAAUUUGCAGAAAUAUUUCAAAGUUUAAUUCUUCACUUGGAUUUUUCAUUGCUGAUCAUGUAAGUUAGUUGUUAUUAUUAUUAUUAUUUUUUCACCAAGGUAACUCUUGUGCUUACACUUUUCGCGGAGCUAGUUCUAUUUUCUUAAUGUUCUAAUUUUCAAUGAAUGUAUUUGGACAAAGCCACGAACUUGUCUUUUAGAGGACUUAAAUUGUAUUAAUAUUGCUGAUAUAUUCCUUAUAAAUAAAAAAGAGCAAACAAAGUUCUUAUAAAAAACGCAAGGAUAGCAGACAGUGAUUUUAAUUUUUUUUUGUUGAUGUUAUCUCUAUUUUAAUAAUAGAUGAUUGAUUGAUUCAAUCUUCUUCUUGUCCAUAAUUAAAAUAACUACUUUCUACUUCCUAAACGAAUCUCUAAUCUGUCGAAAUGACUUUAUACACAUUUGUAGAAAUCAAUAUCUUGAUUAUUUGGUUGUCAAGUGUAUAUAAGUUAUACCGUCUGUUAGUUUUUUUUAAUUGGCAUGUUUGAUAUUUUUCAACCAAAAUUCCCCUUGAUUGGGAAAAUAAACCAUUUCCUGCUCAUGUUUUUUAAUCCUACUCCAAAAUUCUCAUCUUAUUUGGUGAAAAUUUUAUUUUUGGGAUUUAUACGUGCAACCUAAUCAAGAAGUUGUUGGAAUGUGCUUGUGUAUUAUUUUAAUAAAUCUAUUUUGCAAUAAACCCAAAUAGUCAAAUUCUUAAUUCUCCCGUGCUAUAUAUAUGGUCUGUGGAUAUAUUAAUGUUUGCUUCUUUUAAUUAAUUUAUUUAUCUUUUGCAUAUCAUAACCUCUCAGAUUACUGUCUAACAAGAUUGCCUUUAAGUUUGAAAUUUUUCACAUAAAUUGGACGCGGGUGAUUAUGGUGUCCUUUCAUUUUCUGACGAAUUAAUUUUCACUGUCAAUUUGUAGUUUGGCUAGCUGGAAUGACAGUGGCCUGACUGAAAAAUAUGUUAUCUGGACAAAGCCAUGAACUAGUCUUUUAAAGGACUUAAACUUGUAUUAAUAUUGCUGAUAAAUUCCCUAUAAAUCAAAAGAGCAAACAAAGUUCUUAUAAAAACUGCAAGGAUAGCAGACAGUGAUUUAUUUAUUUAUUUUUUGAUGUUAUCUCAAUUUUAAUAAUAGAUGAUUGAUUGAUUCAAUCUUCUUCUUGUCCAUAAUUAAGAUACCUACUUUCUACUUCCUAAAAAAAUCACUAAUCUGUCGAAAUAAGUUUAUACACAUUUGUAGAAAUCAAUAUCUUGGGAUUGUUGCUUGUUAAUUAUAUGUAAGUUAUACCAUUUGUAUGUUUUUUUUAAUCUGCUCGGCAUGUUUGAUAUUUUUCAACCGAAAUCCCCCUUGAUUGGGAAAAUGAACAAUUUCCUGCUCAUAUUUUGAAAUCCUACUCCAAAAUUCUCAUUUUAUUUGGUGAAAAUUUUCUUGAUGUUGAUAAACUUAUGUUAACUGUCAACUAAUGUUAAAUUAAGUCAAUUUGUUUUUCAACUAUCAGAUUUGGUAAUUUUCCCCUUUUUCCAGUGUAUGCAAAUCCACGACAACCACCCUACGCCUCCUUCCCUUAUUUUUCAAGGAAGUAUGUGAUUUUUUAAACUGGGUUUUGAUUGCUGGCAACUGUAAUAUGUUGGACUUCCGUAAUUGGCUUGUUUGUACUGUACAGAUAUAUAUGUAUUAAAAAAAAAAGGAAAAAAAAUGACAAAACCUUAACUUGCGUUUCGAUCAUAUCAGGUCUCAGGAUCCAGAAGCAGGUUCAAAAGAUAAACGAUAUUCUAAAGUGUAUGGUACUGGAACGACGUCGGCCGAUAAAGAACAACCUACAUGCUUAGGUUGCGUUAAAAAUCUUCUAGGUGUCAUACUUCUUUGUGUGGCGCUAUUAUGCUUUAUAAUAUUUGGUGGGACAAUAAUGCUAGUACUUUAUUACCUGUUGAUUACAAUGAUUGUGUUAUAUCAUGAAACCGGUAAAGCGAUAGCGAGAGCAAUACUCAGGAUUAAAACAAUCAAGGAUAAAGAAUAUAUUGAUGGUCUAAUGAAUGUGACUGCAAUGAUCCUUGAUGUGACUGCAAUCAUCCUUGAUCCUUUAUUCUUCUACAUUCUGGUGCUGGAUGAUGAAAAGAAAUGCAUUCACUGGGACAAAACCUUGGGGAUUACAGCUACCGUCAUCCGUUCCGUCCUCGAUUUCCUUAAGCUAGGCCAUUUUAUCUCUCACUCUAAGCUGCAUAUGGCAAAGGGGAACCAAAGAGAAAAAUUUAAGUAUUUGUGGGGGCAGUUAAAAAUUUUCAAGGUGUAAUUUACUUUCGCUAACUAGUUGUUUCUUCAACUUCCAUAAUUUAUAUAAAUAUAGUCUCCGUUAUCUUCUUUGCUCCCUACGAAGUAUUUGCUUUUUUUUUUUUUUUUGCCUUAAAAGGGAGAAGGAGAAGUACCUGAAGAUCCAAUGGGACGAAUGCGGAAGCUCUUCCUCAUUGACUGUUUGGCCAUCCUUCCCAUCCCCCAGGUAAAGGCACUAUCUAAUUUACAAUUACGUAAAUUCUGUUUAUUGACAUAUUAUGUAGUUCAAUCCUUCCCAUCCCCCAUGUGCAUAUCGUAAUAGUCUGCUUGAUUCCUGUCAUAUGUACAUCACAAAGUGGUUUUGAUUGUGAUAAAGAUAGAUCUUCAUACGAUUCAUGUCAAGGAUAAUGAUUUCAAUGUCAUUUUUCCCUUUACUUUGAUUAAAGUUGUAUUUAGACAUACAACCCUAAAUGUUUUGCAUGGAUAUUAGGGGUGGCAAUUUUCGCUAGUGAGUAGUGUUAAAUUUCAGCUAUGGGAAUUCGAUACUUUAUUAAUCUUGUUAAUAAUUUCAAACACCAACUCCACCUGUCUAUUAAUAAUUAUGUCACAUGCUUAAUAUGCUUUGAAAGUAUAUUUUUAAAUUUGACUUGUUUACAAGUUUUUAAGAUAUUUGUUUAAUUAAGAUAUUUAUAGUACUGCCUCUCAAAUUCAAAUCAAUUCUAGUCUUAAUAUAACUAGAUAAUUUUGAAAUAUAUACAAAUAGAAAGUAGUUCAAUUGUAUCCAAAAUCUAGUCGUACAACCAUUAUUGAUCAAAUAGUUAAUUAUGUCAUAAUUAAAUAGGCUCACGUGACAGUAACUUAAAACCUGAAGAAGUGAAGAGAACAAAAAAUAUUUGUGUUCCUUUUCACCAACGCGAACAAACUAUUAUUUUCAUGCCAUUGGAAUCAGUUUCGCAGGUCAUUUCAAAAUUUGUCAUCCCAGCUAUACCAUCAUUUUGCACAAAAAUAAAUAAUCAAUUUUGUUCAUAUUCAAUAUCCUUCAAAAUAUUUAUUUCCAUUAUUCCAUAUCAACUAAUAGGACAAACCGUCCAGGUUUUGGUGAUUUUUGGAAUAAGAGGCCCAGGAUUUUCGACGGCAAUGACCUUCUUUAUUUUACAAUAUUCGCUAAGGGUUAUUCGAACGUACUUUCUCUUCACACAUGCUACACGGGUUUCAGGGAUACUUGCCGAUGCUACAUGGGCCAUUUUUGCCUUCUAUCUUCUUCUUUAUCUGCAAAGCGGUCAUGUAAGUUCAAAGUAUCAUCAUUUUACCGAAAUAUUUUUUGGGAAAUUACAAUUUUUCCACCAUAUAGAUCGCCAAAUUAAAGGCCAAAAACAUUACAAAAUUUUGAAAUUUACAUUUUUAUUCAAGAAGUUUCCACAAACACCUAUUUAUAUUAAUUUUUUUGGAAUCAGAAAAGCAUGAACUACGAUAUUCAGUAUUUUGUAAUUUAGAAAAGCAUAUUCUAAUAAAACUAGAAUUUUAGCAACGCCCAGUUAUUACACAUAUAUACGCACAGUCAGUUAGCUUUUUUUUAUGUAAAUUUUAGAUAUUGGAAUUGUCGAUGUAUGAUUUUCCCUCUACUCUGCAAAUUAAUUUUUCUGCUAAGCUAUCUUUCAGAUGUUUGGAGCCUUAUGGUACUAUAAUGCCAUAGAAAAAGUGACUGAAUGCUGGAGGGAAGCCUGCAAAAAUCAUACCGGAUGCAGCGGUCAUAGUUAUUUUUCCUGUAAUAAAAGUUCCAGAGACUACAAUUUUCUAAAUGAUUUUUGCCGUAUAAGUACAGGAAGUACUACCAGCUAUAGUUUUGGAAUAUAUAAUGAUGCUCUUCAGUCUGGUAUUGUGGGGGAGACAGAUUUUCCUAAGAAAUUGAUACGUUGUCUACGAUGGGGCCUGCAAAAUCUCAGGUUUGCUGUUUUUUAUAUGGCUUGGAUAAUGAUUAUUGUGCAUGUGAUCAGGUCCGUUACAGGUUCUCUUAGUCCGGUGCAGGUUUAUUUUGUAGUUCUUUUCGCAUCCAUGUAUUUUUUUUUUCCCCAAUUCUCUUUUAUUCUUUUCUUUGUAGCUUUAUGCAUAUUGUAAGGGCUAAAUUUUAUUAAAACCCACUAAUUAGCCAAUGCAGACCAAGACAUUUUAUUGAAAGGGGCUACAUCUAAUAAUACCAACAAUAUACAUAACAUAAGGGAUUAAUUAAGUUUAAAUGAUAAAAUUAAGUAAUUUCAUAAUUUUUAUUAAAUUAAGAUGACAUGUGAAAGUAAAUGAGGGAUAUUUUUAUUAUUUUUGAAAGGUUUAACAAGGAGAUUAAAAAUACUGUUUAAUUUUUUUAUAAAUUCAGAAUAAUUGAGGGGUAUGUUUUUAGGGGUUUAUUUCAAACGAACUCUUUUAUUCAGCUCAAAUAUUAAAAAAAUCAUUGGGGGUUUAACUAAUAUUUUCUGCUAAGGUCUCGAAUGAAAUUUCAGAGGGGUUAUAUGAAACAUUUCUUUUCUAUCGGCUGGUCAUUAGGUAAGUUCAAUCUUGUUUAUUCUCAUAAAAAGAGUACGAAUGUUUGGGCCACGCACAUUAUUUAAAUAUGUAAUUAUGGGCUUUAGUUAGCUUACAUUAUUAUGUAAGUUUUAUAAUUUUUUUAUCUAAUGGUUGUGGGAAUAAUGUGAUUUUAUUACUUCAUAUUUUCAUAACUAUUGAAUUUUCAUCAAAUGACUAUGAAAAAAUUAUACAAUUUACGUAAUAAUGUAAGGUAACAAGCUCCCGCAAGUAUGUAAUACUUAUGAAAUGUAUUGAACUUUUUGCAGUGCAUUUGGUCAGAACCUCGAAUCAAGUAACGAUGUCGGGGAAAAUAUCUUUGCAAUUUGCAUGACCAACUACGGCGUAGUUCUGUUUGUCUUUUUAAUUGGAAGGAUGCAGGUAACAUACAUUUUCUGUUUCUUCUCGAUUUCUCAAUUAACUCUCUCCUCGAGCUCUUAAUUACCUUUGAUCCUUUUAAAUCUUGGAACACGAUAUACAUAAGUUUUAAUUAGAUUUGAAAACACACAAGUUAAUUAUUUAGGUCAAAUUAAUUAAUGGCUAGAUGUACAGACUGAAAUUGCAAGGUCACAGAAGAUAAACCAGAAGUGGCAGGUGAUCAGGCAGUCGAAACACUAUGCGGAUAUCUCUCGUGAUCAAAAUGUCCGAGGGCAGUUCAAGAAAGCCAAGCGUGAAAAAUUGGCAAACAAACAUGUUGAUGUUCGCAUAGAUAGUUUUAUAAGCGAUCUCUCCCUCGACGCUGAAAAACAAGUAAAACGCCAUAUGGGCCGAAAACUGCUCAGAAAAGUGAGUUUCUAUUUCUCUGGAUAAUAAUAAUCCUUAGCUACGUACCUGCCUCUUAUUAAUUAGUUAUUCAUCAGAAGAUGUCGAAGGGGGAAUUUUGUUAGAAUUUUUUUGUGUUGACGUCUUAUAGCAACAUCUAGAAUGAUUCUUCAUUGUAUGUCCUUGAUUGUUAGAAAAUUAAUGGCAAAUGAAUUAGUAAAUAUGAACCAUAUAGGAGCAACAAUACAUAUAAUGACACAAAAUUUUUGAAUGCUGUCAAGAGGGCACCGAAUACGAAAGCAUUUUUAUCUUAUUAUCAUUUUCUUCUUAGUAAACGAUAAUUAAGGAAAAGAGUAAUGACAAAGAGUACUGAUCUGGUCCAAGAUUUUGAAUCUUAUUAAAGUUUGAGAAAAUUAUUAAGUUAUAAGGUCUAAUAGUAUAACACCAUUACACUCUUAAACAUAAGUUUUCACAAGUACGCAGUAGAUGGUGAGAUAAUGUGUAAUUAAUAGUGUAAUUGAGUAAUGAUGCUUCUUGAUGAGCCAUCAUCAAAUGGGUGAUUUUGACAAAAGUUAUAGAAUUUAUGUAUUUCAAUAUUCUAUAACUUUAUAAUCGUUGUAUAUAUUUGUAUUGACUCUGAUUCUCCUUUAUCAAGGUAGAAGAAUUACUUAAUGUAUUUCAAUAUUCUAUAACUUUAUAAUCGUUGUAUAUAUUUGUACUGACUCUGAUUCUCAUAUAUCAAGGUAGAAGAAUUUCAAAAUUGGGAUGAGUUCUAUUUGGACUAUCUGUUUGGUUGUCUGAAGCCAGUCGUCUUUAGUGAAAGGACUGUAAUUAUUCAGGAGGGAGAUCCAAUUAAUGUGAUGACCUUUGUGUUGCAAGGCAAGACUUGGGCCUACUCCAACAGCUUGCCGAUCACUAGACAGAGACAUCAAGAAGAUUGUGAUGUUCGCCGAAAAGAACUCAUAGACUGGGCUAAGAAUGAAAACUCGUACCAGCAGCUCCCUAUCUCAGACAGAACCAUUCGAGCACUUACCGACGUUGAAGCCUUUACUCUUAAGGCUGAUGACGUGAAAUGUGCAUUACUUUUCCGUCUUGUUUCCAAAGAGGCAGCAACUCUCAUACAAUCAUUCUGGCGUUUCAGGAAGCACAAACAUGCAACGCCAAGAACAUGCAUGGUCGGCUGUUUCAGGACACAGGACAAAGUUGUACUGCAUUAGAUUAACUAUUUGGGAUUGGACUUGAAGUAUUUAUUACACUAAUAUAUCUGUUAUUUAUGUUUGGUGUUUCUGUUUAGGUAUCAGAAAUAAACUACUUCUGUUGAGUGACAUAGUAGACUAAGGGUGUUCAUAAUCCAAUUCGAUCCGCUUAAUCCGUCCGAUCCGCUCAAUUCGAUCCGUAUAAAUCCAAUCCGUGGAUUGGAUAUGGAUUGAAAAUUUAAAAAUCUGCAGUCGAUGGAUUGGAUAUGGAUUUACUUCUGUAAAUCCGCAGAAAUCCGUGAAUCCGUAAAAAAAAAAAAAAAAAAAAAAAAAAAAAAAAAUAUAUAUAUAUAUAUAUAUAUAUAUAUAUAUAUAAUUAAAAAAUUAUUAUAAAUUUAAUUAAAAAAAUUAUAAAUGUGACAUUACAUAGUUACAUAAGCACUAUAACAUAUUUUAGCCAUUACCCAAUAAUAAUAAAAAAUAAAAAAUAAUUAAAUAAUCAAAUAUACAAAUAUAACUUGUAAAAAUUGUAAAACAAAAUAAAAGCAAAGUCACACGCACUAGCAAAAGCAAAGUCACACGCACUACCAAAGCAAAGUAACAUAACGCCAAAUCACCAACAAUUUGCAAAGUCACCCAAAAGCAAAGUAACAUGAUGCCAAGUCACCAACAAUCUGCAAACCCUAAGCUUUCCCGCCGUCACACACACUAGCAACACUCAAUACUGAUUGGAUACACUCUCGACACGGAUUUGAAGGACAUCGGCCGCGCGAUUCCAGCGAGAGCAAGCCAUCUUCUUUCCCAAGUCCAUCGAGCCACUUCACAUUCAUUGGUUCCAGCUGAACAAUUUCACUAUCACAACCUUCAAGAUCGCCACCCGUAGGGCUUCUCCUGGUUCCCAUCGUGGACGGCUCCGUAAUCACCACUUUUCGACAGGCGCAACAGCCCUGGUGAAGGAUCAGACUGUAUUUGGUUUCCGAAACUUCGCCAUUUCAAUUAAUUGUGACUUUAUUUGAACAAUUAAUUAAUUUCGGUGUUAUGUUAACAUAUUAUUGUAACUUUAUUUGAACAAUUAAGCUUAGUGUGUUAUAUUUUGAAACUUUGAACGUAUUAUUGUAGCUUUGUUUGAAUAAUUAAUCUCGAUGUGUUAUAUUUUGAAACUUUAAAUGUAUUAUUUUAGCUUUAUUUAAAUAAUUAAUUUAUUUAAAUUUUAUUCAAUUUUAAAUUUAAUUGGUAGCAAAAUUAUUUUUAUUUUAGAUUUUUUUUAUUUCAUUAGUUGGAGAGAACUAAAAAUUUUUAAUUCAAAAACUAAUGCGUAAAAUGGUGGAUUGGAUAUAGAUUAAGUCAAAUCCGUAUCCGAUCCGCAGACGUAUGGAUUGGAUAUGGAUUGAGUCAAAUCCACAUCCAAUCUGUAGAUGUAUGGAUUGGAUUUGGAUUGAAUUUUAUCAAUCCAUGAAUUAGAUUGGAUUGAAAAAUUAUAAUCCGCAAAAUCAUGAAUCAGAUAUGGAUUGAUGUCCAAUCCGUAAAAUCCGAUCCGCGAACACUCCUAUAGUAGACUAUAAUUAUCUGGUACAUGGUUUUGGAUGAAAAUAGUGUAAGGGAAAAUAUCCACCGUCCACCCAUUUUUUACACCUUUUUUAAAAAUACACAAUUCCUUCAUUUUUUGGCUGGAAUCCACCUAAAGUUACAUUUUGUUUCAUUUUUCCACUUCCGUUUAAAAUCCGUUAACAAAACUAACGGAAACUUAAAAAAAUGACCAUUUUACCCCCAAAAUGAAAAUUACAAUUUCACUAUAAAAAUGCCAAAAAAAAAACCUGCAUAUGAUGGUUGUGGAAUUAAUUUCUUUAUUGACCAAUGGGAAAAAUAAUUAGAUUUAAUCUGAUUAUUUUUUGUAAUUUUUAAGGCGAAAUUAUAAUUUUCGUUUUGGGGGUAAAAUGGUCAUUUUUUUAAGUUUCCGUUAGUUUUGUUAACGGAUUUUAAACGGAAGUGGAAAAGUGAAACAAAAUGUAACUUUAGGUGGAUUCCAGCCACAAAAUGAAAGAAUUGUGUAUUUUUGAAAAAUGUGUAAAAAACGGGUGGACGGUGGAUAUUUUCCCAUAGUGUAAAUAGCAAUAGAACAACCCAUAGAUCACAGUCUAGGGAAUGAACAAAUGCACAAUUCCAGUCAAGUGAAUAAUCACAGGAUAUUUUCAUCAACUUUUAAUAAAUAUAAAAAUGAAAACUACGCAGAGAAUAUUCUUAAACACAAGUACUAUGACUGUGAUUAUCAAUAUUAAGCAAUCAACCUCGUACAAUCAUCAACUUGUGAUAAACUAUUCAUGCCAGUAACAUGACUAUCUUAUUAAUUUCAGUUCACUGCAAAGUGAAAAAAAAUUAAUCACAUCCUCUUCGACUAAAAUUGAAGUUAAUUCUUGGCUCCCUUCAACAAAUUUUCUUUUCUAGUACUCUACUAUUCACGUUCAUCUCAUAAAAGAUAUGUAGAGAUUGUCAAGUUAUGUAAUCAACUUGAGCAACAUCUUCCCAAGAUUACUGGAUUAGAUUUACAAGAUGAAUUAAAGAUGAUCUGAACUUACAAUGAUUUUAAACAACUCAAUAUCACAACGAACCAACAGUAAGCAAUUAAAGAAACUAAAAGAAACCCAAGAAUUAACUCAGACACAGCAAGUUACGUGGUUCAGUCAAUUCAUCAUUGACUUACAUCCACGGAGGAACAAAUUGACCAGCUUUAUUGAUUGAACCAAGUCUCUUUUACAACCAGAUUUACAGAGCCCUAAUCAAGGAACAAGAACACUAUGUUUACACAAGCUCUCUCUCUCCUGAAUCCUCUGAAAUCCUCUCGGUUUGUUACACCAGAAUUAGCUUCAGCUUCUGUGUUUAUAACAACCCAGAAGCAGCCCAAGCUGAGCACGUGAGCAGCAGAUGUCUUUAACGGCUUUUAACAGCCUUCUUACGUCAUUAAAAACUCACGCGCAUUGCUCGUCAUUAUUAUAACCCAAAGCGCUAGAGUCUUAUGUCGUUUCUCAAAGAGGUAUUAAGAUAUCCUGAAACGUAGAUUGCUGUGCCGUUUUCCUUUUGACAUCAAAUGCCAAAACGCAGAGCUUCCUGUCAUCUCCUUAAAUCUCUUUUUGAUUUGUUUCAUUCUGGUCCAACAUAACUCCACCUUGAAGCAAAUCAACCCUGAUCUAAUUUUCUCCUCGUCCCUCUGUAUAAUUAGAGGCUAUCAACACCAGCCAUGUUCAAGCAAGCUUUGAACUUGGCUGUAGGAACAACUUUAGUAAGUAUGUCUGCUGGGUUAUCAUCUGUGUGAACCUUUACCAUCUUGAUUACUCCUUUUGACACUUCAUUUAUGAUAAAGUGUAGUUUGACAUCAAUAUGUUUGGUUCUUUUAUGAUGAGCUGGGUUUUUGCUUAGGUAGAUGGCACUUGAGCUAUCACAGUGGACUUCAACUGUUUUCUGACUCAUCCCCAACUCUUCGAUCAUCCCUUUGAGCCAUAAAGCUUCUUUGACAGCUUCUAUGGCUGCUGUGUAUUCAGCUUCUGUUGUUGAUAGAGCAACAACAUGUUGGAGACUUGCCUUCCAGCUGAUGAUGCAUCCAUUGAGCAUAAACAAGUACCUUGUUAAUGAUCUUUUUCUGUCAUUGUCUCCAGCAAAGUCUGAGUCUACAUAACCCCAUAGGCCACUAUUUCUCCCUUCUGAUCUUCCAUACAGCAGUCCAAGUUUCUCAGUACCAUUCAGAUACCUUAGUAUCCACUUAACUGCUUGCCAAUGCUCAUUCCCAGGUGUUGCCAUAUACCUACUAACAAUGCUUAUAGCAUAAGAAAUAUCAGGUCUUGUUAAGACCAUGACAUACAUCAUACACCCUAUAACAUUAGCAUAUGGAAACUUUGCCAUUUCAUGUCUCUCUUCAUCUAUCUUAGCACAUUGCAGAUUGGAGAGCUUGAAAUGGGAGGCUAGUGGUGUCAAUACUGACUUACAGGCUGACAUCCCAAAUGUCUUAAUUAUCUUCUUCGCAUAGCCUCAUUGUGACAGAAACAUUGUGCCUUCCUUCUUGUUCCUCCUUAUAUCUAUGCCUAAGAUCUUCCUAGCACGUCCUAAAUCCUUCAUAUCAAAUUCUGAACUCAGUAGCUCUUUCAACGCUUCAAUCUCAUCCCUUACCUUACAAGCAAUUAACAUAUCAUCUACAUACAUCAACAAGUAUAUGUAGUGAUGUGUCCUAAGUAUCUUGUAGUAGACACAACAAUCGAAACUGCAUCUUUUGAAUCCAUUUGUUGUAAUGAACUCAUCAAACCUGAGGUACCAUUACCUUGGGGACUGUUUUAAACCAUACAAUGAUUUCUUUAGCAAACACACAUGUUCUGGUCUCUCUAGAUCUACAUACCCCUCUGGCUGAACUAUUAGAAUUUCUUCUUGUAAUAUUCCAUGAAGGAAUGCUAUUUUGACAUCGAGUUGAUCAAGCUCCAUGUCAUAAACUGUAGUCAUAGCUAGCAAUACUCUGAUUGAAGUAUGUCUAACUACUGGUGAAAAAACUUCUUUAAAUCAACCCCUUCCUUUUGAGUGUAGCCCUUAGCCACUAACCUAGCUUUGAAUCUCCUAAGUUCUGAAGCUGUCAGGCCAUCCUUAAUUCUAUAGAUCCAUUUACAACCAAUGAGUUUUCUUUUUUCAGGUUUUGUUACUUGCUCCCAGGUGUUGUUUUUAUAGAGGGAUGAUAUUUCUUCAUCCAUUGCCUGUUGCCAAUCAGUUUUGUAUGAGCUUUGCAUUGCUUCUUUAUAGCUCAUUGGUUCUUCUUCAUCAACCUCUUGUGAGGUGGCCAGUGCAUAUGCUAUAAGAUCUGCAUAGCCAAACCUCUUUGGGGGUCUUAUUACUCUUCUCUUUCUGUCUCUAGCUAGAUGAUAAUCUUCUAUAUGGGAGGGUUUUGGGUGUUCUGAGCUUGUAUCCCUAUCACCAGCAACUUCUUUAUCUGAAUCUACAGCUUCACCAGAGGUUUUCUUUGCUGGAUGUUUCACCUCAAACUGUAUAACAUCAUCAGUUUUAUUUUGAGGUUUAGCAUUUUCAACAGGUUUUUCCUCACUUAGCACCAUCUGCUCAUUAAACACACAUCUCUGCUGACUAUACAUUUUGGAGGGGCCAAGUUUGUGUACCAAAUCUUAUAGCCUUUUACCCCUUCUGGAUAACCUAUAAACAGCCCCUUUAGAGCUCUAGGUGCUAGCUUUCCUUGGUUUGUAUGUGCAUUGGCAGUGCAACCAAACACUUUCAGCUUGCUGUAAUCUUCUAGUUUACCACACCACUUCUCAUGUGGUGUUUUGAAGUCUAAGACUGGGGAAGGGCUCAAAUUUACUAGCAUGCAAGCUGUCAGUAGUGUUUUUGCCCAUAGCCCUUUAGGUAAAUAUGAUUAUAUCAUCAUGCAUCUUACCUUCUCCAUCAAAGUUCUGUUCAUUCUUUCAGCCAAGCCAUUCUGUUGUGGUGUUAGCCUCACUGUUUUGUGUCUAGCAAUGCCUUCUUUUGAGCAGUAUUCAUCAAACAUAUGAUUACAAUAUUCUAGUCCAUUGUCAGUUCUAAGAAACCUUCAGCUUCUUCCCUGUUUGAUUUUCAACAAGUGCUUUCCAUUCUUUAAACCUCUCAAACACCUAAUCUUUGGUUCUAAGUACAUACACCCAAACCUUUCUAGAGUAGUCAUCUAUUAUAGACAUAAAGAACCUAUUGCCUCCUAAAAAUGGAACCUGUGAAGGUCCCCACAGAUCUGUAUGCACAUAGUCCAGGAUACUUUUGGUUUUAUGGACAUAUUUCUUAAAGCUAGCUCGUAUGGAUUUCCCUAGAACACAAUCCUCACAGAAAUCUAGUUCUUCAAUCUUGUCACCCCCCAAAACCCCCUGCUUUUCUAAUUCUUUAAGACCCUUUAGGCUUAUGUGUCCCAAUCUUAAAUGCCAAAGCCUGGUAUUAUCAGCAUUGGUCUUGACAGACACAUUGGAUUCACUAGUCACUACUUCCCCAUCCAGGACAUAAACCCCAUUUCUCCUUGUGCCUUUCAUAAUCAAUGUUGAGCCAUUUAGGAUUCUUAAGUCACCACACUCUAAUUUUAUACUACACCCAAUUUGGUCAAGCAUCCCUAGAGAGAUUAAAUUCCUUUUAAGGUCUGGUACAUGCCUGACCUGUCUUAUUAGCCUCACAAUCCCAUCAUGUAGUUUUAUAUGUAUGUUUCCUAUCCCAAUGACCUUACACAUUGUAUUGUUUCCCAUCAUUACCCUUCCCCCAUCAUAUUCAUGGUAAUCUGAAAAGUAACUCUUUACAGGACUCAUAUGAAAAGUACAGCCAGAAUCAAGGAUCCACUUACCUAUCUGCACUUCAUCAGUUGCCACACACACUCCAGCUGAUUCAUAUCCCUCAUCUUCAACUAUUGCUGCAUCUCCAAUCUUUUGUUUAUUUUUAGGGCAAUCUUUCUUGAAGUGUCAUUCCUUGUGACACUGAAAACACUUCAAGUUCUUGUUUUUGUUCUUCCCCUUUCUUUGCUUCUUUUUCUUUCCAUCAGUUCUUUCAUUUCUUCCUUUCGCAGUUAAUCCCACUCCACUCUCUGUGUUAACUUGCUUUUCUUGUAGACCUCUGGUAUUCAAUGCAGCCUUAACCUCAUCUAGAGACAAGGUUUGUCUACCAUACAUUAAAGCAUCCACAAAAUUGGAGUAUGACUGUGGUAAUGAACUUAUCAGAAGUAGAGCUUUUCCUUCAUCAUUCAGGCCCUCAUCAAUGGUCUCCAAGGUGUCACAAACUUUGUUGAACUCAUCGAUAUGUUCAUCAAGAGAGGAUCUCGCAGCCAUCUUUAAUGAAAACAUCAUCUUCUUGAUAUAGAGCCUAUUUGCUAGUGACUUUGUCAUGUACAGAUUCUCAAGUUUAGCCCAUAGCUCUGCCACUGUUCUCUCCUUUGCCACUUCUCUAAUAACUGAGGCACUCAAACUCAGAAUUAUCGUGCUUCUUGCUUUCUUGUCGAUCUCAGCAGCCAGUUCUAGAGAUUUUGAUGAAGAUACCUCAUUCCCUUCUUUCUUGGUUGUUGGUUCUAUGGCUUCACCUAGGCCUUGAGUAAUUAACAAUGCCUCCAUUUUCACUUUCCACAUAUUGAAGUCGUUCUUCCCAUUAAACUUUUCAAGAUCAACUUUAGGAGCAGCCAUACUUGUAUCUGAUCAAGAAACCGAGCUCUGAUACCAAUUGUAGAGAUUGUCAAGUUAUGUAAUCAACUUGAGCAACCUCUUCCCAAGAUUACUGGAUUAGAUUUACAAGAUGAAUUAAAGAUGAUCUUAAUUUACAAUGAUUUUAAACAACUCAAUAUCACAACGAACCAACAGUAAGCAAUCAAAGAAACUAAAAGAAACCCAAGAAUUAACCCAGACACAGCAAGUUACGUGGUUCAGUCAAUUCAUCAUUGACUUACAUCCCCGGAGGAACAAAUUGACCAGCUUUAUUGAUUGAACCAAGUCUCUUUUACAAACAGAUUUACAGAGCCCUAAUCAAGGAACAAUAACACUUUGUUUACACAAGCUCUCUCUCUCCUGAAUCCUAUGAAAUCCUCUCGGUUUGUUACACCAGAAUCAGCUUCAGCUUCUGUGUUUAUAACAACCCAGAAGCAGCCCAAGCCGAGCACAUGAGCAGCAGAUGUCUUUAACAGCUUUUAACAGCCUUCUUACGUCAUUAAAAACUCACGCACAUUGCUCGUGAUUAUUAUAACCCAAAACGGUAGAGUCUUAGGUCGUUUCUCAAAGAGGUAUUAAGAUAUCCUGAAACGCAGAUUGCUGUGCCUUUUUCCUUUUGACAUCAAAUGCCAAAACGCAGAGCUUCCUGUCGUCUCCUUAAAUCUCUUUUUGAUUUGUUUCAUUCUGGUCCAACAAGAUCAAUUUAUUAGAAGACGAUAUUCCUCCAUCAAAUUGAAAGAGAAAUUGAAAAUAUCAAAAAGGGAACAGUAAGACGAUACUAUAUAUAUUAUCAUGAUAUUUUUGGUUUUUGUUUUGGAAAUGGAACAUCAUGAAACCGAGUAGAGGUGCACAAAAAUGGUGAAGAUAUAUUUCAGCUUCAUCGAUUGUCUCGAAUAAAAACAUCAAUGAUGUGUUAAACAAUUAACUCAAAAAUAGAUUGCUUACCUUAAAGGUGUGCCCAAAUUAUAAAUUUCAGUUUCGACUAUUGACCUUGGUUCGUAACGCGAUAAACUAAUCCGUGGCAUUUCACAUACCCAACAAUCUUGUAAGAAUUGGUUGAACUCUCAGAUCCCAUUCCACAACAUGCAAAACUCCCUGAUAUUGCCAAUGGCGGUGAUAUGAUUCAUUUAAAGGGUUCCCCUUGUUGCCACUUACCUUUAAAGAACAAUAAACUAUUGCCAAUGUUCUCGACACGGUUCCAUCACUCUGAAAAACGAACGCAUGUGAGCAAAACAAAGGCAGUCAAUUAUGUCACUCCAGUAUUCAGAGACAGAUCGCCGACUCAUAAGUGAUUUAGUGGGCAAUCCAAGAAAGAUGUCAUAGAUGAUAUAAUCAGAAAUUUCUUCCUCCAUCAGUUUUAUACAAUUUUUAACAUCCCUUUGAGAUUCUGGUCAAUUAAGAACUUAAUCAGUUCCUGCAUGUCAAAGUUGUUUGAGUGUCAUAAAACCUGUAGCGAAUCUACAUUUUCUGGGAAUAAUUUAAUAUAAAACUUAGCAGAAAGCUAAUACAAAUAUGCAGUUUUUAUUCGAACAAAAUUUAUGUGAACCAAGAAACAGAGCAUAACAGGGUAGCUGCAACUAAUAACACACAAAUUAACUCGUAAAAGUGACCUAACAAGCGUCAGAAUCAAUGGAUUAAAGCACUAAUCAGAGAUUGUGAACAAAACGUUUGUUUUAUAAUCAUGGAAAUUUGAGAUUACAUCAGCUAUAUGAUCCAUGAAAGAUAAGAAGCUUAAAGUGAGUUUAUGUAGCAUUGAUAGGCCUGUAUGGUGUCGCCAGCGCAGUGGCGUCGUCGGCGUGAGUGCGAGUGAAUUUUGGGAGACCUCCGGCUCCGGUUCCGUUGACUUUGCAUUAAAUUUGGUAAUAAUUUUUUUUUAAAAUUUAAAGUGUUAAAAUAUUCUAUUUAGCAGAAAAUAGAAACAAAUUGCGAAUGAGAUUAGAAUCCAAAUUUCAUUGCUAUCAUUUGAUAUAGAGGCAUUUCAAGUAAACUUUGGUCGUUUUUCAUUACCCAUGAGAGUGAGAACAGAGAACUCGAGUUAUCAUAUUGAAAAAUGGUAAUGAGACAGAAUUUAAAUCCUUACAAACCAAUAAUUAAUUAAUCGGUGUUAGUUUAUCGUGUUUGCGGCUAUAUUUUAUUGGAAACCUUAAAAAAGAAAUGGAAUCUUUCAGUUCAUAAUGUAUUAUUAUAUUUAUUCCACUCUUGUUUAUGACAAUUUGCAUCUGAGCCAGCUGGAAUGCUAUAGACUGAAAAAAUUAACAAUGUUUUCUGAGGAUGACUGACCAAGUCAAAGUCUUUGAGGCGCACAAUUAAUCUAACCGGGGCGAGCAGAAAUUUCUGUAUUUAUAAAAUUUUGAUUCACUAGUUUCAAGUGAAAGAAAUAUUAAAAUAUAUAUCAUUCGCAUUUAUGAUGGAGCCUCUAACGAUUAUUAAAUCAUUUUAAGCAUUUAUGUAUGACUAUUACAUUUAAUUAAUUGUAUUGCAUAAUUUGCAUAGGCUCCUCCACUUUGAGGCAGUUACUUGGGUUCAAAUUUGCAGUUGCAGAGCACCAAAGUUUGCUUUUUCGAUCUACUUGGAUUUUUCUUUGUUGAUCAUGUAAGUUAUACAUACAGCACUGCAAAAUGCCUCUACAAUAUUGCCAGUUUUCGUAUAACAUGUCCUUAGGAGGACUCUUGUGUACAUAAAUAUGUUGUUCGGUUAAUGUCGGUCUCGUUUAAUUGUAAUUCAUUGUAGAUCCAAAAUUGUAAACUAUUGUUUCUUUAGCCUGAACUUGUGAACCAACUGAUUUGAUCAUCAGGUCUCAAGACUUGGAAGCAGAGGAAGGUCUUAAAAGAAGGCUUCUGCACGGAGAUGGUAGGCCCAGUGAUGGAACAAAAAACUUAUCAGUUGUGUCCGUAACCGGAAGAUCCGGAACGCAAGCAGUAAAGACAAGUUUUCUUCAGCUGGAAAAGAUGAGAAAUUAUGCAGCAAAUUACAGAAUCGAUUUACCAUGGUAUGUGAUUUCAAUAUUAUGGGAUCCUUUGUACUUCUACACUCUGGUGAUCAAUGAUGAAAAGCAGUGCAUUGAAAUGGACUUUUCUUUGGCUUCCUUGGUGAUUGAACUCCGCUUCUACUUUGAUUUGGCCAAGUUGAUCCACAGUUCGUUUGUGAUUUGUGUUGAAUAUUUUGAAAAUAGAAAGAUAAGCGUGUGGCUGAUGUUCGCAUGGCUCAUUGACUUUGUGUCCAGUAUAAUAUUUACCCAGGUGCGUAAUGGAUCUGAAUUUAAUUUAUUUAGUUGUCUAAUAUUUCAAUAUCAUUUAUAUGAUUACUAAUACUUCAAAUUCAUAAAACAACAUCCAGAUGGUGGUGGGAAUAACGGACAUUCUGUACUCGAGGAAUUUCUUUCUGUUUCAAUAUUUGCUGAAGAUUAUUCGAACCUACCACCUGCUUACAGCAGCAACAGGGGUUUCAGGGAUAUUUGGUGAAUCUACAUGGGCCAUUGUUGCGUUCAAUGUUCUUCUUUACAUGCACGGCAGUUACGUAAGUCAAAAGUACUAUCAUUUAUGUAAGUUAAUUUAUAAUAAAACCCUUCUCAGGCAAAAAGAAAAAUUAUAAUAGAACCACAUUCAUGCAUCCUGCUUUCUUCCUUCCUAAUUUUGAUAAAUGAAUUCUUUUAGUCCUUAAGAUUCGAGUUAAUUAUUCAGUUACUACUGUCGCAUAUAUUGUCAGACAGAAGAAAUGACAAAGACAUUUUUGUGUAAUUCUUAAAAAUAUGGAGAUUAACUGAAUAAUUAACCCAAGCCCUCGUGAAUGAAGGGAAAUUGACACUCGAAGCUUUUCUACUUUCUCAACCGCGCAUGUUUCUAAUCGAGUGGUCCUUUAGGUAUUUGGUGCCUUGUGGUACUUUUUUGCCAUAAACAAAGCGACCGCAUGCUGGAUGGAUACCUGCAUGAAGAAUACUGGUUGCUGGGGCGUCUUAAACAUUGAUGCCUAUUGUGAGGGCCGUUCAGGAGACUAUAAGUUUCUAAACGAUGUUUGCUCUGUAAAGACGGGAAACUCAACAAACAAUUUUUAUGGCUUAUAUGGUGAUGCUUUUCAGUUAGGAAUUGUGGGGUUGACUGAUGUUCCAAUGAAAAUCUUGCUUUGUUUACUAUGGGGACUGCAAAAUCUCAGGUUUGUGCCUUGCAUUGUCGUUACUGUGUGAUGUGAGGUCAGCCGUUAAUAACUUCGAAAAUUGUGAGUUCAUUGAAUUGCUUUUUGCAGUGCUUUUGGUCAGAGCCUCCAACCAAGUAACGAUUUCUGGGAAAUUAUCUUCGCAAUUUGCAUGACCAACUAUGGCAUCGUUCUGUUUGUCUUCUUAAUUGGAAAGAUGCAGGUUCACAUAUAUAAAUUCUAUAUCGUAAUUGUUAUGACAUAUGAUGAUAUAAUAAAUUAUCAUGCGUUAAUUAAUGACCGGCAUCUUACCAUCUCGCUGUUACAUAAAGAAAUAUUUUAGGGCUGUGAGAAUGCCAUGUCAAUUAGAAUUAAUACAAACUUUGCAUCCCAAUUCCUUAUAAAAUUAGCGUUACUCAUAAUUUUCUGUUUACGUCUAUAGAUUUGAAGAUUGAUGCACAAUUCAAUUAUUGACUCUGUUUCAUUUGAAAUAUCUGAUACAUAAAUAUAUAUGCAGUCUGACACAGAAAGAUCACAAAAGAUCAAACAGAUGUGGGAGGAGAUAAAGCAAUGGCAGCACUUUAAGGAUAUAUCUAAUAAAGUUCAAGAUCAAAUAAGGAAAGACAAGCGCAACAACUGGGAAGAAACCAAAGGAGUUGACAUAGAUAAUUUGGUGAAUAAUCUCCCUAAGGACACUGGAAAAAAAAUAAAACGCGAUCUCGGCCGAAAGCUGCUCAAGAAUGUGAGUUCUCAUCAUCCCUCUUUAUAAUUAUAAUAAUUGAUCACUUUUCUAUCCUGCCCGCUCUGAAGUUCAAAUGUCUCGAUGUUUCAAUCAUUUUCAUUCUUAACCUGAUCGGGCGAGCCAAAUUAAUCCUUCGUUACAUUAAAAUUACAGAUUCGUCUUAUUUUCCCUCUUUGAUUGGUACUCCUUCUGAAUCCAAGCAUCGAACCUAAGUCAUACCUCAUUGAAGUUCAUGGGCUUAACUAACACAUGGUCAAAAGCUAGCUAGCUCGUAGUUAGGUUGAGAUUUGCCUCAAGGUUAAAUACUUUAUUCAUGAUUUACUCUUAGCUGACAUGCAAUGUUUUACAUACGCAGAGAGAUAGAGAUGGUCAUUCUCAAAUGCACGCCCUCAUUUUUUUUAAUACGAAUACUCUGUUAACAGAAUUAAUUUCCAAUAAAUUGUAAACCCAUAGCAUUAAAAAUUGACUUUAUUAAACCGCAUAGUUUAGAUAUGUGUCCGCAAGAAAAAAAAAAAGAGGGCACCCGCACUUAAGAAUGAUUAAUAUAUAAUAUGGACGCCCUCAUUUUUUUAAUCAGAAUAUACUUUUAAACUGUGCAGUUUAGGAGAGUUAAAGACUAACUCUCUUAAACCUCAUGAUUUAAAAGCGUUUUUGUAUGAAAAAAAUGAGCGCGCUCGCACCAAAAAAGAACUCUCGGGUGUGUGUGUGUGUAUAACUUUUUAUAAAUGUAUUUUUAAAGUCACAUGACGAGGUGGGCUUUCAUUCUUAUAACUAAUCUUUGUUAUCUCGAUUUACCCAUGUAAUGGUUGGAUAUAUUUAUACUGUAAUUCUCAUUCUUGGAUAUGUGUAAAUAUAUAUGAAGGUAAAAGAGUUUCAAAAUUGGAGCGAAACAUCAUUAGAGGAACUAUGUGAUUGUUUGAAGCCAGUGUUCUUUAUUGAACGUACUCGAAUAAUUCGAGUAGGAGAUCCAAUUGAUGAGAUGCUCUUCGUGUUGAAUGGCAAGCUUUGGACUUACUCAUAUGACUUCAUGAAUGUAACAACAACUGCCUCUAUGUUGAUCCAUCGUCGUAGCCGGGAGAAUCUUCUAGAAGAUGGUGAUUUUUGCGGACAAGAACUUAUAGCUUGGUCUCAAAAUGAAAGCUCAUCACCCCACCUCCCUAUCUCAACCAGAACCAUUCAGGCACUUACUAACGUUGAAGCUUUUACUCUUAUGGCCGACGACUUGAAACGUGUAUCAUUACUUCGACAUUUUGAUCGGGCAGCUCUUUUGUUACAAUCACGCUGGCGUUUCAAAAGGCUGUUGCGUGCUAGAAGGAAUCCAGAGAAACGAUCACGCCUGGAAUCACUAAUGUAUAAAUUUAUAUAGAGAAACAUAUAUACGUUUGUUGCAGCAUUAUAAUUAGUCCCGAUUAUGUAAAAGCAAGUACAGAAAGCCAUUUAAAUAUGGGAAACCAACGUGCUGUUGCUCAUACUACACUAGGGGUGGCAAAACGAAUUGGCAAAUCGAAUUCGUGUAGAAUCCUAAAUGAAUCAAAUCAAAAUUCGAUGGAUUCAAAUUCGAUUUGUUUAUUAAACGAAUCGUAAUCUCAUGAUUUGGACUCAAUUCGUUUAGUAAACGAAUAUUCAUUUACAAUUUAUUUACUAUAUAAAGUUAAAUUAAAUAAUAAAUAAUGAAAGUUUUUAAUAAAGAAUCCAAUGGAUUAAUUUAAAUUUAUUUAAAAUCUAAUCACAAAAUCGAUUCAUUACAACUAGAUCCAAGCAAAACACAAAUACAAUUCAAAAACAAGAAGCUGAAGAAACUCAAAGGCAUGAGGACGGACGAAGCUAACAGUCCAAUCAGUGGUGGGUGUGGCUAUUCGAGACCUUGUCACUACCGUAACCAAGAGAAGUGAAGCUUGCCGAAAAAUUUUAAGUGAGAGCACUGAUCUAAUUUUUGGGAGUGUUUGGUUUGGCUUUCGUUUGGGGGAAUGAAGAAAAGGGUCACCAAAUUCAAGUGAAACAAUGGAGGAAGGACAAUGAAGAGUGGAGCUAGGCUCAAUUGAUGAGUGAUGAUGCCCUUGCUUUCAUUUUCUUUUUUGGUUUGUUUUCAUUUCAUAAUUUCAAAACUAACCUUAUACCUUGAAAUGUUAAAACAGAUUUUUUUUUUAAUUUUAAUGAUAUAUAAGUUUUUUAUUAAAAUCUAUUAUACUAUUUGGUUACAACCUAUUUAAUAAAUGAAUUAUAAACGAAUAAAUGAAUUGUUGGCCUCAAACUCAUAUUCGAUUCGUUUAUUUAACAAAUCAAAUUGAAUUCACCCAUUAAUCAAAUGAAUCAAUUUUUUCAACUCAGACCAAUUUAAUUCAACUCAAAUGAAUCAAUUUUUAGAGUGGCUUGCCUACAACGUUUCUUUCUACAUUUUUUCCUACACCCAUUUUGUGCCCGAUCUAGCUGAAGUACUUCUGAUGAUGUGAAGGAUCCUGCACUUGAAGGAAGUCAAUCGGCCAAUUUUGCAGAAACCCUAAUUUUGAUUCUUCUACUUGGUUUCUAACAUUAUCGAUCAUGUAAGUAACUGAUCUAGGUAUUGGUACAUAAUAUUCGUCGAUUAAUUUUGCCCUUGUCAUUCCUUGAACAUUUUGAUAAACAUUUUGGUUAGUCUUUGUUUUAGCAGUUGGUUAAUGUCUUGUUUCUGUCUCCAAAAUGGCUUUUAGAAUGGUACUUCAGGUGUUUCUAACUUUACAGUGGAUGUAUUUGGGCAAAGCUACGAAUUGAUCUUAAAGGACACACACGCACACAUACAUCUUUAUUUUUGAACAUCCAAAAAAGUUCAAAUGAGUGGAAAGCAAGUGUGAUGAUCAAGAAGAAAUUAUUAUUACUUUUGAUGUUUUGUUAGUCUUCAAAACAGAUGAUAGGAUGAUUCAAUCUUUCUAAAGAAAAUGCAAAUGAUGAAACUUAUGUAUAUUUUUCAUUUUGGAUUCUUCUUAAUUACCCAUUGUUGAUCAUGUAAGUAAAUGUUGUUGUUUCCAACAUUGAUCAUGGAAUUUUGCCAACUUGACACUUUUUAAACAGUUUUUCUUUGCCUGGAUAACUUGAAGAAGGGUUAAAUGCUCUUUAUAUCUCUGCAAUUGAUACCGCUCCUUUUCGUUUUCUUAGAUACGCUUAGAUUUACAUUGGAAAUCCUUUUACCCCACUGGAUAAGAAGUUUUAUAAUUCAGCGAAAUUUCAUUGUGAUUUAUUUUAAAACCUUGUUUUGUUAAAGUUAAUUUGCAAGGGAGUCGUAAUUUUUUUUUUUUGAGUUUUUAAAUAUUGUUAAUUAUACUCAUCUUGAAAAAAUUAAAAUUUUUAAUACGAAUGUAAAAUGUCCAACUUUUUAUUUUUUUCAAAUUAAAUUUUCGUAAAUUUGUAUAUUUAUCAAAAAUAAAUUCUAACAAAUAAAAAAGUAAUUUAAAUUAUUUUUCUACUUAAUAACAGUUAUAUUCCUAGCAAAAAAUUAUUUUCUAUUAGGGAUCAAAUAUUUUCCUUUACGGAAAAUGAGUUUUACAUGAUUAAUAAUUAGAGUGAUAUAUAAAAACUAAUUCGUGAGCACAACAAACAUUUUCCAGUAUUUAAACAAUGAUUUUUUUAAAAUAAUAAUGAAAAAUCAUUCAUUCAUUUGAAUUAAGUCUAAAUCAGAGGCAAUGAAGUCUAAAAUAUUGAGAGGCAAUGAUGUUGACGUAUUUUACAAAGAUGCCAAGAGUAUUUGUCUGUUGAGCUACUACAAUGUUGUCAUAAAAUUUACGCAUUGCUAAAAAAUUCUAAUUACUCAUAACGUGUCUUGAUCAGGUCUAGGAACCCGCAAUUAGAGCAAGGCACAGCAGCACAAGCUCUCGGAGAAGAUAGUGAACCACCACGUAAAUGGCCAUUGUUCUUCUUGGUUGGCCAAAUUUUAUACUGGUUACUCUAUGUGACAUACAAAAUUUUAUACUGGUUGCUUUAUUUGACUGCCAUAAGUUUAUUCGGGUGUUUUGCUGGGAUGUUUGAAAGCAUAGGGUUGAUUGUGGCGGUAGUGAUAUUGGAUAUUUUGAGGCCGAUGAUAAAGUUGGCUAUCAAAAAAAAGAUUUUUCUUCUACUGUCUGUUAUUGCAAUUAUAUUGGAUCCUUUGUUCUUCUACAUUCCGGUCAUAAAUGAUGAAAAGAAGUGCAUUGAAAUGGACAAGAUUUUGGGAACUACAGCCAUUUCUCUUCGUUCGGUAAUCGAUUUAUUUAAGAUAAUUCAUUUUAUCUUUGAGCUGCUCACUAAAUUACCCGUAAAAGGAAGGAUGCGUGUGUGGUUGGUCUUUCUCAUUGACAUUUUGGCCAUUCUUCCCCUCCCUCAGGUAUGACAAACUAAAUAUCCGGAUACUUAAGCUAGCACAUUUGUUAUUUUAUGAACUAUGACAGCAAAUAUAUAAUGCUGUGCAAAUGAUAUUCGGUGCUAUGUCCAUUCAGGAGGAGAGAGUCUUUCAUGAUCCUAGAGCAUUUCUAAUUAUAUAUUCACCUACUUCCUACCACGUGUAUAAAUAUUAUUACAAUUGGUUGAAGCAUACACGUGCCAAAGAAUGAAUGAAAAAGAAGCAGUUCUACUACAGCACCCAAGACUUUUCCCCAUUAUUUAUAGCCACUUUCAAGGUUUAAAUUCUUUUUUAGUUCCGAAUGGUUUGGCCAAUUACCUAUUUAGUCCCCUUUUUUGGGGAAAUUAAUUAAAAUUAUCUAUUGUUACUCUUAUAGCUAUUAGAUCUAAUCUUUUAAGAGUAAAUUAAUAUUUUUAUCUGAUGUAAUUAAAAUUUAAACAAAUAUGACAUGUCACAGGUGAAAAGUAAAGAAUAAUUGAGUAGAAUUUAAUUGAUACAUACAUACAAUAAGUACAUUUUGGAUAAUUUUCUAAAAUACCAGGAUAAACUUUAGAGGCUAUAGUAGAAUUUACCUCAGUUUCAAGCUAUACAUUGUACAAAGGGUUCAUAGUCCGGAUUUUGAAAACGUGCAGUCAUAUACAGAGGGGAAUUCUCAUACUAUGCAUUGUAUGAGGUAUUUAAUUAUCUACAUAUAGUACUGACUACCACUCAAUUGUCCAGGUGCUUUUGAACUUACAAAAAGUAAGAGGCACGGAAUUUCUAUACGCAAUGAGCUUCUCCCUUGUAUGUUAGAAAAUUGGUGGGUGAAGCAGACACGCAGCUAAAGUAAAAUUGAUAGAAAAAUAAAGAACAAGCACAAAAGAAAAUACCAGAAAUUACGUGGUUCGGCUUUUAGCCUACGUCCACGGGCGAAGACAGAAAGAAAUAUUAUACUAGUGAAAAGGAGUUACAAGUAUUGUAGUAUUUUAGUUCACUACCCAAAACCCCAAUACACCCAAACUCUCAAAUCACUAAGCACACAAAAUUCUUUGCUCUUGCAAGAAUCACUUCUCACAACUCUCAAUUCUCUCUACAAAAUUGGAUGCAAAUGAAUUAGGGAGUUCUCCCUUUUAUAGCCAAAAAUGGUAAUUAAAAUAAUAUAUACAUAUUUCAAAUGUUGUUGCCAACUUCUUCUUUUUCUCCAUUUGGACGGCACCAUUUUCUUUGGCCGGCUGCACCAUUUUCUUUGGCCGGCUUGUCAAAGCCAACUUGAAUUUGCCUUGUGGCCACCGACUUUGACAUUUCUCCCACUUGGAGAUUUGAUUGAGAAGCAAUCAAUCUCCACAUCAUCCUUUCUGCUUCGCCAUAAUCAUGUUGCCUACGUUUCUGCUAGGCCACAAGAGGAUCUACUCCAGACAAACUUAUCAAUAUUUAUCGGCUUGGUCAAAACAUCUGCUAGGUUCUCUUUGGUAUGGAUUUUCUGCAAAUCCACACUUCCAUCUUCCACUACUUCACGAACGAAGUGAUACUGAACUCCUAUGUGCUUUGUCCUGGAAUGAAAGGCUGGAUUCCUUGCAAUGUGCAAGGCACUCUGACUGUCACAAAACACAAGAAUUUUCUGUUGUUUGUGCCCGAGCUCCUCCAAUAACCUUUGUAUCCAAAUAGCUUCCUUGCAAGCUUGUGUAGCUGCCAUGUAUUCUGCUUCUGUUGUAGAUAAAGCCACAACGGUCUGCAGUUUCGAAACCCAGCUUACAGCUGCUCCCGCAAGUGUAAACACAUAACCAGUAGUGGAUUUUCUUUUAUCAAGGUCUCCUGCAAAAUCUGAAUCCACAUAGCCCCUGACAGUAAACUCUGAUCCUCCAUAACAUAAUGCAACAUCAGAGGUUCCUCUGAUGUAUCUCAGAAUCCUCUUCACAGCUAUCCAAUGCUCUCCACCAGGAUUCGCCAUGUAUCGACUGACUGCUCCCACUGCUUGUGCAAUGUCCGGUCUAGUACAUAUCAUAGCGAACAUCAAACUUCCCACUGCUGAUGCAUACGGUACUCGAGACAUCUCCUUCCUCUCUGCUUCAUUACUAGGACACAUACUUGAGGAUAAUUUGAAAUUAACAGGAAGUGGGGUAGAAAUUGACUUACAAUCUUGCAUGUUGAAGCGUCGCAAGAUUUUCUUCAAGUAAUUCUUCUGCGAAAGCCAAAUCUUCCUGUUAUUUCUGUCUCGGUGAAUUUGCAUCCCUAGAAUCUUGUUUGCUGGUCCCAAGUCCUUCAUUUCAAACUCCCUGGCCAACUGUGCCUUCAAUUUUUGGAUUCGAUCUUUGUUGGGACCUGUUACCAACAUGUCGUCCACAUACAACAACAAAAUAAUGAAAUCAUUAUCUUCAAACCUCUUGUAAUAUGCACAAUGGUCUGAACUCAGUCUGUUGUAUCCAAGGCUCAUGAUGAAGGAAUCAAAUCUCUUAUACCAACACCUCGGCGCCUGUUUGAGACCGUAUAGAGAUUUGUUCAACCUGCAAACCAAGUUCUCCUUUCCUGUUUCUGCAAAACCUUCUGGUUGGAGCAUAUAUAUUUCUUCUUCAAGUUCUCCAUGAAGAAAUGCAGUUUUCACAUCUAACUGCUCAAGAUGUAGGUCAAAUGUAGCACACAUCGCCAAGACUAUUCUGACUGUUGUGAGUCGAACCACUGGAGAAAAUAUCUCGUUGAAGUCAAUACCUUCUUUCUGAGCAUAUCCUUUCACCACCAGUCUUGCACGAUACCGCUCCACUUGGUCAUUGCCAUCACGUUUGAUCUUGUAGACCCAUUUGUUUCCAAUGGCUUUUCUUCCACGUGGUAGUGGUACAAGUUCCCAUGUCUUGUUCUUGUGUAGAGUUUCAAUUUCUUCCUGCAUUGCUGUCAUCCACAAAGCAACAUCUGAGCUGUUUAAAGCUUCAUGGAAAGUUGAAGGCUCUCCAUCUUCUGUUAGAAGACAGUAUGCAACGUUGAUCUCUGUGACAUACUCCGAGUGCCACGCCGGCGGUCGUCUCUCACGAGUUGACCGACGAACUUCUGGAGCCUCAGACUCGACUGGUUCUUGUUCUUCGUGCUCUGGUGCUGCUUCCGAAGAAUCUGAAUCUUCUGGAUUAUUUUCUACAUAUACCGGCACAAUCUCUGACUUUUCUUUUACAUUGCCAUCAUCUCCAUCUUUCAUUUGCAGUUGAUCUUUUACAAAAAUAACAUCUCUGCUGAUGACGAUCUUGUGGGCAGUGGGGUCCCACAGACGAUACCCCUUUACUCCAUCAGCAUACCCUAAGAAGAUACAUCUUCUAGAUUUUGGAUCCAGCUUUGUUCUUUCUUGGGCAUUGUACAUCACGUACACAGGACAUCCAAAUGCAUGUAGGUAGGAAUAAUCAGCUGGCUUUCCAGUCCACAUCUCCAUCGCCGUCUUCAACCCAAUUGCUGUAGAUGGCGACCGAUUUACUAUAUAACAGGCAGUUUUGGCUGCUUCUGCCCAAAAUGAAUUGGGUAGACCAGCAGUCUUCAACAUAGCUCUUAUUCUUUCUGUAAGAGUUCUGUUCAUCCGCUCCGCCACUCCAUUUUGUUGAGGAGUGUAUGCCACCGUGAACUGCCUCUGAAUACCUUCUUGCUUACAGAAAGUAAGAAACUCGCCGUCUGUAUACUCUCCACCAUUAUCCGUCCUUAAGCACUUGAUCUUUUUACUAGAUUCAAGUUCCAACCGCGCUUUGUAUUCUUUAAACACAGGAAAUACAUCUGACUUUUUCUUAAUUGGAUACACCCAACAUCUUCUGGAAUAAUCAUCAAUGAAAGUCACCAUGUACUUUGCACCUCCCAUAGAUAUAUCCGGUGAUUCCCAAACAUCAGAAUGAAUCAAGUCUAGAAUGCAUUUACUUCUAGCAAUAGAUCUACUGAAUUUUAAUCUAUGCUGCUUACUUGUAACACAAUGCUCGCAAAAUGGUAAACUUACCGAUUUGAGCCCCGGAAGCAAUUUUCGCUCAGAGAGAAUCUUCAAGCCUUGUUCUGACAUGUGGCCAAGUUUGAAAUGCCACAUCAUCGUUGAUUCUUCUCCAUUUGAUGCGACACACGCAUCAGCCUCCUGUAGUGUUUCUCCUUUAAGCAUGAAUAAAUUAGCACCGAUCUUUUCUGCCUUCAUCAAUACAAGCGCACCUUUAACGAUCUUCAUUAUUCCAUUUUCCACAUGAGUUUUGAACCCAUGACUAUCCAUUUGUCCCAAAGACAAUAGAUUUUUCUUCAGGCCAUUGACAUGUCGUACCUCCCCAAUUGUGCGAAUUGUACCAUCAAACAUUUUUAUUUUGAUAGUACCAAUACCAGCGAUCUCCAAGGCAUGAUCAUCUCCCAUAUAUACAGAUCCUCCUGAGAUAGGUUCAUAUGUGUGGAACCAUUCUCUCUUAGAGGUCAUGUGCCAGGUAGCUCCUGAGUCUAUAAGCCAGACAUCAGAUAGUCGUUUUCUGCCUUCUGAAACAGUUGUUGCCUCGCUGUAGAGAAUUUCACCAUCAUCUGAGGUACUUGCUACACAACCCUGAGCAUUUGAUGACUCAGGUUCUUUGCCCUCUUUUCUCUUCUGGUUACUCCAACACUCUUUCUUGACGUGCCCUUUCUUACCACAGUUGUAGCAUUUAACAUUCUUCUUACUUCUGGAUUUUGAUCUACCAUGACUUUGACUCCCAUUGGGGCCACGUUCUGUUGAUCUCCCUCUCGUCACCGAUAGCGCCUCCGCUUGCUGCGAACUUGCUUGUCUGUUUUCUUUAUUUUUCCGCCUGCUCUCCUCAUUUAAUACGGAAGCUGCAACAUCGUCGAAAACUAGACUCUCCACUGGAUUGUUGUUCGUCAGGUUGAUGAUGAGUUGAUCAUACGAAUCUGGUAGACUUUGAAGUAGAAGCUCUGCACGUUCAUUUUCCUCUAUAUUAUGACCCAACGUUGUGAGUUGUGAAAAUAGAGUCUUCAAUGUGUUGAUGUGGUCGGUCACCAUUGUAGAUUCCGCCAUUCGAAGAGUAUAGAGUUUUCUCUUCAAGAAGAUUUUGUUGUGUAGUGACUUGGCCUCAUACAAUUUUGUGAGAGUAUCCCAUAUUUCCUUCGCCGUAUUUUUCUCUGCCACACUAGAUAAUACUCCGUCUGCAAGUGCCAAGUGUAGAUCAGAAAUGGCAUUGCCGUCUACCUCGUUCCACUUGUCAUCAGUUAUCUCCAUGGGCCUUUCUCCAAUUGCUGCCAAGCAAUUAUUUUUCCUCAAUACAGCUUUCAUCUUCAUUUUCCACAACGAAAAAUUAUUUCCGUUAAAUUUCUCAAUUUCAUACUUUGCCGCCAUUUUGUUGAUAAAUACUGCACACAAGCUAGUAUACCACCUUGAAUAGUUGUGAGUAUGUGUGAGAAUGCACACCAGGAAAGUUCCCAGGAAAGACUGGAGGGGUCACAAUGGUCCCACUUAAAACCCAGACUCCUUAAGCUCUUAUCACCUUUGUGACAGAACUUUCCUAGACAUGUACAGAACCACACAGUUGCUUUACUCACACCACUAUUCCCUGCUUUGCACCGCAAAAUUCUUGGAUUGCUUCCACCGUUUCACAUGAAUAGUACCGUAUACGUGAAUAGUACCGUAUACCGUAUACGUGAAUAAUACCGUAUACCGUAUACAUGAAUAGUACCGUAUACCGUAUACGUGAAUAGUGCCGUAUGCCGUAUACGUGAAUAGUGCCGUACGCCGUAUACGUGAAUAGUGUCGUAUGCCGUAUACGUGAAUACAUGAACAAUUCCUGACUCCAAAAAUACAACCAAUAGCUCUGAUACCACUGUUAGGUAAUUGGUGGGUGAAGCAGACACGCAGCUAAAGUAAAAUUGAUAGAAAAAUAAAGAACAAGCACAAAAGAAAAUACCAGAAAUUACGUGGUUCGGCUUUUAGCUUACGUCCACGGGCGAAGACAGAAAGAAAUAUUAUACUAGUGAAAAGGAGUUACAAGUAUUGUAGUAUUUUAGUUCACUACCCAAAACCCCAAUACACCCAAACUCUCAAAUCACUAAGCACACAAAAUUCUUUGCUCUUGCAAGAAUCACUUCUCACAACUCUCAAUUCUCUCUACAAAAUUGGAUGCAAAUGAAUUAGGGAGUUCUCCCUUUUAUAGCCAAAAAAUGGUAAUUAAAAUAAUAUAUACAUAUUUCAAAUGUUGUUGCCAACUUCUUCUUUUUCUCCAUUUGGACGGCACCAUUUUCUUUGGCCGGCUGCACCAUUUUCUUUGGCCGGCUUGUCAAAGCCAACUUGAAUUUGCCUUGUGGCCACCGACUUUGACAUUGUACAAUAUUUGUUGAGGGUUAUUCGAACCUACUACUUGUUUACAGAAGCAACAGGUGUUACAGGAAUACUUGCCGAAGCUACAUGGGCCAUUGUUGGGUUCAACAUUCUUCUUUAUAUGCAAGGCGGUCACGUAAGUUAUAAAAGACCAUUCAUUCAAUUUAAUUCCUAAGAUAUGCACGAGCCGAAUGAACAUAUCUUUAUGCAUACUUUAUAUUGUUGGCACUGGGACAUACAGUUAUUUCUGAAUCAUGCACCCUUUUCAGGUAUUUGGAGCCUUAUGGUACUUCUAUGCCAUCGGAAAAUUGACAGGAUGCUGGAAGAAAGCGUGCCAAAAUAAUAUUGGAUGUCAUCAUAGUUCGUUUUAUUGUGAAGACAUGAUCAGUACAAGAGAUUACACGUUUCUAAAUGAUUUUUGCAGUAUAAAGUCAGGAAAUACAUCAGAUUACAAUUUUGGAUUAUAUAAUGAUGCUCUUGAGUCUGGUAUUGUGGAGGUGACGAAUUUUCCAAAGAAAUUGUUACAUUGUUUACAAUGGGGCUUGCAAAAUCUCAGGUUUGAGCAUAAUCCAAACUUUCUCUUUGUGAUGUUAUGGUUGAAAAGAAUGAAACAAUAUUGGUUCAAAAAAAAUAAAAUACUUUGGUCACUCUUAGACACUAUUUUACCACUUAGGUCCCUGGUAAAAUUUUAAUAUCUUAUUUCAUACUAGAAUUGGAAUAAAAGUAUAGAAAAAAACACAUUGUUGAAAGUUAAACGUCACAUUUUAACAAAUAGAUUAAAUAACUUUAAUUUGCAUUGAUCUAAAAUAAUCAUGUUUAUUCUGGUAUUGUUUUCAAGGAGCAAAGUAUUACAUAUUCCCCUUUCGAGAAAACUGCCGAUUCUUUUGCAUAGGAGAGUGACUUUAAUCUUUUGUGUAUAUCAUUUCAAAUAAAGCGUAUAGAUUGAACCCUUUGCAGUGCUUUUGGUCAGAACCUCCAAACAAGCACCGAUAUCUGGGAAAACGUUUUUGCAAUUUGCAUGACCAACUUUGGUGUGGUACUGUUUGUCUUUUUAAUUGGGAAGAUGCAGGUUCGUAUACAUUUUCUAUUUCUUAUAUCUGAAUUUACCUCAAUUCCAAGUGUUAUAAUUAAUAUUGAAGUACAUUUGAAAUUAAUGGAUUGUAACUGCAGUCGGACACAGCAAGAUCACAUAAGAUAAAAAAGAAGUGGAAGGAGAUAAAGCAGUGGCCGAAUUUUGGGGAAAUUUCUUCUGAUCUAAAAGAGCAGGUGAGGACAUACAAGCGAGAGAAAUGGGAAGAAACCAAGCGUGUUGAUGUUGAUAAUUUGGUGAAUGAUCUUCCCCACGAACUUGGCAUCAAAAUAAAGCGCAAACUUUGCAUUAAACUAAUCAAGAAUGUGAGUUCCUAUUACUUCUUUAUCCAGUAAUAAGUCACUUGUGGUUUCUUUAUCUAUUGAAAAAAAAAAAGGAAAAGAAAAAAUGCUAGGCAACAGUUACGAGUUCAUUGCCACAAAAUUGCCACUCCUUGUUUAUUACAAGAAAUUGAAACAACAUUUGUUAUAUUCCGUUACCCUUACUAAUCGUUUGGAUGCAUCUAAUGUAAUUCUCAUUUUUUUGGUCCGUACCUAUCUAUGUACACAGGUAAAAGAGUUCGAAAAUUGGAAUAAAAAAUCAUUGGAGUUUCUGUGUGAAUUUCUGAAGCCAGUCUUCUUUAUUGAGCGUACACGCAUUAUUCGGGAGGGAGACCCAAUUGAAGAGAUGCUAUUUGUGCUGAAAGGCAAUCUCUGGACUUACACUUCCGGGAAUGUAGCAACAACUAGCAGCAAUAGUAGUCGUUAUGGAAAGAAUCGUUUGAAAGGUGGUGACUUUUUUGGAGAAGAACUUAUUGGUUGGGCUGAGAGUGAGCACUCUUCCAAUUUGCCUAGCUCAACCAGAACUAUUCAAGCGCUUAGUGAGGUUGAAGCCUUUGUUCUUAUGGCAGAUGACUUGAAACAUGUAUUCUUACUUAGACAUUGUGACCGGGCAGCUCUUUUGUUACAAUCACGCUGGCGUUUCAGAAAGCUUUUGCGUGAUAGGAGGGCUAAGCAAAAAUCAAUCUUGAGAAGAAUGCGGAAUUGCGCAGCAGUACUACAGACUAUAGAAUAACAAUUUGAGACUGGAUUUGAAAUUAUUAUUUGUAUGAAUACUACCAAAAUGAAAAUAGGUGGUAAAAGCUGAAAAAUUAAGGGGAAAAUUGUCGAUCUCCCUUGUUCGAUUAUGCAGUCAACAAGAUCAGAAACAGUAAUCGCCAAGUUCGAUUUGGAAAUCUUAUCCAACCAAUGGUACCUUUUUCUUUUUUCUUUUUUUCCCUGAAUCAAGGACUUCACGCUUCGUUGAUGGGGAUACCAUUCCUAAAAUUAAAAGAUAUUGACCAUUACUAUCUCAAACAACAAUUAAUUAUACAUUGCCAGCACGCAAAAAUGAGCGACAAACUUCUUCAUUAACUAAUCUAUUUGAACAACUGCAUUUCUAAGCAUAUAUAUGAUCAUUUCAGAUGAAAAUAGUUUAAAGUGGUUAUAGAAGAACCGGUAGAUCACAGUUGAGAGAGUGAAGCAGAUCAUCAGGGGGCAAUCUUAAGUGUGUCACGCGGGUAGAGUGAUGUUUUGCGAAUGUUGUUGAGAUCGCAGAAAAGCAUCACCACACUCUUCAAUCCCACUUCACAUCCACUAUGUCUCGAAAGGAAUCCAAUGAUAACAUAAAGCUAACAGUUUUUAGAGGACCACACUGUUUUUCUAUUUGCGUACAAAUGGACAGUGGUUUCAGAAUAACCUUAGCAUUGUCAAGUUUAACCAGAGAGCAUGGAAACCAAAGCCAGAUCAAAAUUCAAAACCACUAUGGAGGAUGUGCAUGGAUUAAUGUAAAAUACUAUAUUCAAUUUGAACGAUAAACACAGUACAAAUAAAAAUUAUUAGAUUCCAUCUUCUAUUCUAUAAUUUUUAAUUCUUGCACUUCUUUUUCUGGGAAUCAGAUUUUUCUGAUACAGAACGUGAACCAACAAAAGCCAAAUUUUAUGAUAUUUGAUAAAAGCAACUUCCAAAAUAUACCAUAACCAUACCCAAUUAUUUUUUGUAUAAUAAUAUUUAAGCUUUUAUAGACACAGAUCGAGCUGUUAUGCUCUCAGCAUAAUAGGCUUGCGGCACUUGAUCAAACGAGAAAAAUCAGGGUAACAAUACCUGAAAUAUUCAAAGAUAUUUUCUUUACAUCAAUGCCACCUGCCUGUGCACGCUCCACCAAGAACCCUGGCAUAUCAAUACGUUGAGCACCCGAAAUUAUCUCUUCACCUAAAGAGGAGGAACAGAUGCUCAAAAAUCCGGUCAAAUGAACAAUCACAUGAUAUUUUCAUCCAACAAGUAUGAAGGGUUGCAAUGAAAAGAAAAAUGAAAACCCGACAGAAAAUUCUUCAAGACAAGGAUUUUGAAUGUGGUUAUCAUUAUAAUUAAGCAGUCAACCUAAUACAACCUUCAACCAGAGGUGAAUUCAUUUACGCCAGUCACAUGACCACUCCUAUCAACACCACUGCAAAAAAAGCACAUCCCCUUCAUUAAUAAAUGAAGUUUUGUUCCUGCUUUACUUCACCAUUCAUUUUCAUUCUCAUAAAAGAGCAAUUUAUUGGAAUGCAACAUACCUCGAUUAAACUGAAAGAGGAUUAAGAUAAUUUAAAAAAUGAAAACUGCGAGACAAUGCGAGUAGUAUCAUGAUAAACUUAACUCCAGACGGACAUCCAUUUUUUAAUCGUAAUUAAUGAAACAAAUGUAGAUCGAGAUUUCCCCAAAACACCACCACAAAUACAAGUAUAUGUGCAUCCAAAAUGAAGAAGAAAUGUUUCAGCUUCAUACAUUACCUCGAAUAAAGACAUCAAAUUAGUGUCUGUAAAGAGCAUUGUCAGGAGGGGGCGCCAAACAGCCCAAGGAUAACGAUGGAGUAUAUAAAAUUCGGCGCCAUACCUACAAUAGGAAGCAACAAUCAGGCACGUAUUGAUGAUAUACAUAGAAAUUUAGGCUUAAAAAUGAGAAAACACUUGUCAUGAGCUAAGAGCAAUGAGGCUCUUAAUUGUUUCAAAAUUUGAAACUAAUAAUAGAUGUAUGUUAUACAAACAAAUUCAUACUUCAAUACUUGUAACAAAAAUCAAGUCAGUAAAUAUGGAACCUACUUAUCUCCGUUCCAUAGGUUUGGUUGUCUUUUUUUUUUUUAAUUAAUGUUCAGAAUCGAUUAAAAAGUUUUUUAAUUCGAGUUCUUGCUAAUUUCAUUUUUUGAUUCCAUUGUGAAAUUCAAUUUUCUUAUUUAAUUUUAUUCCGAUCCUAUCUACCCAUUCGAAUUUUGGUUGCUUAAUUGUUCAGGAUGUUGGAGUUGAGAAUGAUCCUCUUGAAGACUUGAAUACUGAGGCAGAGAGGAAGUUGAUCCAACUAUUUUCCUACGAUUCUUGGGAACAGUAGAUACUACUUUUAAAGUAUUCAACCUACUAAAUGAUUCCUCCACACUACUGUUACCCUUAAAAAUCAUCUAAUUAUUUAUUCAUACACUAAUCUAAAUAAUGGCGUGAUAAAUCAGAAACCUUUCUUCAUGAAACAUGAACUGAGGGGAUGAAAGAAAUUAAGUUACCUUGAGCAUUUGAAUCCCUUUUCCGAAUGUAAGACAAAGAGUCUUUGCCUUGUACUGCAACAUUUAGAAAAUGCCACAAUCAGGUUCAAGAAUAGAGAAAAGUUGAGGUGAUAUAUAAUUUUCCAUAUUCCAAAUAUAUCUAAACUAUACAAGCACUUCAAAAAUUAUUAUGAUAACAGAAUUUUAAGAACAAUUCAAAAUAAAUAAUGACCUUCAGAGGUUCAAACGUACACUGAUUCGCCACAUAUUCAACUUCCUUGUUGCACCUCUCAUUCAAAUCAUCAAAAAUUGUGACAAAUAAGCGGUCCACAAUAUCCAUCACCUGUAUUCAGGUGUCAUUGAAAAAUCAACCAAUAAACCCCUCCAGCUAUACCUCCGAAUAAUGCUUCUUAAUCUCCAUUUCAACAUCAAGACCGGUAAAUUAACUCACACAAAUGCCUAUGAGUGUACGAGUCCUCUGGUCUAAAAACAGAACCGGUCUCAAAAACCCGCCCAAAAUCACCGCAUAUCGAUAUUUGCUUGUGACCUUCACUUGAACCAGCUAUCAGUUUUGGCAUGUGGAUCUCAACAAAAUCCUCAGAAAACAAGAAUUGUCUGAAUAUCUGUACAUUGAUGCAAUCAUUAAGGACCAACUCAAGGCCUUACUCAUAUUCCAAUCCAAGCUGGUUAAUGGGUUAAGGUUACUUAAACAUUUUAUAUUUUUGUCUAUUCUAAGAUAAUGUUGAAUAUUAUAUAUAUAAGAAAUUUUUUGUCUAUUCUUAUACAAAUUCUUGGCGGGAAUUUAACAAACUUCAAGCCUAAUAACACUUUGCAUAACAACAUGACAGCUUGGCAGUUGACUAAGCACUCUGCUUACAUGGCAAUAUGACUCAGCAGUUUACAUAGCAAUUUGGCUCAACAUAUAUACUCUUAACAGAACCAAAUAAAUAUUAACACGCGUCUCGGCGCAUACCUUGCAUAUCAUCACAUUUAUAUAUGUACGAUGAUAUCACCGCCACCUAAAUUUCUCAUUUAUUAUAUUUGAUUAUUUUCUUUUUUAUUUCAUUGAUUUUCUCGUAUAAAAGUAGAUUUACUACGAUUUACCAUUUUGUUGUUGUGCAAUGGUCACCCUUUUUGUUUGAGCUGCCUAUUGAUGUGUUGCUUUUAGAAAAACUCUCAGAAUAGCUUUACAUUAUACUUUUCUAAUUUGCAAUGAAUGCAUCCAGGAGUAUAGGAAAGAAAGAAAUAAAGGGGGAAAAAAAAAAGGAAAGAAAGAAAUACUCCCCGUGUAUCACCUAAACUAGUUUUAAAACUUCUUGAAUUGGACAAGAAUAAGUUGGCUGACAAACUUUCCUAACUUCUCACAACUUUUAUUAUUGUUACCUUAUAUUUUCAUAAUCGUUAGAUUUUUAUACUUGAAUUGGUACCAAUCUCUCUUUUAUCAAAUUUAAACAGAGAUAAUUGAUUGAAUGAUUCAGUCUCCGUCGUCCAAAAGAAUUUUUCUUAUCUACAACGUUCUUAUUUGCUCAAACAGAUGGAAUCCAGAAAACUCAUCCAUUUGAUUCUCUUCAAUUGAAAACUCAUCACUUCCUGCAUGUAAGAGCAAUUUGAGUGCCAUAAAGCCUGUAGUGAAUCUACGUAUUUAGGGAAUAAUUUAAAUAGAAAAGUUAACAUGAAGCUCAUACCCUAAUAAAAAGCUACUCUUAAAAUAACAUGAAUCAAGAAACAGAGCAAAACAGAGUAGCUACUAAGAAGAACACCCAAAUUAACUCCUAAAAUUGACCAAACAUAACAAGCAUCAAAUCAAAGCAUUAAAGCACUAAUCAGAGACUUUACACUAAAUUGUUUGUUUUUAAAUAAUGGGAUUUCAAGAUUAUACUUAAAAAGACCUCUUUUUUUUUCUUUUUUUUUUUGGGAAGAGAAAAAUCAUCUGCAUGGUUGAAGGAUCAGAAGCUCAUGGAUGGAACCAAUUUGCUUCAUUAAACCCAAAACGGUGUUUCCCGAAGUCGUUUCACCAUGCAAUACCAUCCAGUACGCAUCAAACGGCCGCAACUCAUGUCGUUUAGCUUAAGUGUCUUAAGCCCAAAAGGCGACACUCGAUGUCGUUUUGCUUAUUUCUGAUUUGCUUCACCCGUCACACAACAUGCAGUGUAGAUGCUGUUUUAACUUUUGAAUUUUAUAUGAUUUUAUUUUGUCUUCUUAAAAGAUAUCUUUUAGAACUGAAGGGCACUUUCGAUGUUUCUUAUUUAUUUUACAGUGACCUCUUCUGGCUCUUUCUGCUGAGGGAGGGUACAAACAAUGAAUCAUCAUCAGAUUAAUCAAAAUAUAACCCCACUCAUAAAAUAAAAAUUAUAAAACGUCUCUUCAGAUGAUUUGAGUCACACACAUCAACAAUCAGAAAUCGUUAACUAAGUAUACAAUUUCUUUUUGGACUCGUUUUUUCCCCAUUGUUGAUCAUGUAAGUUACUGCUAUAUAUGUUGUUUUGAUGAGUAAUUAAUGAUCAUGGAAUUUACUUAAUUUGCCAACUUAAAUCAAUCAUUAGUCUUAAACUUUUCCGUAACAAAACCCUGAAUUUAUAUUUUGAUCAGGAAUCAGGAUUCGCAAUUAGAGGAAGGUGCAGCAGGGCAAGUUCCUGGAGAACGAAUUAGCAGUGUUUAUGGAACUUUCUCCCUAAUAUUGGCUACAUUUUACUAUUUUUAGCAAUCGUCCUUAUAAGUGCAUUGAAAUAGACAAAAUUUUGGGAAACAAUGCAGCUUUUUUUCGUUCUGUGUUUGAUUUGCUCAAGAUACUUAAUUCAUUUUACCUUUGAGUUGCGUAAUUAUCAAUUUCGUUUUGAAGGAAGGAAAAGUUUGUGGCGCUGGCUGCUCUUCUACAUUGACAUUUUGGCCGCUGAUCUUCCCCUCCCUCAGGUAAGUCACAUCACGUAUUAUUAAUUUUAUCUUAAACCUUUAAAGUUUAUCGAACUGAAUGUGGUUAUUUAAUUACUUAGAUUUUCUCACAUUUGAUUAUUCCAGGUGCUGGUGAUCUCUCAAAGAAUGAGAGGCACAGAGUUUUUGUAUGCAAUGAUAUUCUCACUUCUGUAAUAUUUGCUAAGGGUUAUUCGAGCAUACAGCGUGUUUUCGGAGGCAAAAUUGGGCUCAGAAAUACUCGCUGAAGCUACAUGGGCCAUUAUUGGCUUCAAUAUUCUUCUGUACAAGAAAGGAGGUCAUGUGAGUUGAUAAAGCACCAUUCAUGUAAGUCCAUUUAUAUUGACUUAUAUGCACAAGCCUUUAAUACAAACAGCAUUAUUGUAAUACAAAUUUGUUUAGAAAUCCAUGGCCUAUAAUACACCAUUUAUGUCCUAGACUUACUUGUCAACCUUGCAAAAUUCUUGUGCUUGGCAACUGGUUUUGUUGAUGUCGUAAUCCGGAUGAGUUGGUUAGUGACUCGAUCUUAGAUCCCUACAUCAGCAUUAAAUUUGUUUGGUGGGAAGCUGCUGGUUGAUCUCCAAGAAGAUCUUCCGACUAUGAGCAGAACAUUCAUGAGUUGUUGAUCAGUGAGCACCGAGAGCAAAUAAUUGAUGAGCAAACGACCAAUGAGCAGAUGAUCCAUGAGUAGAUAAUCCGCGAGCCUGCGAGCACAAAGAACAGUCAGGGGGGGGGGCGGAAGAUUUCUAGCGUAAACCCUCCGACACUCAAGUCAGCGAUUUGGGUCUACUUGGAAAAACUCAUACCACAAUUCACAUGGUUUAAUUAUGAUUGUUUUAAACAAAAAGCUUUUAAGUAAAUUUAAAAGAAAAUAAUUGAAAAUAAUUAAUCUUAAAGAAAUCAUAAGCAAAAGAGAAAUUUCCUAGUGGUAGAGAGAGAAAAAGAUUCAAUGGAUUCAGUCACCCAAAGGGAUAGAGGAAAAGAAUCCCCCAUUUCCCCCAUUUUCCCAGGAUUUUUAUAGGAAAUUAUAGCAGUUUUUUCUACAGAGGAUGUAAGUGAGGAAUUUAUGAAACUUUUUGAUAAAAAGAAUUAUCUAGGAUAAGCAAUUGAGUAGAAUUCUUUUACAGUGCAUUUUUGCAAUUCACAUAACCAACGUAGGGGUGGUGCUGUUUGUGUUUUUAAUCGGCAAGAUGCAGUUUGACACAGCAAGAUCACAGAAGAUAAGACAGAAGUGGAAGGAGAUGAAGCAAUGGCCAAAUUUUGAGUAUAUUUCUUCUGAUGUGCGGGGGGCAGUUAAGGAAAUACAAGCUAUACAAAUGGCAAGAAACCAAACGUGUUCGUGUUGAUAAUUUGGUGAAUGAUCUUCCUGACGAACUUGGCAACAAAAUAAAAUGUCUGCAUUAAACUGCUCAAGAAUGUGACGUUGAACUAUUCAAUCACUCAGUGACGUUGAAGCCUUUACUCUUAUGGCUGAUGACUUUAAACAUGUAUUAUCUACCAUUCACACAUUUCGAUCCGACCGCUCUUUUGUUACAAUCAUACCGGCGUUUUGGGAAGCUUUUACUUGAUAGAAGGAAGGCUAAACAAAGAUAAUAAACAAAGUGUGAUACAACUCUGCAACUCAGAGUUUAUAUCACAUAGCUACACUUUUUGGAGUAAGUGCUGACUCCCGCAAAAAGAAUUGAAAUUAAUGGAGAAACAGAGAUUGCAGGAGAAGAUGGAGAGAGAAGAAGAAAUAUUUUCCAUUUCCUUGCUUUCUAUGACGUGUUCCCCUCUACAUAUAUCUUUUACCCCUCAACAUUACACGUGUAACUAACCAACAAAUGAAUGAUUCAAAGAAAAAACAGUCACAACAAAAUAACAAAAUCACAGCUGCCAUCUUUUCCACUCUCUUUGUGCCUUCUCGAAUAUUCCUUAGGUAAUGUAAUCUUUGAGGUAUGUUGGUGCCCUGCGCAUACGAACUGGACCUUUUGUGUGCUCCUCAACCAGCUGGGCUUCUUUCUCUGUUUCCCAUGCUGACUUGUCAUUAAUCUCGGGCAAGGUUGUAUCAUUCCCCAUCCCUUGAAAAUUUACCUUGUCCUCAAGGUGAAGCUCGGGAUAUAGCUUGUAAAACUCAUCAUAAGCCUCUCCCAGGACAUACUCAUCAUUAGUACCCAUCAACAACAAGAAUUUGCUGCGGCAGCGAUGGUUUGCACUAUAUUUCUGAUCACAAUUAUAACAUAACCCUUUUUCUCUUUUAUCCCGUAACUCAGCUGGAGUAAGUCGACGGAUUGGUAAAUUUAGGGUUGGUAAUAAUGGAGGUUGAGAUGGUGGUUUUGGUGUAGUAAUAACAGGGGCAGCAAGAGUAUUGGUAUUUUGAAAAGUGGAAGAGUUUGAUAAAACAGGGGAAAAAUUUUGUGGAGCUUGCGGUGUAGUAGGAGACCACUUUGACCAAGAACGACUGGUUGUUUUAGCUUAAUCAGAUCUAGCCUCAUAAGCUCUAGCAAGAGCAAAGGCUUCCAUGAGCGAAGUAGGUCGAGUAAACAACAACUCAUGACGGGUAUCAGGUUUUAAACCCGUGAUAAAGAAACUAAUUAACAAAGGCUCAGAUAUACCAGUAAUUUUGUUCAUUAAGUCUUCAAAAGCAGACUGAAAUUCGGCAACUGUGGUGGUCUGUGUUAACUUUGAAAGAUUCCCUUGAUGGUCUUCAUACAUGGAAGCUCCAAAGCGGCUCUUAAGACUGACCAAAAAACUUCACCAUGUGGUUAAGAGAUUGUUAGCUUUCAUCCAUUGAUACAAAGCAGCAGCUCUCCCUUCCAUGUGAAACGAUGCAAUGCAAAGACACAAAUUAUCUGGGGUCCCAUGGAGGUCAAAAAACUCGUUGAUGCGAAAAUCCCACCCGGUCGGAUUAGAGCCGUCAAACUUGGGAAUGUCCAUUUUCAUGGAACGUAAAAGCGGGGAAAAAUCUGUGCCCCCAGCAGAACCCUUUGUAAACGCUGACAUCAACUCCGAUGGUCGUGAAGGGCCACUCAAAACGCCGACAGACCCACGGAUUUGAGAUUGUAAUUCCUCAAAACGGGAAUCUACAGUGGACAUGUAUUGUUGUAAGGUCUGAUGCACAGAGAGUGUUUGCUUCUCAAGGAGCUCCUUCAUGGCGGAAAGAACUCCAGAAUCAAUCGUCUUUGUUGUCUCGGUCAUGGUGGAUUUUUUUUUUUUUGAAGAAGAAGAAGAAGGAGAAGAAGGCAAUGAAAGCACCAAUUGAUACAACUCUGCAACUCAGAGUUUAUAUCACAUAGCUACACUUUUUGGAGUAAGUGCUGACUCCCGCAAAAAGAAUUGAAAUUAAUGGAGAAACAGAGAUUGCAGGAGAAGACGGAGAGAGAAGAAGAAAUAUUUUCCAUUUCCUUGCUUUCUAUGACGUGUUCCCCUCUACAUAUAUCUUUUACCCCUCAACAUUACACGUGUAACUAACCAACAAAUGAAUGAUUCAAAGAAAAAACAGUCACAACAAAAUAACAAAAUCACAGCUGCCAUCUUUUCCACUCUCUUUGUGCCUUCUCGAAUAUUCCUUAGGUAAUGUAAUCUUUGAGGUAUGUUGGUGCCCUGCGCAUACGAACUGGACCUUUUGUGUGCUCCUCAACCAGCUGGGCUUCUUUCUCUGUUUCCCAUGUUGACUUGUCAUUAAUCUCGGGCAAGGUUGUAUCAAAGUGGGACAUGUAACAACGACACAAUACAAGAAAAUUUAACGGUACUUGUGACUAAAUCAUUGAUGACAAACUGUUUAUUCUUUAUAUUUACAUGUGAAACCGCAGAAAAGGGCCAAAUUUGUAGUUUGAAAUUUUACAUUUGAUUUUGUCGUCAAUUGAUGAGCUCAUAGCGACAUUAAUUUAUUGAAUGAUAAAAUAAUAAUUUUGUAUUCAGUAAACCUAUGAAAUAUGACUUAAAUUGAAAUUUUGAGAUCUUAAUACAUUGGAGUUGCAUUGAGUUGGGAGACGAACUUUGACUCUAAAUGUGAUAGCCCUUAAUGUGUCAUUUAUUUAUUAAAUUUGUUAAUGGUAUGAUAUUAUCUCAUUAGGACAGAAAUAUUAAAUUGCAAUGAGUCUAGUCAAUUGAGAAAACAAUUUUUGCGCGAGUAUUCUCAAUUUCCAAUAUAAAAAUUGCAAGACAAAAUUAAAAAGGAGAAUGAUACUUUAUACCUGUUUAGAAGCCAUUGGUUAUUUGGUCAUAUUCAAAACCUGUUUUAACCACGUAAGUCCAUGAUAAAAGUUACGAGACAAAAUUAAAAAGGGGAAUGAUACUUUAUACCUGUUUAGAAGCCAUUGGAUAUUUUGGUCAUAUUCAAAACCUGUUUUAACCACGUACGUAAGUCCAUGAUAAAAGUUUAAAAUACCUUUUGUGGAAAGGAUAAGUAUGAUAUUUUUAAUACAUAAAUUAAUAAAUAGAUCUAUUUAGUAAAUAUAUAUAUUUUUGAUACACUGAUAUAUUAUAAUUUUAAUAUUUAUAAUUAGAAAUUUGUUUGGAUUUAUCCUGAAUAAUUCUAUUACACCACAACUCGAAUAUCAAUCCUCACUAAACUGAAAGAAGAUUUGCCCUCACUAUUAAUUUAUACUCGGAACAAUUGUAUAUAAACAAAGGUUCACUUCCAGUUUCAUCUAAAGUGGAUUAAGCACAACAAACCAAUACAAUCCUCACUAUCUUUACGUUUUUGAAAUUAAAUACAAAUAUUCCAAUUGUUACUGUGAAAAUGUGAUAUUUUCAGCACUACAGCUACCACUUUAUUGCUUAUCGGAUCCGCAAGGAACUGAUGUGGUCCAAUCGUGUUCCGAUCGUAUUGGUUGCCGUCAUAAUCUGAUCACAUUUAGAUAACUUUUCAGUUUUGUCCAGGAGAAAGGCUGUCAAUUAUGUCUCCCUAAGAAAGACGUCACAUAGAUGAUGUAAUCGGAUUUUAUCAUGCGUUUGUUCCUCUCCAAUCGAGAACUUGUCACAUCCUGCCUGUACAAGGUUUUUUUUUUUUUGAUAAGCUGUAAAAUGUAUUUGAGUGUUUGUGAAUCUACAAUUAUUUUUUGGCUACUUAGGGGAAUCCUUUUUUUUUAAGGGUUUAUUGGAACCGCUUAACCACAUAAUUAGAGUUAUAAUAAUUUUUUAUUAUUUAUUAUAUGUGGUUUUUAUUAUUUAUUAUAUGUGGUUGAAAUUUAUGCUUCACCAUAAAUUAAUUUUUAUAUAGUUAUUGUCUUAUUUUUAAGGGAGUAAUAUAAAUAGAAACUAAUGGAAAGCUACAGUUACUAUUUGAACAAAAUUAACAUGAAUAACAAAAAAGGGGCAGCUGCAACUAAUAUCAUUAAAUCAAAGGAUUGAAGUACUAACUAGAGAUUUUAAACAAAACUGUUUGGUUUAAAAUUAUGGGAAUUUGAGAUUACACUUACAGUUUUCAUUUUUAUUUUAUUUUUAUUUUUUUGAAGAGAAGAAAGAAAAAAGAUCAGCUAUAUGAUUAAUGAAAGAGCACAUGGUUAUGCCUGGAAGGAGGGAGGUGGGGGGUGAAGAGUAAUUGGAGUCAGUUAUGUCAGGGCCGACUUAAUUAUAUUUGGGGUUUUAAACAAAUAAUUUUAAUUAGUUCUUCUUAAAAUUUAGGAUAAAAAAUAUAUAUAUAUUAGUUAUAUAUUAUUUAUUGAAUAUCAUUUCUUUAAACACUCUAAAAUGUAAAAUUAUUAAAUAAAAUUUUAUUCUACUAUUGCUAAUUCAUGGAAUUUUAAUUCAAUUAUAACAUUUUCAAUUAUUGUUUUUUAACUCAAAUCACAUCUUUUUUACUACUCCUUUUCUAGAUUAAAUUAAAUUUUAUAUUCUUCUAUUUUCUAAAGUUUUUUGAUAUAAUUUUAUUUCAAAAUAUAUAAAACAAGCACACAAAAAUAUAGUAGAUGAAUAAAAUAAUAUAUUAAAAAGAAAUAAGAAUAAAUAAAUAACACAACUAAUUAAAAGAAUGAUAAAAGGAUAAAAAUCGAAAAUUUGAGAUGAAAUUAUAAAUUAACUUUAUCUUUAUAUUAAUUGUUUGAUAAAUUGAGUAAUGACCAAUAACCAUAGAGAAUAGAGAAAACUAUUAGAUUUUUUCUUUUUUAAUUGAGUGGAAAGUAGAGGAAGCAAGAUUUUUUUCCCUCUCUCUUUCUUUCGCUCAAAUACCAAGAACAUAUCUUGUCUUGAUUGUUGGAGGAAAAUUUUAAUAGAUAAGUGAUAAAAUGUGGGGCUUUUAUAGAGGUUUAAAAUGAAUAUAAAACUUUUUAAGUAUAACAUAUUAAUUCUAACAUUGAAAUAGAGAAUUUGUAGGAUUGAAACUAUUAACUUAUCAGUUUUGUAGGAAUUAAAACUACUAAGUACUACAUUAAAUAAACUUUAUAAGAAUUUGAUAUUUUAUUUAGAAAAAGAUAAUUAUAAAAUAAUAAUAAAUUAAAUGAAUAAUAAUGACUUUUAAAUUCAUUUUUUCCUUUUACAUACAAAAUAAUCAUCUUAUUGGGCCUUCAUGUAAAGUGGGGCCCUAGGCAAUCACCUAAAUUACCUAGAGGUCGAGCCACUAUUGAGUUAUGUAACGAACUGCCGAAGCAUUGAUCGGCGUGUAUUGUAUCAAACUGCUAACAGGUAUGAAACAGUCUUAGAGUGCAAAUAAGAGAAUAGAAAUGGUCAUAAUACAGGAACAUUUGUUGGUUCAAAGGAGCAACAAUUAGGAAUGGCUAUUUAUUUAAAAUAUGAAGUGGAAAAUUGAAUUAAUUUAUUUGAAAUAGAAAUGGUCACAUGAUGAAGAAAAUUGUAAAACUGAAUAAAUGCUGCUGUUUGGCAGCUGAGAAAAUGCAGAGGAAAAUUCUUUAUUUCAGCAAUGAAUUGAUAUUUUGUACAUACAAACAAUCACGAAACGUGCAGCUAUUUAUACAUGCUACACUUGCUAACUAAUUGCUUACUAACUAAUUAUUAAUCACAAGCUCACUCAGCUAAUCAAAUAACAGAAUACAGAGUAUGCAUUGUGAUGUUAGUUAGGCUGGUAACUGCUGCUGACGUGGCACAAAUGACAGCUGGUAACUUGAUACGCUGACUCUUCUUCCUCACUUCUGCACAAUGAGCUAUCUUCACAGCCCCCCUCAAACUCAAAGGACAUGAAAAGACAUUGAGUUUGUCCCUUAAAUAAUUGAACUGAGGGGAAGAUAAAGGCUUGGUUAAGAUAUCUGCAAUCUGAUCUUCACUUGGCACAUAACAGAUUUUGAGAUCACCAGAUAACACUUUGUCUCGAAUAAAAUGAACAUCAAUCUCAAUGUGUUUGGUUCUUGAAUGGAACACAGGAUUCUUUGCUAGCUCUGUUGCACUUAUAUUAUCACACCAUAUUGUUGGUCUCUCUACACAGUAUACUUCCAUUUCCAGAAACAAUGACUUUAACCAAGCUAUCUCUGAAGCAGCUGAAGCAAGUGCUCUAUAUUCACUCUUAGCUGAAGACUUAGUGACUAUUGUUUGCUUCUUUGAAGACCAUGAAAUCAGAUUAUUUCCAAGAUACACACAGUAGGCUCCAAUCGACUUCCUAUCAUCCAAGUCACUUCCCCAAUCUGCAUCAGUGAAUGCAGUGAUUUUCAAAUCACCAUCCUUUACAAACUUUAAACCAUAAUCCUGUGUCUCCUUUAGGUAUUUAAGAACCCUUUUGCAAGCCAUAAGAUGUUGCAUAGUUGGUGCAGAAACAUAUUGGCUUAACUUGUGAACAAAAUAAGCAAUUUCUGGUCUUGUCAAUAUCAGAUACUGGAGACCACCUACAAUGCUUCUAUAAUGAGUUGCAUCUUCAACAUAGUAACCCAAUUCUCCUUUAACUACCUUCUGCAACUUUGAGUCUUUGCCACUGCACAUUGGUGUUGUCACUCCUUUGCACUCAAGCAUGUCUACUUUAGCAAGCAAAUCUCUGAUAUACUUCUUUUGAGACAAAUAAAUGCAAUCCUGACCAUACAACACUUCUAUACCAAGGAAAUAGGACAAUCUUCCUAAAUCUUUCAAUGCAAAAACAGUAUUAAACUGUUGAAUGAAGCUGUCCAAUUCUUCAUUGUUAGGUCCAGUAACUAAUAUGUCAUCAACAUAUAUCAAUACCAUAAUGAGUGACACUUUAGUUUUUCUUAAGAAUAAGGAAGAAUCAGAUUUUGAAUUUCUGAAACCCCAUUGAAGAAGACAUCCCCUGAGCUUUUCAAACCAGGCUCUAGGAGCUUGCUUAAGACCAUAUAAAGCUUUGUGUAAUCUGCAAACAUAGUGAUGGGUGUCGAAGCCAACAAAAAUAAAUUCCUACUCUAAAUAAAUUGUGUAUAGUGAUUGAGCAGGGUCGUGUCCACAGAGAUCGGUAAUUAUUUAAAUCCUUUUGAAACGUAAAACGUAAAAUGGGGGAAUUGUAGACAAUAAUAAAAAUCAAAUUAAAUAACAAGAAUGCAAAUUAAAGUUGUAAUUCAAAUUGGAGAAAGCUCUGGUUGAAGGAAUUAACUAAGCUUGAUUCGACUACUGAUCAUUGAUUCAAAUAUAGAUUAUUAUUACUCAUGAAUAGACCGGUUAUAGCUAUUGAGACCCUCUAAUAGCCAAUCUCUCCUUAACUAGUCGAUAACCAAGGUACGACCGUUGGAUAUUUCCCUAAUCAAUAGACAACCCUAGAUACAAUCAUAGGAUUUAAUCAAUUGACAGCCUGAAAAAUCAGAGAGACCCAAAUCCUAAUUAACACAUAUGAUGAUUCAUUUAAAUUAGAUUGUUUAUUCUCACAACACAACUCUCUGCUAUGUUAUUUGUCACAAACAUCAAAUUCUUCAUACGAUGAAUCCUUUAAUUGACAAUAGAUUAAGUUGAUAAUUAAAUAGUGGCCAAUUACCUAAUUAACAAACAUAAUCAUGAAAAUAAUUCAGAGAAUAAACAAAUACCCAAAAAGUAAUAAAACAAUUAAAGCACAAGAAAGAUCUCACAGUAGUGAUGAAUCAAAGCUUCAUUAACCUUCAACCAGAAAAAUGGGUUUAGUUCCUCAUAGAGAGAAGAGAAAAAUUAGAUCUAGGGUUUCUUUUUCUCCAAUCCAAAUCCCCCUUUUUCACAAUAAAUUCUUCCCUUAAAUACUCUCUCUCUCUUCUCUUUUAGAAUUCUAUUUAAAAUAAAAUACUAAUAUCUGAAAUAUUAAAUUCGUAAUUACAAAAAUAACCAAAAAUACAAAACACGUUAAACUAAAAACUGCAGGUCCGCAGUUGACAGCACGCGCCCACGCCUUAUCAACAAAGUUCUUCUGACGCUCAUAAUUUCUCCAAGAGAACAAUCCUCCUUAAACAUCAUCUUUUAGCUCAAUUUUAUCACCAAUCAAUAGAAUUGCACCUACAAAAGUAAAACAUAAGUAAAACAUUAUUAUUAAAUGCAAAACAUCGAUAUUAAGGGAAGUAAAUAAUGCAAAACUAGUGCAUAAAUUGCACUCUAACAAAUUCCCCCACACCAAGAUGAUGCUUGUCCUCAAGCAUAUAACUCAAGAUUAAUCCCAAAUCUCCACUCAAUUCUCAUCUCAACUCAUCCAAAAAUAAUUUUAAGCAAGCAUACCUCAAGAAAUUAAGUCGAUCAACAUUCGAGAGACAAGGACUUUUAAAGCAUAGAAUCUCAUAAGAUAGAAUAAGAACAUUUAACCACCAAGAAGAUCCAUUCAAAAUUCAAGUGCAACAAGAUUUAAUAGCCCUCUCAAUGACUUCACUCCAUGCACUCAAAGUGUUUAGGGUAUCAUCUAUGCACUCAAAUCAAAUCAAAGAAUGCUAUUACCAUAAGCUUGCUCAUAUAUCACAUCUCAAUCCACAAAACAUGAAUAAAAUGCAAAAAUCUAAGGGUCUUAAAAGGGUUGUAAUGGGGUUAAAUAGGUUAAAUGAAAAAGAAAGGUCUAUGAAAGAAAAAGAGAUCAAAAUGAGAAGAAUGAACUCAUUGAAUGAACUUAUGAUAUCAAAAUGCUUAUUUCUACUCAAGUCACCACGAAUGUAAACAUUUUUUUUUUCUUCUUUUUCUCUUUUUUUUUGAUUUUUUUUUUGAUUUUUUUUUCGAUUUUUCUUUUUCUUUUUUUUUCUUUUUCCUUUUUUUUUUUUUUGAAUCAAACAAAAGAAAUGAACCUUGCACAAUUUAAUUCAAGCAUAAUGCUUGUUGAUCUAAUUGAGAAACUUUAAUACAAGGUAGAAAAAGCAACAAAAUAUAUACAAAAUAUAUCCACACAAUGAGUCCAAAAAUCUCCUUAAAUUGAGGCUCAAAAAGAAGAAAAAUGGUUAAGUAGACAGAGAGAAUUAGAUGGGUAAUGGUUAAGGCUCAAACAAAGAUAGUAAAUCAAGGUCUUCGGGUAGAGAAAAAAAAAGAAAAUGCGAGAAUAGAAAAAUGGUAAAUGGUUUGCCCUUAUCAUUUUAAUGCAAAAAUUCCCGUAAUGUGGCUUCAACAUGCAUAACAAAGCAAGUUCUAGAAUAAACAAACUAAGAUUGAUAUUCACAUAAUAAAAAUAAUUAGAGCAAAGUGGUUGCUCAUAGGCUCAAAUCCUCACAAAGUUGGUAAAUUUGCCAUCAAAUCAUGUACACUCUUCAAAUGAAUCAACCAUCAAUAGUGGUGUAGAAUGGGAAGAAGGUAUGAGUGAAGGAAAGGUAAAAAUGAUAAGAAGUGAGAAAGAUGUAUGUAGUAAUAUGAAAAGUGAAAGAUAAAAUGUGAGUGAUGAAAGAGUAUGAUAGAAUAAAAAUAGAUGUAAAUAAUUUGAGAUAGAUGGGAAAAAAGUAGUGAGAAAGAAAAGAAAAGAAAAAUAAUAAUAUAUGAAGCAUACUAACUCCAAAAUCAUUUAAGGAUGAGUAGAAUGAAAAUAGAUGAGUAUAGUGAAAAUAAUACUUCCAGACAUCAAUAAUGCAAAAAUCCCUCCCCCACACCAAGAACUUACAUUGUCCCCAAUGUAAGAUAAUUAAAGCUCACAUAAAAAUUAAAGCGUAAGGAUAAAAGAUUAAGGGCAAAAAGAAACUUCCCUGAAUUGUGAGCUUUGAUCCACAUAACGUCUAUGGGCUUGGCGGAAAUGGUGGGGUAAAACCCACACUCUCGAAGUAUGCGGCCAAAUUCUGCUCCAUUUUGUUCAACUUGUGCUCCAUUUUCUCUAACUGAAUGCUCAAAGGUGGUGCGGAUGUAGAAGGAAUAGUUGGCGGGGCAACAGUGUCGUCGUCAAACUCGUCAUCAGAGGUAGCACCACUCCUAGCAUAAAGCUUCUUCGGAAGUUGAGUGGGUCCUGGUUCAGUAAACUGAAAUCUCCCCUCCUUGAAUUCGACCACACAUGUUCUUUCAAACACAAACAUAUCCAAAAAUUCAUUUUUGCAAGCAGGAUGCAAAUCAUUAUUGUCAGGAUCAAGCACACAUAGGUUUAUAGCUAACAGAGUAAUGUAUGGACCAAGAAAUAAAGUCUUAUACCGUUUAAGCACACUUUGAAAUUGAUCCGCUAACCAAAAACCUAAAUUAGGCCUCACAUCAUUUAACAUGCACCAGAUAAAAUAAAAUUCAGUUUUAGAGAAAAUUCCUGAGUGAUCUUUCUUGCCUAAAAAAUUAUAUGCUAAGAAUCGAUGCACACAUUUCAAAACAGGAUCACGUAAGAAAGAACUCUUUGGUUUACUCGGGUCAUAGGCAUUGUGAUCAACAGAUAAAUUACGCCAAAGACCAUAAGGCUCAAAAUUUUCGCUAAAGUCACAAGUUGUUCCUAAAUAUUCAUCACUAGUAGAAUAAUAAUCAUCAAUGAAUCCUAAAGCUAGGUUAAAAUGCGUGAUAGAGUGUGAAAAAUUUCGUCCCAUUAACCUAAACUUAAUGACAUCCGGGGUAUGCAAAGUAAAAUCAUUCGGCAUAGUGAAUUGAAAAGUAGCAUAAAACUCCCUAAUCAACUCAACAUAACCCAAGCAAUCAACAUCAACAAACUUACGCAACCCAAUCUUAUCUAUCAAAGAAUCAAAAUUAUCUUUAACAUUUAAUUUUUCAAGAGUCGGGUAAUGAAUAUACUUAGCUGGAAGUAUUUUGCGCGUGGAAAUAUCUUUGUACCUCUCUUUCUCUUGUUGAGUCGCGAAUGCGAGGCACCCUCCGAGAUUGGAUUCCGCAAGUGGCAAAACACUCAUGCCUUUUCCAUGCUUCGAUCUUUGUCUCACGGCUUGGCGUGAAUCUGAAAUUAUGUUCCAUGGAACCGUAGUGGGAGCGGCAAUCUUAGAUUUCUUUGCGACGGGUGUCUUUUUCGACGACUUGGAAGUAGAUGCUUUCCUAUUCGGCAUUGUUACAAUAAUUGCACUCACGGAUUUCGAUUUACCCGGCUGGAAUACAGGGCGUAGGCUGGUUGUGUUGCGCUUGCUGCUCGGCUGGAGCUUGUUGCGCGAGUUGGGGCUGGUUGUGCGCGCUGCUGAGGCUUGCUUUGCGGGUGCUGGUUCGUUGCUGUGUUGCGCGCGCGGGGCUGUUGCGCGCGAGAGCCAGUUCGCGUUGCGGGUCUGCGUUGCGGAUCUGUUGCGCUGCGCGCGCGGGACUGAUGUGCUGCGCUGAGGCUGAUUCGCGCUGCUGCUAGUUGCGGUGCGCGAUGCUGUGCGCGGCGGCUGGGGCUGAUUCGCGCUGCGCGCGCAACUGGGGCUUAUGUUGCGCGCUGCGCUGCUGGUUCUGGGCGUACUCGUCUGCUGCUGCUGGUUGCGCGGUGAAGGCUGGAGCUGAUGCUGCUGUAAAACGAUAAUCAACAGUAAUUUUUGAAUUAGGGAUUUGUGAACAGUGAUUUUCGAUUUUUGGUUUUUUUUUAUAUAUAUAAAUAAAUAUAUAAAAGAAAGAAAGGAACGAAAAUAAAUAAAUAAAUGAUGAUUUUCGAUUUUUGGUUUUUUUUUUUUUUUUUUUUUUUUUUUUUUAGUGAUGAAUCACUUUGAGACACUAAAAAUUUCAAAAGUACUUUUCUAAUAAGUACGUGGGCAUGCCUUAUCAAAAAUUUUCUUCUGACCAAAAUAAACAAACAAAUUAAAUUUCAGAAGUAUUUUUCUAAUAAGUACGUGGGCACGCCUUAAAACUUUGAGACAUUAAAAAUCACAGAAGUACUUAUUAGUUAAGACGUGGGCACGCCUUAUCAAAAAUUUUCUUCUGACCAAAAUAAGCAAACUCAUUUUUUUAAAUUUUUUUUUCUUUUUUAAAGAAGAUAAAACAAAAACCAAAAUAAACAAAUCAUUUGGGUUGCCUCCCAAAAAGCGCCUUUGUUUUAUGUCUUUGGCUAGACACAUUUAUGCAUCAAUCUCCAUAAUUGGGACUCUCGAGAGCCACAUCCUCCACAAUAUUCACCGAAAAACCUUCAUAAAAAGGUUUUAAGCGAUGACCAUUAACCUUAAAAACUUUGUCAGAGGUCGGACUCCGAAUCUCAACUGCACCAUGAGGAAAAAUAUUAGUAACAAUAAAAGGUCCAACCCAACAAGAACGUAAUUUAUUCGGAAAAAGUUUAAGCUUAGAAUGAAAAAGAAGAACUUUUUGACCAACAGAGAACUCCUUUCUCAAAAUCAUUGUAUCAUGAAAUGUCUUCGUCUUUUCCUUGUAAAAAACUUCCUGCACUAUAGGGUUAAUAACAUCCACAGAAAAUACCGAAUGUUCCUCACUAGGAUAUUUCAUGGCAUCAUUCAUAUUGAAUUCUAUAACCUCUCCAUCAAACUCCAUAGUGAGAGUCCCUUUAUGUACAUCCAUUUUAGUCCUAGCAGUCUUAAGAAAAGGUCUUCCUAGCAAAAUUGGGACAGAAUUAGAGGAGUUAUCAUCUUCCAUAUCAAGUACAUAAAAAUCAGCAGGAAAAACCAACUCAUUAACUUGUACUAAGACAUCUUCUAAUACCCCAUCAGGAUAUGCAUUAGACCUAUCAGCUAGUUGAAUUAUCACGCCAGUUUCUUUUAAUGGACCAACAUUCAAAGAUGAAUAAAUGGAACGAGGCAUGACAUUAAUAGAAGCUCCUAGAUCUAACAAAGCCUUUUCAAUUCUAACACUACCAAUUUUACAAGGGAUAGUAAACAUACCUGGAUCCUUGCACUUAGGAGGUAGUUUCUUUUGGAGAACUGCUGAAACAUUCUCCCCCAUGUGAACUUUUCCAUCUCCUGUUAAUUUUCUCUUGGAGGUGCACAGUUCCUUAAGGACUUUAGCAUAUCGAGGUAUUUGUUUUAUAGCAUCUAAUAAAUGAAUAUUUACCUCAACCUUGCGAAAUGUCUCAAGGAUGUCUUUCUCUUGUUCCUCCUUCUUGGAUUUUGCAAACCGGCUUGGAAAAGGAGGAGGUAUCACAAUAGGUAGGGGUUUAGCUCUGGUGGGUUCCGCAUCAUGAGAUUGAGGCAUCAAUUCAUUCUUCUCAAGUUCAUCUUCUACAUGCUUUGUCACUUUCUUACUAGGCUCUUGCAACUCCGUCCCACUUCUAAGGAUGACAGCACUAACGUUUUCCUUUGGAUUCACCUCAGAUUGUGAAGGCAAUCUCCCUAAUACUUGAGACUCCAGACGGCUCACUGUAGUCGCCAAUUGACUCAUUUGGUUCUCCAAGUUCUGAAUGCUUGCUGUAGUUGCCUGUUGAAAUUGUUGAGUGUUAGUUGCAAGUGAUUUAACAAUUUCUUCAAGAGAUAUACCUGACUUGGAGUUUGACUGUGGAGGUGCUGGUUGUCUUGGUGGAUACUGUUGUGGGAAUCCUGACGGCCUAACUCCAUAGCUGAAGUUAGGAUGAUCCUUCCAUCCCGGAUUGUAUGUUUGUGCAUAAGGAUCAUACCUCCUCUGAGGCAUGCUUGGAAAUCCUCCAACUGCAUUGGCUUGUUCAAUGGGUUCUUCUUGAAGUGUAGGACACAUAUCAGUUGAAUGACCCAUAUUGUAACAAAUGCCACAAGUCUUCACCUGUUGCACAUUGCCUACAACAAACUUUUCCACAAGAGAAGUAAGUUUAUCUAAACGUUGUUCAACAGAAGAAAUAUUUACCUCAUUCACCUUCCUUGAAGUAGGAUCUUGCCUGCUGCCAAAUUGUUGUGCGUUGGCAGCCAUAUUUGAUAUCAACUCCCUUGCUUGAGUAGGGGUCUUGUUCACUAACACGCCUCCACUAGCAGCAUCUAUCAUACUCCUAUCCAUCAAUGACAAUCCUUCGUAAAAAUACUGAAUAAGAAGUUGAUCAGAAAUCUGAUGCUGAGGACAGCUAGCACACAAUUGUUUGAAUCGCUCCCAAUACUCAUACAAAGUCUCCCCAGGAAGUUGUCUGAUCCCACAAAUGUCUUUUCGGAUGUUGGCAGCUCUUGAAGCAGGAAAGUAUUUCUCGAGGAACUGCUUCUUCAAACCAUUCCACGUUGUAAUCGAUCCAGGAGGCAAGUAAUACAACCAGUCUUUAGCUAGCCCAUCUACAGAGAACGGAAAAGCACGCAGCUUAAUCUGCUCUUCAGUCACGCCUUGUGGUCUCAUACUUGAACACACAACAUGAAACUCCUUAAGAUGUUUAUGAGGAUCUUCACCUGCAAAACCAUGAAACUUGGGUAAUAAAUGAAUAAGACCAGACUUUAAUUCAAAAUUUACCUCCAAGUCUGCAUAUUGAAUGCAGAGUGGUUGUUGAUUCAAGUCAGGUUCAGCUAACUCUCUAAGAGUUCUUUCUACAAGUGCAGCUCUAUCCAUCACUUGUUCUUCUGAAUCGCUAGAUGAUUCAACUAAAUCAGGCACCGUAUCUGUUUCAGAAAGCAAAGGCGACGAGGAUCGUUGCUUAGCUCGCUUUGUCUGCUGUCUCAGCUGGCGAGCUGUCUUCUCAAUUUCAGGAUCAAUCGAAAGUGUACCUGUACGAGAAGAACGAACCAUACACCAAGUAAAACGUAAAAAGGAUUAAAUAAAUGACACCAAUCCCCGGCAACGGCGCCAAAAUUUGAUGGGUGUCGAAGCCAACAAAAAUAAAUUCCUACUCUAAAUAAAUUGUGCAUAGUGAUUGAGCAGGGUCGUGUCCACAAAGAUCGGUAAUUAUUUAAAUCCUUUUGAAACGUAAAAUGGGGGAAUUGUUGACAAUAAUAAAAAUCAAAUUAAAUAACAAGAAUGCAAAUUAAAGUUGUAAUUCAAAUUGGAGAAAGCUCUGGUUGAAGGAAUUAACUAAGCUUGAUUCGACUACUGAUCAUUGAUUCAAAUAUAGAUUAUUAUUACUCAUGAAUAGACCGGUUAUAGCUAUUGAGACCCUCUAAUAGCCAAUCUCUCCUUAACUAGUCGAUAACCAAGGUACGACCGUUGGAUAUUUCCCUAAUCAAUAGACAACCCUAGAUACAAUCAUAGGAUUUAAUCAAUUGACAGCCUGAAAAAUCAGAGAGACCCAAAUCCUAAUUAACACAUAUGAUGAUUCAUUUAAAUUAGAUUGUUUAUUCUCACAACACAACUCUCUGCUAUGUUAUUUGUCACAAACAUCAAAUUCUUCAUACGAUGAAUCCUUUAAUUGACAAUAGAUUAAGUUGAUAAUUAAAUAGUGGCCAAUUACCUAAUUAACAAACAUAAUCAUGAAAAUAAUUCAGAGAAUAAACAAAUACCCAAAAAGUAAUAAAACAAUUAAAGCACAAGAAAGAUCUCACAGUAGUGAUGAAUCAAAGCUUCAUUAACCUUCAACCAGAAAAAUGGGUUUAGUUCCUCAUAGAGAGAAGAGAAAAAUUAGAUCUAGGGUUUCUUUUUCUCCAAUCCAAAUCCCCCUUUUUCACAAUAAAUUCUUCCCUUAAAUACUCUCUCUCUCUUCUCUUUUAGAAUUCUAUUUAAAAUAAAAUACUAAUAUCUGAAAUAUUAAAUUCGUAAUUACAAAAAUAACCAAAAAUACAAAACACGUUAAACUAAAAACUGCAGGUCCGCAGUUGACAGCACGCGCCCACGCCUUAUCAACAAAGUUCUUCUGACGCUCAUAAUUUCUCCAAGAGAACAAUCCUCCUUAAACAUCAUCUUUUAGCUCAAUUUUAUCACCAAUCAAUAGAAUUGCACCUACAAAAGUAAAACAUAAGUAAAACAUUAUUAUUAAAUGCAAAACAUCGAUAUUAAGGUAAGUAAAUAAUGCAAAACUAGUGCAUAAAUUGCACUCUAACACAUAGUUAGAUUUACUCUUAUCAACAAAGCCUUCAGGUUGCUGCAUAAACACUUCCUCUGAUAACUCACCAUUCAAGAAUGCAUUGUUGACAUCCACCUGUCUAACUAUCCACUGAUUCAUCACUGCAAGACUAAGAACUACUCUCACUGUUGCUGGCUUUAUCACUGGGCUAAAGGUAUCAAAGUAAUUCACACAUUCAAUCUGUUGAAACCCUUUUGCCACCAAUCGAGCCUUAUACUUAGCUACACUGCCAUCAGUGUUAUACUUUAUUCUAUACACCCACUUAUUCCCAACAACUUUCUAAUUUUCUGUUCUUGGUACUAGAGACCAAGUUCUGUUUUCAAUUAGUGCAUCAUACUCAUUUUUCAUAGCUGUAAACCAAUUUGUGUCUUGCAAAGCUUCACCAACUGAAUCUGGCUCUUUGUGAACGUACACUGCAGUAUACAUUUUUGGCUUAAAAAUACCUGCUUUUCCUCUUGUGGUCAUGGGGUGAUUGUUUUGAACAUGUUGAAUAUUGUUUGAGGUUAUUUGGGACUGAGAUGGUAAUGGAAUUUGAGUAGGAUCUGUAGUGUUUGGUGAGUCUAGAUCAUGAACAGGUUCAAGAGUAGGAUUGAGAUUUGGUGUUUGACAUUGUGUAGCUUCAUUUGCUUGUUGAUGAUCUGCUGAUGAGAACAGUUCUGUGCUGCUGGAACAUGCUGGAGAGUAGGAUUCAAAACUGCUGUUAUAAGGAUUUGACACAACAGGAAGAUUGGAUAAAUGGAAAACUUGAUGAGGGGACAAAGCAGAGCUGGAUAUUGAUUGUGUUUUGUUCUCAGAAUUGAAAGCAGGAUCUGAAGAAAAAGGAAAUGCAUUUUCAUCAAAUAUGACAUGCCUUGCUAUGUAUACACGACCAGAAUGAUGAAGGCAUUUAUAUUCUUUGUGAGCAGAGCUAUAACCAAUGAAUAUGCAUUUACUUGUGUGAAAAUCAAAUUUAUGCUUAUUGUAAUCUCUCAAAUAUGGAUAGCAAGCACAACCAAAACAUUUCAGCAUCUUAUAAUCAGCUUUAUGUUUGAAAAGUUUUUCAUAUGGUGUCAACAUUUUAAGAGCUGAAGUUGGUAACCUAUUGAUAUGAUAAACUGAAGCAUGGAAAGAAUCCCACCAAAAAUGCAAAGGAAGUUUGGCUUGAGCUAACAAUGUAAGACCCAAUUCUACCACUUGUCUAUGUUUUCUCUCAACUAAGCCAUUCUGAUGAUGAGUAUGAGGACAAGAGUGCCUAAAUAAAAUGCCACACUGAUUUAAAAAUUCAGUGAAUGAUCUGUAUUCUCCCCCCCAGUCAGAUUGCAGUAUCUUAAUGGUUGUUUGGAAUUGGUUUUCAACUUGUAACUUGUAUAGCUUAAAAACCUCUAAAGCUUCUGAUUUCAAUUUCAAUGGGUAGAUCCAAGUAUAUCUAGUGAAAUCAUCAACAAAACUAAUAUAAUAUCUAAAACCUUCUCUUGAAAUAACUGGUGAGGGACCCCAAAGAUCAGUGUGUAUGAGCUCAAGAGCUGAUUUGGUUUUGAUUUCUGUAAUUGGGAAAUGCAACUUGUGUAUCUUACCCAACUGACAUGCUUCACAGAAAUGUUGUGUUGCUUGCUUAACCAUAUUCAGAGAAAACUUAUUAGCAUGAUGGAGUUUAAGUAAAUGCAAUAAGCUUUGAGAAUUUGGGUGGCCAAAUCUUCUGUGUAGAAGAGCUAUUUUAUUAGGCUUAUCAGAACAUACAUCAAAACCAUUCUGUAAACAAUUGUUUGAAUUAUUUAUGUACUUUACAGAUGGCAUAUGAGAAGCAAGAUGACAGAAUGAUAACAUUGACAGAGGUUUAUUAGCUUGACUAUGAGACAUAGGAGAAUUCUUGGUAGAAGACAUAGGUUUGACUAGCAGUUUAUACAACCCUUUCUCAGCAAUGCCCUGCAUUAGAACUUGUCCCUUCAGCAAAUCCUUCACAACACAAAAUGAUCCAAGAAAUUCAACAGAAAUGUUAUUGUCAGUGGUAAGUUUUGAAAUGCUUAUUAAGUUCUUGGUGAUAGAGGGAACAAGCAAGAUAUCUUUAAGUGCAAUAUGUAAAUCUGCAGGUUGAGAUUUUGAAUUCUUGAAUGAAAAAUAAGAGUCACCAAUAUGAGUUAUUGACAAACCUUCACCAUUGCCAAUAAUGAGCUUCUCAUUACCUCUAAACUCAUCUCUGAUAUUCAGAUUUCCCAUGCUGUUUGUCAGAUGAUGAGUGGCACUACUGUCCAGGUACCAACCUUCAUCUGCAGGUCCUUCACAAUAUGCAGCAGAAGCAGUUCCAACCCAAGGCAUACCAGAAUUAUCAGAUGCACAAGGAUAUCCAGACUGUGACAUGUGUAAUCCAUUAUUGUUGACAGGCCAUGGAUCAUCAUUUAUUGGAUAGUAAAGUAUGUAUGCAGGUUCAUAGUUAGCUAUGUAGGCAAACUUUGAACCUUUUCCUCUCUGAAAUUGUCUUGGUGACUGAGGUAUGUAAUUUUCUUCAAAUCUAUGCCAGCAUUCAACAGUUGUAUGUCCUACUUUGAAGCAAAUCUGACAUGUAUUCAUAGAAUCAUCACUGUUGGAUACUUGUGACUCAAAAGGGGGUAAAUUUCCAGUACCAUUGAAACCAGUACUGCCAAAAGAGCCUCUUCCAGAAGAACCAAAUCUAUUGCUUCCCAUCAUCAUUUGAUUUCUUCCUUGAUUACCAAAAUGACCAGUUCCAGCAGGAAAACCCCUUGGAUGAGAAUUCAAAAACAUUCCUCUACUAUUAAACAUACAAUUUCUACCACCUGAGUGACCAUUAUAAUUACCCUGGACACCUCCUGUAUAUCCUCCUCUCCUAGUAUGACCUCUUAUUUGAGCAUAGUAUGCAUUCAUCAUACUAUUAUUAUUCCAGUUAGACAUAUUAGCAUAGUUUGCAUUAAUCAUGUGCUUUUCACUUUGAUUUUGUUCAAGCCUAGCCUCAUGAGUAAGUAAUAGGGCAUAAGCAUCAUCAUAAUCCAAUUUUCUUGUUGUGAUAAAGGUAGCUAAAUCCAAAUAGCCAGCUCCUAGACCAUUGAGGAUUUGCUGCAACAUAUCUCUAUCUGAUACAGGACUACCAGCACAUGCUAAUUUGUCUGUAAUUUGUUUCAUUUUUAAGCAAUAUUCUUCAAUACUUAGUGAAUCUUUUCUUAAGACACUCAUCUCAUACUUAAGUUGAAGAACUCUAGCCUCAGAUUGUACACCAAACCUUUUCUCUAGUGUUUUCCAUAUAUCGAAUGAAGUAGUGCAUGAGUGAACUAAACUGAAAAUACCUUCAGUUAUUGAGCUAAGAAGCCAGCUGAGUAAUGUUUGAUCUUGAGAUCUCCAGAUUGUGUAUUCAGGAUUCUCGAUAUGUUGAGAAGAGCUAGCAACUGAAGAUGCUAUGAAUUGGUUUGGUGCAAUCUUUUCUCCAUUAAUGUAUCCUUCAAGUCGAUUUCCUCUAAUGGAGGCCAGGACUUGAUUUUUCUAGAGCAUGUAAUUAGAUCUAUCCAAUUUGAUUGGUGUGAUGAAAGAAAAAGUUGUCUGAUUCGUAGCUACUGUAUUUUGAUUGUUUGUAAUAGCCAUGAUUGGCUCUGAUACCAUGAAGAAAAUUGUAAAACUGAAUAAAUGCUGCUGUUUGGCAGCUGAGAAAAUGCAGAGGAAAAUUCUUUAUUUCAGCAAUGAAUUGAUAUUUUGUACAUACAAACAAUCACGAAACGUGCAGCUAUUUAUACAUGCUACACUUGCUAACUAAUUGCUUACUAACUAAUUAUUAAUAACAAGCUCACUCAGCUAAUCAAAUAACAGAAUACAGAGUAUGCAUUGUGAUGUUAGUUAGGCUGGUAACUGCUGCUGACGUGGACCUUCUGACGUGGCACAAAUGACAGCUGGUAACUUGAUACGCUGACUCUUCUUCCUCACUUCUGCACAAUGAGCUAUCUUCACACAUGAAAAUUUUGAAUUAAUUUCUUGAAAUAGGAUCCUACAAAUGAAGUGUUUUAAUUUCGUAAUUUAUUAUUAUUAUUGUUAUUUUGUUUUUAAAUAUUAAAAAAAUUGAGUUUAUAAUACCUUAAGCAAAUCCCACAUUGACAAAGUACGAGAGAGAUGCUGAGUUUAUAAGGAGUAAUCUACACCUUAAGACGUAUUUUGGGGUGUAUGGGCGCCCUAGAACAAACUCAUGCGGGCCUUGUUAAGAGCCAAAGCGUAUGUAACAUCCUAGACAAAUCCCUCAUCGGCAAAUCACGAGAGAAAUAUUGGGUUUAUAAGAGGUGAUCCACACCUUAAGACGCGUUUUAGGAUAUAUAAGUGCCUUAAAAAUAAAUAUGUGCGGACCUUCUUAAGGACUAAAACGGAUAAUAUAUUAUCACACCUUAAGACGCAUUUUAAGAUAUAUAAGUGCCCCAAAAAUAAAUAUGUGCGGACCUUAUUAAGGACUAAAACGGAUAAUAUAUUAUCAAAUCUAAGUUAGAUCAUGACGGAAUUCGUUUUAGUUUCUAACGGACAUCCGAUUCAUCGUAAUACAAGUGCCCUUGUCCAUGUAUUAAUUGCAUUUGCCUAUGAAUUCUUCAAUAAUUGAAAAAGAUGGGUGCUUGUGGGACACUCUCCAUUUAUGAUUACAAUUUAGGAAUAAGAACUUAAUGACGCAACCAUCACUGACAGCCUCUUUUUUGGAGGUACUCGGAUGGCUAUUAUUGCCAUUUAAAAGAUAACAUAAAUUUUGUAGAUUGCCAGCUAUGGCCGAGCUUUUUUUUUUUUUGAAGAAAAAUAGCCAUUUAAAAGAUAACAUAAAUUUUGUAGAUAGCUAGUUAUGUUCGAGUUUUCAAUUAUUUUUGAAAAAAAAAUACUUAUGUCUUUUAGAUUUAGAAAAAUGAUCACAUAAAUUCUCAAAAUUUUAAUAAGAUAAAUCCAGACCUUUUUUAUUAUAAUAUUUUUUAAUUCUAUAACUAAAACAAAUUGAUUAUAAUAUUUUAUAAUAAAAAAAUAUAAGUGUAAUGACCCGCUCCGAAUCCUUAGGACGAGUUUAUCUAAUCUCACCAACCGAAUUAAUAAUAAUCUAAUAUCUAAAUUAUUUGGCAGUCUCCUAUAUAAUUAUGAUAUUCUCAAACCCGUAAUUUUUAAAAUUUAACACUCCCCAAAAAUGAUACAAUAUUCAAUCAACCUCCACAAUUAACUUUUUCAAUCAAAUACCAGUAUCCUUUAAAUAUAUAAUAUUAAGAAUACAAUAAUUUAUCUUUAAUUAUAAAUAAAUAAUAAAUUAUACAAUUCAAAAUAUCCCAACAAAACAUCUAUGAUUCCUAAUAUUAUACCAUAAUUCUAAAUUUAACUAUUGUUUCUGUGUCGAUUGAUGUAUCUCCAAAUCUAAUGUGGGGGAGGGGGUAAUAUAAAAAAAAAAAAGGAAUGAGUAUAAAACUCACUCAAUUAAAAACUCUAUAACAUAAUACUGUUUUUAGUUUUAAUAAUAUACAAAUUCAAUUAAAAACUAAAAUAAAGCAUUUAAAAGGGAAAAAAAGAACGUUUUUGAAAUUAAAUACAAAUAUUCCAAUUGUUACUGUGAAAAUGUGAUAUUUUCAGCACUAGAGCCACCACUUUAUUGCUUAUCGGAUACGAAAGGAACUGAUGUGGUCCAAUUGUGUUCCGAUCGGAUUGGUUGCCGUCAUAAUCUGAUCACAUUUAGAUAACUUUUCAGUUUUGUCCAGGAGAAAGGCUGUCCAUUAUGUCUCCCUAAGAAAGACGUCACAUAGAUGAUGUAAUCAGAUUUUAUCAUGCGUUUGUUCCUCUUCAAUCGAGAACUUGUCACAUCCUGCCUGUAAUUUUUUUUUUUUUAAUAAGCUGUAAUAUGUAUUUGAGUGUCUGUGAAUCUAAAAUUUUUUUUAGGUUAGUGUUACGUUACGUUUAACUUAACGGGAUACUUUUUUUUAAAGACUUGUUAAAAUUAAUCACAUAAUUAAAGUUAUAAUAAUUUUUUUUAUCUAUUGUAUACGGUUGAGAUUUGUGCUCCCGUAAAUCAACUUCUAUGUAGUUAUUGUCUUAUUUUUAAGGGAAUAAUAUAAAUAGAAACUAAUACAAAGCUACAGUUACUAUUUGAACAAAAUUAACAUGAAUUAAAAAAAAGGGCAGCUGCAACUAAUAUCAUUAAAUCAAAGGAUUGAAGUACUAACUAGAGAUUUUAAACAAAACUGUUUGGCUUAAAAUUAUGGGAAUUUGAGAUUACACUUACAGUUUUCAUUUUUAUUCUAUUUUUAUUUUUUUGAAGAGAAGAAAGAAAAAAGAUCAGCUAUAUGAUUAAUGAAAGAGCACAUGGUUAUGCAUGGAAGGCGGGAGGUGGGGGGGGGGGGGGGUGAUGAGUAAUUGGAGUGAGUUAUGUAACGGACCACCGGAGCAUUGAUCGGCGUGUAUUGUAUUAAACUGCGAACGGGUAUGAAACAAUCUUAGAGUGCAAAUAAGAGAAUAGAAAUUGUCAUAGUACAUGAACAUUUGUUGGUUCGAAGGAGCAACAAUUAGGAAUGGCUAUUUAUUUAAAAUAUGAAGUGGAAAAUUGAAUUAAUUUAUUUGAAAUAGAAAUUGUCACAAGAAAAUUUUGAAUUAAUUUCUUGAAAUAGGAUUCUACAAAUGAAGUGUUUUAAUUUUGUAAUUUAUUAUUAUUAUUGUUAUUUUGUUUUUAAAUAUUAAAAAAUAUUGAUUUUGUAACACCUUAGCCAAAUCCCACAUCGACAAAGUACGAGAGAAAUUCUGAGUUUAUAAGGAGUGAUCUACACCUUAAAACGUAUUUUGGAGUGUAUGGUCGUCCCGGAAACAAACUCAUGCGGGCUUUAUUAAGAGCCAAAGCGGGCAAUAUCUUGUAAGGUCUAGGUUGAAUUAUGACAUUAUGGUAUCAGAGUGGCUCUGCGUGUCCUCAUGAGUGAUGGUGGGGCAAACUUCAACGAGGACGCUGAGUCCCUAGGGAGAGUGUAUGUAACACCCUAGGCAAAUUCCUUAUCGACAAAACACGAGAGAGAUACUUGGUUUAUAAGAGAUGAUCCACACCUUAAAAUACGUUUUAUGGUGAAUGGGCGCCCCAUAAAUAAAUUUAUGCGGGUCUUAUUAAGGAUUAAAGCGGACAAUAUCCUAUUAAGUUUAGGUUAGAUCAUGACAGAAUUCCUUUUAGUUUCGAGCGGACAUCCGAUUCAUCAUAAUAAUCGUACCCUUGUCCAUGAAUUAUAAAUAGUCUAUAAUAAAAAAGAAGUGAGUAUAGUAGUUUUUGAAAAAAAUAAAUUUACUUAAAAUAAUCUAAUUUUUCCCAUAUUAAUUUCAUCAAAAUAUCAUAAGGACUUCUAGUAACUUUUCAGUUUUGUCCAGGAGAAAGGCUGUCAAUUAUGUCUCCGUAAGAAAGACGUCACAUAGAUGAUGUAAUCAGAUUUUAUAAUGCGUUUGUUCCCCUUCAAACGUCACAUAGAUGAUGUAAUCAGAUUUUAUAAGCCUCUUGUUCCUCUUCAAUCGAGUACUUGUCACAUCCUGAGUGUUUGUGAAUCUACAUUAUUUUUUAAAGAUCUGUUUAUGUUAGAAUCGCUCUAAGAUAGAAUACUCCUUCGUAAUUACAUUAUUAAAAAAUAUAGAUUAAUUUCAGAUUUAAAACAAAUGAAGCCUUUGUUUUUAUUUGCAAGACUUUUAUAAUACAUUAAUAUGUAACGCUUCAAAUUUCACGGCGGAUUAGAUACAAAUUUUUUAUCCUUAUACUAAACAUGUGUAGAGUAGUAAGAAACAAGUUAAAAAAUAAUAAAAACACACACUUUGAUGUUGUUAUUUUUAUCUUAAAGUAUUAAAAUUUAUAUUUCUUUUAAUCUUUUAACUUGUCUUUUACGAUAUUAAAAUAAGAAAAUCCUUACUAAAAGUAAAAGGGGACUUGCAUGUCAUGUGCACAGUGUACAAUAUGUUUCAAAUGUUACUUGAUAGAAAUUACUGAAAGCAUUGUAUCAUUGGAAAACUCUUGCUGCAUGCUACUAAUUUGACAGUUUAUCAAAUAUUUUUUUGCUGCUCGCUACUUAUGAAUCACGUUUAGUCCCCUUUGAAUUGUGUGCAUCCACCAUCUGUUAAAUUUAUCUUUGAAUUUUCUCGCUUCCAUAAGGGACACAAAUAAGAAACAGACAAGGACGUUCAAAUCCCCGAGUUGUAAAAUUUACAAGAUGCAUCGGGUAGAAAAAUCUUGUAGAAACCUCAGCUGAUGAACUCUGUAAAGAAUAUCCUCAUUCAUUCAGCUAACCCGUUGAACCAAAAUGCAAAAUCAUCCUCAAUAAGUACAAGAAACAAAAACUUUACAAGAAUAACUUAUGAAACUUGAUAAAUUUCUGCGGAGACUACAACGUCAUUUCAAUUUGUGAGGUAAUUAUUUGAUGCCAUGAUGCUGACUGAAUCUCAUUAAAUUAAUGAAAAUAAUACAACAAAUGGUACGAUAACUCCAAAUCAGCUAUCACAUUAUGUUUUUUUUUUUUAUAAGUAUCACAUUAUGUAUUUGAUUCAAAUAAGAGAACAAAAUUUGCAUUAUUGAUAGAUAUUAUAUUGUUUCUUGAAACUAUCCCUUGACAAAUCGCCCAUUAAUGCAGUCAUUGCUGACAAAACAACUUUGUGAAAAAGUUCACCAAGAUAGCAAGCUGAUAGAGAAAUCUGACAAUGCAAUGCAUGCCAUCCUCACACUUCAAUUUCAUCGAAAAUGGAUAAGCCAUUUUGUUCAACUUUCACCUCCGGAAGUUGAAAAGGACAUGAAUGCAAUUAUGCAAGUCCUUAUCAAAGAUGCAAUGAAUGACGCCUAAACUCCUAUAGAGUAGAGUUAAGCUAUUAAUCACUGCACCGAUACAUCAAAAAUUAAGUAUAUGGAUCAAAGACAUCUUCAUUCAAGAGUCGAGAAAUUUCAAAGCAAAGGGACCAAAGAUGGUGGUGCCAUUUUGUUCAACUUUCACCUCCGGAAGUUGAAAAGGACAUGAAUGCAAUUAUGCAAGUCCGUAUCAAAGAUGCAAUGAAUAACGCCUAAACUCCUAUAGAGUAGAGUUAAGCUACUCAUGUCUAAUUUUAGAGGUUUGAUAUGGAUAUGGAUUUUUGUUUAUAUUGAUAUUGAUACGCAUAGAUAUUCGGGAAAAAAAAUUCUACUUAACACUAUAACGAAUAGGAUACUUCUUUUAUUAGAGCGUUGUCAUGCUGACGAUAUGCAAGAUAUCAUAAAUAAAGGGGAUCGUAGGGAACGAAAUGAAAUAAGUUUAAAGAAUUUGAAAGAAACUGAUUAUUCUCUUAUUCAACAACUCGGUGUGCAAUUACAUUUUACACGAGGUCCAUGUAAUUAUAUUUGUCAUUAAGAAUGAGCGUUUGCCAAAAGAAGAGACACAUGUCAUGACAAUGAGUGAUUGACAAGUGACAAAAUUGAUAGACACCGGCCGAAUAUGUCAUAACACAAACUUCUGAAAUUGCUACAGGAAAUGAAAUAUAAUGAUGCACGAUGCCCAUCCAAGUUGUUUACUUGUAUUGUCCAACUGUAAAUGAGUACAGACAUGCUACCAUCAAUCGUUGUUAUUAGACUAGUCACCCACCACCUCGCAAAUCGCAGAUAGCAUUAGCAAGUCCUCAGUAAUUCUUACUGCCUGAAACAACAUGGCUGGAGCAGAGAUUUUUCUAUCAAAGCGUGUCCAGGACAUGGUCCUCAAUGGUGAAGAACCGCCAGCACCAAAUAUUUGUAGAGAUGGUGAUUCAAUUCAAGAGGUUUCUGCUCAUUAUCUCCGGUUCCGAUCAUUGACCUCAGUCUGCUCUCAUCUUCAACACCAUACGCCAAGCAAGAAGAAGAACUGCAGAAAUUAAGAUCAUUGACCUCAAUCUCAUCUUUAACACCAUACUCCGGUUCCGAUCAUUGAUCAUUGACCUCAGUCACUCCUUCAUGACCACAUAAUAAGGAGUGGCUAUUUAUUUAAAAUAUGAAGUGGAAAAUUGAAUUAAUUUAUUUGAAAUAGAAAUGGUCACAUGAAAAAUUUGAAUUAAUUUCUUGAAACAGGAUCCUACAAAUGAAGUGUUUUAAUUUCGUAAUUUAUUAUUAUUAUUGUUAUUUUGUUUGUAAAUAUUAAAAGAAAAAAAGAAAAAAUUGGGUUGUCUUUAGUUUCUAGCGGACAUCAGAUUCAUCAUAAUAAGCGUACCCUUGUCCAUGUAUAAAUUGCAUUUGCCUCUGAAUUCUUCAAUAAUUGAAAAAGAUGGGUGCUCGUGGGACACUCUCAUUUAAAAGAUAACAUAAAUUUUGUAGAUUGCCAGCUAUGGCCGAGCUUUUAAAUUUUAAAUUUUUUUUUUUAGAGAAGAAGAAAAAUAGCCAUUCAAAAGAUAACAUAAAUUUUCUAGAUAGCUAGUUAUGUUUGAGUUUUCAAUUUUUUUUUAGAAAAAAGAUACUUAUGUCUUUGAAAUUUAGAAAAACAAUCACACAAAUUCUCAAAUUUUUAAUAAGAUAAAUCAAGACCUCGUUUUAUUAUAAUAUCUUUUAAUUCUAUAACUAAAAAAAUUGACUAUAAUAUUUUAUAAUAAAAAAAUAACUGAAAUGACCCGCCCCGAAUCCCCGGACGAGUCUAUCUAAUAUCGCCAAUCGAAUUAAUAAUAAUCUAAUAUUUAGAAUUUUACCAAAAAUUCGGCGAGUCUCCUAUAUAAUUAUAACAUUCCCAAACCUGCAAUUUAUAAAAUUUAACACUCCUAAAAAAUGAUACAAUAUUCAAUCAACCUCCACAACCAACUUCUUCAAUCAAAUACCAAUAUCCUUCAAACAUAUAAUGUCAAGAAUACAAUAAUUUAUCUUUAAUCACAAAUAAGUAAUAAAUUAUACAAUUCAAAAUAUCCCAACAAAACAUCUAUGAUUCCUAACAUCAUCACAUGACCAUAAUUCUAAAUUUAACUAUUGUUGUUGGGUCGACUAAUGUACCUACAUAUCUCUUGUGGAGGGGGGGUAUAUAAUAAAAAAAAGAUGAGUAUAAAAUUCAGUGAGCUGAGUUGAGUAUAGUAUGAAAAAAAUAAAUUACUUAAAAUAAUAUAAUCUUUCCCAAAUCAAUAUCAUCAAAAUAUCAUAAGAACUUAAAUAAACUUAUUUAAUUUAAAUCAUGUUUUGAUAUAACAAUAAUACAUAAUACGGCAUGAAAUCAAGGAAAACAUGAUACUUAUAAUAGCAAACACCAAAUACCGAAUCUAUCACCAAACAAGUACCCAGGAAAAUAUCUCAUCAUAUCCAGACCUCGACGGAUCUGCAAUCAGGGAACCAUCAUGGCCCGAAGCUACACGGAUAGACAAGGAAGUACUAUCUCAUAUCUCAUCAUAUUUGUGCAUGCAUAAUCUAGUCCCCAAAGGACAAGGCGCCCAAGAACACGGUCCAAAGCUUCUGUGUGUACUCAAAGGGGCCCCAAAGACCUAUAUUUCAUCCGUAUCAUCAUAUAUCAUAUGUAUCAUCUGUAUCUCAAUAUAUGUAUCUCUGUAAUCAUCAUACACAUAUGCCCUUAAAAGGCAAAAACACCCAAACACACGGCCCAAAACCUUUAUAUGUGUUCAAGCGGGCCCCAAAGGCCUCUCAUCUCAUAUGUAUCACUGUAUCUAGAGGGAAAGGGUAUUGUCUAAUGAUUUUAAAAACAACAUCUUAUACACAUAUAAAUAAACAUAAAAUGACACUUAAAUCUCAUUUCUUUUUCAUGUAACAUACUUUAAAUCUACUUUAUUCUCUUUAAAACCAUUACCAUGCAUUUACUCAAAAAUGAUAAUAAAAUCAUUAAUCAAACUCAUUUUUUAUAAUAAUAAAUAUCAGCAUGUAGACAAAAAUCCAUUUUCUAGAAAGUUAUUAAAUUCGAGUAUUAAAUACUUAUUUAUCAAACAUGUUGUACUGUAUCGUAAAAUCAUAAUAUAUUAUGAAAAUAUGUUUUGUAUAUUCCACUCACAGUGACGAUGUUCGAGCUCGGUAUCGUCAACGUCUGUGGGUUGAUUCUCAUUCAUGGAUCCUCCUAAUAUAAGGAAAUAACAUAAUCCCUCCUAAUAUAAGGAAAUAACAUAAUCAUUCUCCAUAAAUAUGAAAUACAACUAAUUUUAUGCAAUAAAUCUCGAAACGAAUAUAUAUCCGUAAUAAACUAUUCCCGUAUGCAUCAAAUUACCAAAAUACCCCCUGCAUGCUAAAAUUACCAAAAUCCUCCCGAUAUCAAUAUUUACCAAAUUAUCCUCAUAAUCCUAAAUUACCAAGCUGACGUCAAUUCAGAUCACAAUGUUAGAAAUUACGAAAUUACCCUUAGAGUAUAAAAUUACCAAAAUGCCCUUAAUAACAUAAAUGACUGAAUUACCCUCGAAAUCUCAAAUUACCUAACUGCCCUAGUCCAAAAUUACUAAAAUAUCCACCAAUUUUACUCUUUUGAAUAACUAGAGAGUUUCCAUUAUCAGCAUAUGUAACUUCUCCAUCUUCAACAUCCUUUUCGACACUAGGAUUCUCAUGAUCUUCCGCAUUCUCGUCAUCGCUUUCCUCUUCAACAAGGGCAACCACCCUACGAUUAGGACACUCAGAAGCAAUGUGCCCAUAACCAAGCCAUUUAAAACAUUGACGAGAACUAGCAUUCGAACCACUUGCUCGCUGUUUAGAUCCUUCCCCGAUAUCAUUCCUAGUAAUUUUCUUUGCAGUCGAAUUUGAACCAGAAUUAUGCUUAGAAACGGAGUCACUCCCUCGAUUGACAUCACAAACUGUGAACCAAAUACCCCCACCACGAGCAUCCUUUUGUUGCUUUUCCACCUUAAGAGCAAGCCUGCAUACAUCACUAUAAGUCCAAUAUGGUUGGAGCUGGACCACAUUACCAAUCUCAGGUUUUAAACCACCCAGAUAGCGUGCGAUCGUAUGCUCUUCCGCCUCUACCAAAUCACACUUCAUCAUUAGGUUGUCGAACUCUGCUGUAUAGUCUUCCACUGACAAUUCCUUUUGCUUGAAGUUGUGGAACUUAAGGUAGAUAUCUUGCCUGUAGUUAUCGGGCAAAAACUUUCUCUUAAGCUCUUUUUUCAUUUUCUCCCAAGUAACAAUUUUCCUCCGUCCCUCUCGUUCCCUUUGCCUCUUAAGAUUUUCCCACCAUAAAGAAGCAUACUUUUUAAGUUUAAUGGCAAUGAGUUUCACUUUGCGAUCUUCAGGCACAUCUCUGUAUUCAAAAAUGCGUUCAACAGUAUCAAGCCAAUCAACAAACUCUUCUGGUUGCAUUCUUCCUUCAAAUUCAGGAAUUUCGACCUUGAAGUCGAAAGGCUGAUAAAAAUCGCGACGCCUAUGAAUUCGAGAACGAGAAGAGAAUUCACUAUUGGAGCUUUGUUCUUGAUGGAAGGGAUUAUAAUCUACCCCGUCAUUGAUUGAGCCUUCUUCUUCCGAACUACCAUUAGGAGCAGCUUCUCGAGUUCCUUCAAGGUGUUGUAAUCGUUGCUGAAGCUAUUCUACUUGUCUUCUAAGAUCAUCCCUUUCUAUAUCACCCAAGUCCCUCUCACGAACAGGAGGCUCUUCAACUCUUGCAUUACGCCGACGUCGUUGGGCCAUAAAUUUUCAGAACCCAAUGCUCUGAUACCAAAUUUGACACCGGACACAAUAGAUGAGAAAACACAAUGUCACACACCCAAGAAAUCACAAGCUCACCACCACAGCAAACAACAAAAGGAUACAGAAAAAUUCACCACCUAAAGUUGUUAAGCUAAGGAUACAGGGCUUGAAAAUACUCACCACUCAAUGGAAUCCACCAAAGAGAUACAGAGUUUGAUAAUAACUCAAAGUUCAUCUAAUUCCCAAAAUUAAUCUCCGUCCUUUGGUUACAACUACAUAAGCUUAAAUAGCUUUCUUGGAACAAUCCUCCAAGCAUAGAUUUACUACAAAGAAACCCUUCAAAUAAAUUGACUUUAAAGACCAACAUUAAAGCUAGACAUUAAUAAAACAUUGGUAUGCUUAAAACAUAACAAAGAACAUUAAAAAAAAAAAAUCCAAGUCCCGAAAUAUUCUUCUUGACUCAAAACUGAACAGUCUUCACUUAACUGAUCAUAACUUACUGUAUAAAACUCCAAAUUUAGAUUAGUAAAAUUCAUUGGAAAGCUAACAGAAAUAUCUUUCCAAUGAUGUAUGGCUCGAAAAUUAAUUCGAUCUCAUGCAGUACAGUUUAAUUCCCAAAGAUGCCCCUUCUGCACAGAAAUUCUGCUUACUUGAUUAAUGUAAGAACUUGAGCUGCACUUGGUAUAACUUGAUUACCAAAUAUUUCAAACACUCCUGUGUUAUAUAAUGAUGCUCUUGAGUCUGGUAUUGUGGAGGUGACGAAUUUUCCAAAGAAAUUGUUACAUUGUUUACAAUGGGGCUUGCAAAAUCUCAGGUUUGAGCAUAAUCCAAACUUUCUCUUUGUGAUGUUAUGGUUGAAAAGAAAAAAGAAUGAAACAAUAUUGGUUGAAAAAAAUAAAAUACUUUGGUCACUCUUAGACACUAUUUUACCACUAAGGUCCCUGGUAAAAUUUUAAUAUCUUAUUUCAUACUAGUAUUGGUAUAAAAGUAUAGAAAAAAACACAUUGUUGAAAGUUAAACGUCACAUUUUAACAAAUAGAUUAAAUAACUUUAAUUUGCAUUGAUCUAAAAUAAUCAUGUUUUAUGUGAAAAUGUACAUGGAAUAUUUAUUCUGGUAUUGUUUUCAGGGAGCAAAGUAUUACAUAUUCCCCUUUCGAGAAAACUGCCGAUUCUUUCGCAUAGGAGAGUGACUUUAUUCUUUUGUGUAUAUCAUUUCAAAUAAUGCAUAUAGAUUGAACCCUUUGCAGUGCUUUUGGUCAGAACCUCCAAACAAGCACCGAUAUCUGGGAAAACGUUUUUGCAAUUUGCAUGACGAACCUUGGUGUGGUGCUGUUUGUCUUUUUAAUUGGGAAGAUGCAGGUUCGUAUACAUUUUCUAUUUCUUAUAUCUGAAUUAACCUCAAUUCCAAAUGUUAUAAUUAAUAUUGAAGUACAUUUGAAAUUAAUGGAUUGUAACUGCAGUCGGACACAGCAAGAUCACAUAAGAUAAAAAAGAAGUGGAAGGAGAUAAAGCAGUGGCCGAAUUUUGGGGAAAUUUUUUCUGAUGUAAAAGAGCAGAUGAGGACAUACAAGCGAGAGAAAUGGGAAGAAACCAAGCGUGUUGAUGUUGAUAAUUUGGUGAAUGAUCUUCCCCACGAACUUGGCAUCAAAAUAAAGCGCAGACUCUGCAUUAAACUAAUCAAGAAUGUGAGUUCCUAUUACUACUUGUUUAUCCAGUAAUAAGUCACUUCUUUUUGUUAAACAAAAAAAAAAAAGGUUAGGCAAAGUACAAAGAGAACUGCUGAAAUUACCACUCAGCCAAAGCUCUAGGAGCAACAAUUACAACGAGUUCAUUGCCACAAAAUUGCCACUCCUUGUUUAUUACAAGAAAUUGAAACAACAUUUGUUAUAUUCCGGUACCCUUAUUAAUCGUUUGAAUGCAUCUAGUGUAAUUCUCAUUUUUUGGUCUGUACCUAUCUAUGUAUACAGGUAAAAGAGUUCGAAAAUUGGAGCGAAAAAUCAAUGGGGUAUCUGUGUGAAUUUCUGAAGCCAGUCCUUUUUAUUGAGCGUACACGCAUUAUUCGGGAGGGAGACCCAAUUGAUGAGAUGCUAUUUGUGCUGAAAGGCAAUCUCUGGACUUACACUUCCAGGAAUGUAGCAACAACUAGCAGCAAUAGUAGUCGUUGUAGAGAGAAUCGUUUGAAAGAUGGUGACUUUUUUGGAGAAGAACUUAUUGCUUGGGCUCAGAAUGAGCACCCUUCCAAUUUGCCUAUCUCAGCCAGAACUAUUCAAGCGCUUAGCGAGGUUGAAGCCUUUGUUCUUAUGGCAGAUGACUUGAAACAUGUAUUAUCACUCAGACAUUGUGACCGGGCAGCUCUUUUGUUACAAUCACGCUGGCGUUUCAGAAAGCUUUUGCGUGAUAGGAGGGCUAAGCAAAAAUCAAUCUUGAGAAAAGUGCGGAAUUGGGCAGUAGAACUACUGACUGUAGAAUAACAAUUUGAGACUGGAUUUGAAAUUAUUAUUUGUAUGAAUACUACAAAAAUGAAAAUAGGUGGUAAAAGCUGAAAAAUUAAGGGGAAAAUUGUCAAUCUCCCCGGUUUGAUUAUGCAGUCAACAAGAUCAGAGACAUUAAUCGCCAAGUUCGAUUUGGAAAUUUUAUCCAACCAAUGGUACCUUUUUUUUUUUUUUCCCUGAAUCAAGGACUUCACGCUUCGUUGAUGAGGAUACCAUUCCUAAAAUUAAAAGAUAUUGAUCACUACUAUCUCAAACAACAAUUAAUUAUACAUUGGCAGCACGCAAAAAUGAGCGACAAACUUCUUCAUUAACUAAUCUAUAUGAACAACUGCAUUUCUAAGCAUAUAUAUGAUCAUUGCAGAUGAAAAUAGUUUAAAGUGGCGAUAGAAGAACCGAUAGAUCACAGUUGAGAGAGUGAAGCAGAUCAUCAGGGGGCAAUCCUAAGUGUGUCACGUGGGUAGAGUGAUGUUUUGCGAAUGUUGUUGAGAUCGCAGAAAAUCAUCACCACACUCUCCAAUCCCACUUCAAAUCCACUAUGUCUCGAAAGGAAUCCAAUGAUAACAUAAUGCUAACAGUUUUUAGAGGACCAAACUAUUUUUCUAUUUGCGUACAAAUGGACAGCGGUUUCAGAAUAACCUUAGGAUUGCCAAGUUUAACCAGAGAGCAUGGAAAAACCUAAGCCAGAUCAAAAUUCAAUACCACUAUGGAGGAUGUGCAUGGAUUAAUGUUAAAUACUAUAUUCAAUUUGAACGAUAAACACAGUAAAAAUAAAAAUUAUUAGAUUCCAUCUUCUAUCCUAUAAUUUUUAAUUCUUGUACUUCUUUUUCUGGGAAUCAGAUUUUUCUUAUACAGAACGUGAACCAACAAAAGACAAAUUUUGUGGUAUUUGAUAAAAGCAACUUCCAAAAUAUACCAUAACCACACCCAAUUAUUUUUUGUAUAAUAUCUAAGCUUUUAUAGACAUAGAUCGAGCCGUUAUGCUCUCAGCAUAAUAGGCUUGCGGCACUUGAUCAAAUGAGAAAAAUCCGGGUAACAAUACCUGAAAGAUUCAAAGAUAUUUUCUUUACAUCAAUGCCACCUGCCUGUGCACGCUCCACCAAGAACCCUGGCAUAUCAAUACGUUGAGCACCUGAAAUUAUCUCUUCACCUAAAGAGGAGGAACAGAUGCUCAAAAAUCCGGUCAAAUGAACAAUCACAUGAUAUUUUCAUCCAACAAGUAUGAAGGGUUGCAAUGAAAAGAAAAAUGAAACCCGACAGAAAAUUCUUCAACACAAGGAUUUUAAAUGUGGUUAUCAUUAUUAUUAAGCAGUCAACCUAAUACAACCUUCAACCAGAGGUGAAUUCAUUUAUGCCAGUCACAUGACCACUCCUAUCAACACCACUGAAAAAAAAGCGCAUCCUCUUUAUUUAUAAAUGAAGUUUUGUUCCUGCUUUAUUUCACCAUUCAUUUUCAUCUCAUACAAGACCAAUUUAUUGGAAUACAACAUACCUCGAUUAAACUGAAAGAGGAUUAAGAAAAUUUAAAAAAUGAAAACUUCGAGACAAUACGAGUAGUAUCAUGAUAAACUUAACUCUAGAUGGACAGCCAUUUUUUAAUCGUAAGUAAUGAAACAAAUGUAGAUCGAGAUUUCCGGAAAACAACACCACAAAUACAAGUAUAUGUGCAUCCAAAAUGAAGAAGAAAUGUUUCAGCCUCACACAUUACCUCGAAUAAAGACAUCAAAUUAGUUUCUGUGAAGAGCAUUGUCAGAAGGGGGCGCCUAACAGCCCAAGGAUAACGAUGGAGUAUAUAAAAUUCGGCAUUGAUGAUAUACAUAGAAAUUUAAGCUUAAAAAUGAGAAAACACUUAUCAUGAGCUAAGAGCAAUGAGGCUCUUAAUUUUUUCAAAAUUUGAAACUAAUAAUAGAUGUAUGUUAUACAAACAAAUUCAGACUUCAAUAUUUGUAAGAAAAAUCAAGUCAGUAAAUAUGCAACCUACUUAUCUCUGUUCCAUAGGUUGGUUGUCUUUUUUUUUUUUUUUUUAAUGUUCAGAAUCGAUUAAAAAUUAUUUUAAUUCGAGUUCUUUCUAAUUUGAUUUUUUGAUUCCAUUGUGAAAUUCAAUUUUCUUAUUUAAUUUUAUUCCGAUCCUAUCUACCCAUUCGAAUUUUGGUUGCUUAAUUGUUCAGAAUGUUGGAGUUGAGAUUGAUCCUCUUGAAGACUUUAAUACUGAGGCAGAGAGGAAGUUGAUCCAACUAUUUUCCUACGAUUCUUGGGAACAGGAGAUACUACUUUUAAAGCAUCCAAUCUACUAAAUGAUUCCAGGCUUCCAGCACGCUAGUGUUAUCCUUAAAAAUCAUCUAAUUAUUUAUUCAUACACUAAUCUAAAUAAUGGCGUGAUAAAUCAGAAACCUUUCUUCAUGAAACAUGAACUGAGGGGAUGAAAGAAAUUAAGUUAUCUUGAGCAUUUGAAUCCCUUUUUCAAAUCUAAGACGAAGAGUCAACAUUUAGAAAAUGACACAAUCAGGUUCAAGAAUAGAGAAAAGCUGAGGUGAUAUAUAAUUUUCCAUAUUCCAAAUAUAUCUAAACUAUACAAGCACUUCAAAAAUGAUAAUGAUAACAGAAUUUUAAGAACAAAUCAAAAUAAAUAAUGACCUUCAGAGGUUCAAACGGACACUGACUCGCCACAGCUUCAACUUCCUUUUUGCACCUCUCAUUCAAACCAUCAAAAAUUGUGACAAAUAAGGGGUCCACAAUAUCCAUCACCUGUAUUCAGGUGUCAUUGAAAAAUCAACCAAUAAAACCCUCCGGCUAUACCACCAAAUAAUGCUUCUUAAUCUCCAUUUCAACAUCAAGACCGGUAAAUUAACGCACACAAAUGCCUAUGAGUGUACGAGUCCUCUGGUCUAAAAACAGAACCGGUCUCAAAAACCCGCCCAAAAUCACCUCAUACCGACAUUUGCUUGUGACCUUCACUUGAGCCAGCUAUCAGUUUUGGCAUGUGGAUCUCAACAAAAUCCUCAGAAAACAAGAAUUGUCUGAAUAUCUUUACAUUGAUGCAAUCAUUUAAGGACCAGAAUCAUCAGCUCAGAAAUACAAGACAAAGUUAUACAUCUUCAAACCAAACGCAAUGAAAACUAAGUUUAACUUCUCCAGCAUGCAAUUAGAUUCAAGGAAACUCCAGGUUACCUUUGCCAUCUCACUACAAAUAAAAAUUCUAAUUAUUAGAUUAACCAGGAUGCUGAAUGCAGUGUGUUAGGUGUUCGAGAAAAUGCCAAGGUACACCAUCAGCUAGAAUCGAAGCAUCCAGCAGGGCAAUGACAUGUCACAAAGUCAGAGAUGUUGCUGAGUCAUUGUGAUGAUUCAGCAGGUCUCUGAAGAACAAUCUAGAUAGUUAAGUGCCAAGGAUGAGGCAUGGCAUAAGACAAAUAUCCGCUGACACAGUGCAAGGACAUUCGAUACAACCAGUAGAUUCAAGUGAUAUCAGCCGUUAGAUCAUUAGCGACAGCUGUAACUGUACCGAGAAAAGCUUGUAAAGCACGCAUGCAAUUUUCGUUUAUUGUGACAUCAAAUCAAUAACAAGUAUGCGGUGCCAAGUUUCAAAUUUAUUGUUAAUUCUAUAUCAAUAGCUUUAGUUCUUAUUUAUUUUCUCUCUAAUAAAUGGGUACCACAAAGGCACAAACCUUCGGAGGAGAAGCUGAAUGAAUGAUAAUAUAAGCAUCCAUAACCAAGGAAGUAAAAAUUUACAUUCCUAACUUGACUCUCAAUACUGAAAAUAUGAUAUCUGUACGAGUAUUUUAUUCUCAGUUCUGAGUAUAUAAUUAAGGAUUACUUCCGAAUCCGGACAAAAAUGGAAAAGGAUUAUGCAUUUGUUGAAAGAAGCUGCUUUGCAGGAAACAUCUGCUCACGGAUCCCUGAAUUCCCAUUAUUUUUCAAUUUGUUUCCAUUUAAUUUUCAAUCUCGACUAAGUCUAAAGACUUUGGAUGACUAUGAUUGCACCAAGUCAAAGUCUUUGUGGCGUAAAGUCAACCAUUAAGAGAAAGUCUCUGGGGUGCUGCCGCAACAUAAAAAUUUAGAACCCCAACUCAAGGCCUUACUCAUAUUCCAAUCCAAGCUGGUUAAUGGGUUAAGGUUACUUAAACAUUUUAUAUUUUUGUCUAUUCUUAGAUAAUGUUGAAUAUUAUAUAUAUACGAAAAUUUGUGUCUAUUCUUAGACAAAUUCUUGGCGGGAAUUUAACAAACUUCAAGUCUAAUAACACUUUGCAUAACAGCAUGACAGCUUGGCAGUUGACUAAGCACUCUGCUUACAUGGCAAUCUGACUCAGCAGUUUACAUAGCAAUUUGGCUCAACAUAUAUACUCUUAACAGAACCAAAUAAAUAUUAACACGCGUCUCGGCGCAUACCUUGCAUAUCAUCACAUUUAUAUAUGUACGAUGAUAUCACCGCCACCUAAAUUUCUCAUUUAUUAUAUUUGAUUAUUUUCUUUUUUAUUUCAUUGAUUUUCUCGUAUAAAAGUAGAUUUACUACGAUUUACCAUUUUGUUGUUGUGCAAUGGUCACCCUUUUUGUUUGAGCUGCCUAUUGAUGUAUUGCUUUUAGAAAAACUCUCAGAAUAGCUUUACAUUAUACUUUUCUAAUUUGCAAUGAAUGCAUCCAGGAGUAUAGGAAAGAAAGAAAUAAAGGGGGGAAAAAAAAAGGAAAGAAAGAAAUACUCCCCGUGUAUCACCUAAACUAGUUUUAAAACUUCUUGAAUUGGACAAGAAUAAGUUGGCUGACAAGCUUUCCUAACUUCUCACAACUUUUAUUAUUGUUACCUUAUAUUUUCAUAAUCGUUAGAUUUUUAUACUUGAAUUGGUACCAAUCUCUCUUUUAUCAAAUUUAAACAGAGAUAAUUGAUUGAAUGACUCAGUCACCUUCGUCCAAAGGAAUUUUUCUUAUCUACAACGUUCUUAUUUGCUCAAACAGAUGGAAUCCAGAAAACUCAUUCAUUUGAUUCUCUUCAAUUGAAAACUCAUCACUUCCUGCAUGUAAGAGCAAUUUGAGUGCCAUAAAGCCUGUAGUGAAUCUACGUAUUUAGGGAAUAAUUUAAAUAGAAAAGUUAACAUGAAGCUCAUACCCUAAUAAAAAGCUACUCUUAAAAUAACAUGAAUCAAGAAACAGAGCAAAACAGAGUAGCUACUAAGAAGAACACCCAAAUUAACUCCUAAAAUUGACCAAACAUAACAAGCAUCAAAUCAAAGCAUUAAAGCACUAAUCAGAGACUUUACACUAAAUUGUUUGUUUUAAAAUAAUGGGAUUUCAAGAUUAUACUUAAAAAGACCUCUUUUUUUUUCUUUUUUUUUUGGGAAGAGAAAAAUCAUCUGCAUGGUUGAAGGAUCAGAAGCUCAUGGAUGGAACCAAUUUGCUUCAUUAAACCCAAAACGGUGUUUCCCGAAGUCGUUUCACCAUGCAAUACCAUCCAGUACGCAUCAAACGGCCGCAACUCAUGUCGUUUAGCUUAAGUGUCUUAAGCCCAAAAGGCGACACUCGAUGUCGUUUUGCUUAUUUCUGAUUUGCUUCACCCGUCACACAACAUGCAGUGUAGAUGAUGUUUUAACUUUUGAAUUUUAUAUGAUUUUAUUUUGUCUUCUUAAAAGAUAUCUUUUAGAACUGAAGGGCACUUUCGAUGUUUCUUAUUUAUUUUACAGUGACCUCUUCUGGCUCUUUCUGCUGAGGGAGGGUACAAACAAUGAAUCAUCAUCAGAUUAAUCAAAAUAUAACCCCACUCAUAAAAUAAAAAUUAUAAAACGUCUCUUCAGAUGAUUUGAGUCACACACAUCAACAAUCAGAAAUCGUUAACUAAGUAUACAAUUUCUUUUUGGACUCGUUUUUUCCCCAUUGUUGAUCAUGUAAGUUACUGCUAUAUAUGUUGUUUUGAUGAGUAAUUAAUGAUCAUGGAAUUUACUUAAUUUGUCAACUUAAAUCAAUCAUUUAAACUUUUCCGUAACAAAACCCUGAAUUUAUAUUUUGAUCAGGAAUCAGGAUUCGCAAUUACAGGAAGGUGCAGCAGGGCAAGUUCCUGGAGAACGAAUUAGCAGUGUUUAUGGAACUUUCUCCCUAAUAUUGGCUACAUUUUACUAUUUUUAGCAAUCGUCCUUAUAAGUGCAUUGAAAUGGACAAAAUUUUGGGAAACAAUGCAGUUUUUUUUCGUUCUGUGUUUGAUUUGCUCAAGAUACUUAAUUCAUUUUACCUUUGAGUUGCGUAAUUAUCAAUUUCGUUUUGAAGGAAGGAAAAGUUUGCGGCGCUAGCUGCUCUUCUACAUUGACAUUUUGGCCGCUGAUCUUCCCCUCCCUCAGGUAAGUCACAUCACGUAUUAUUAAUUUUAUCUUAAACCUUUAUAGUUUAUCGAACUGAAUGUGGUUAUUUAAUUACUUUGAUUUUCUCACACUUGAUUAUUCCAGGUGCUGGUGAUCUCUCAAAGAAUGAGAGGCACAGAGUUUUUGUAUGCAAUGAUAUUCUCACUUCUUCUUUUUUUUUAUAUUAAUCACGAGGUAUCCUGGGGAGGGCCCCAACUGUGGGAGGCACCUUUAAGCCCGUACCACAACCCAGACUAGAAGUCCCCGCUCGAACCGGGAGGCACAGGUUCUCCCAACAAAGGCGACUUCCCUGCGACUCGAACUGGGGAGCAAACCCAGUCAAGACACUUAAGGGGACUCCAUUACUAGUGGAGCCAACACUUUGUUGGUAUGAUAUUCUCACUUCUUAAUAUUUGCUAAGGGUUAUUCGAGCAUACAGCGUGUUUUCGGAGGCAACAUUGGGCUCAGAAAUACUCGCUGAAGCUACAUGGGCCAUUAUUGGCUUCAAUAUUCUUCUGUACAAGAAAGGAGGUCAUGUAAGUUGAUAAAGCACCAUUCAUGUAAGUCCAUUUAUAUUGACUUAUAUGCACAAGCCUAUAAUACAAACAGCAUUAUUGUAAUACAAAUUUGUUUAGAAAUCCAUGGCCUAUAAUACACCAUUUAUGUCCUAGACUUACUUGUCAACCUUGCAAAAUUUUUGUGCUUGGCAACUGGUUUUGUUGAUGUCGUAAUCUGGAUGAGUUGGUUAGUGACUCGAUCUUAGAUCCCUACAUCAGCAUUAAAUUUGUUUGGUGGGAAGCUGCUAGUUGAUCUCCAAGAAGAUCCUCCGACUAUGAGCAGAACAUUCAUGAGUUGUUGAUCAGUGAGCACCGAGAGCAAAUAAUUGAUGAGCAGACGACCAAUGAGCAGAUGAUCCAUGAGUAGAUAAUCCGCGAGCCUGCGAGCACAAAGAACAGUCAGGGGGGGCGGAAGAUUUCCAACGUAAACCCUCCGACACUCAAGUCAGCGAUUUGGGUCUACUUGGAAAAACUCAUACCACAAUUCACAUGGUUUAACUAUGAUUGUUUUAAACAAAAAGCUUUUAAGUAAAUUUAAAAGAAAAUAAUUGAAAAUAAUUAAUCUUAAAGAAAUCAUAAGCAAAAGAGAAAUUUCCUAAUGGUAGAGAGAGAAAAAGAUUCAAUGGAUUCAAUCACCCAAAGGGAUAGAGGAAAAGAAUCCCCCAUUUUCCCAGGAUUUUUAUAGGAAAUUAUAGCAGUUUUUUCUACAGAGGAUGUAAGUGAGGAAUUUAUGAAACUUUUUGAUAAAAAGAAUUAUCUAGGAUAAGCAAUUGAGCAGAAUUCUUUUACAGUGCAUUUUUGCAAUUCACAUAACCAACGUAGGGGUGGUGCUGUUUGUGUUUUUAAUCGGCAAUAUGCAGUUUGACACAGCAAGAUCACAGAAGAUAAGACAGAAGUGGAAGGAGAUGAAGCAAUGGCCAAAUUUUGAGUAUAUUUCUUCUGAUGUGCGGGGGGCAGUUAAGGAAAUACAAGCUAUACAAAUGGCAAGAAACCAAACGUGUUCGUGUUGAUAAUUUGGUGAAUGAUCUUCCUGACGAACUUGGCAACAAAAUAAAAUGUCUGCAUUAAACUGCUCAAGAAUGUGACGUUGAACUAUUCAAUCACUCAGUGACGUUGAAGCCUUUACUCUUAUGGCUGAUGACUUUAAACAUGUAUUAUCUACCAUUCACACAUUUCGAUCCGGCCGCUCUUUUGUUACAAUCAUACCGGCGUUUUGGGAAGCUUUUACUUGAUAGAAGGAAGGCUAAACAAAGAAAAUAAACAAAGUGGGACAUGUAACAACGACACAAUACAAGAAAAUUUAACGGUACUUGUGACUAAAUCAUUGAUGACAAACUGUUUAUUCUUUAUAUUUACAUGUGAAACCGCAGAAAAGGGCCAAAAUUGUAGUUUGAAAUUUUACAUUUGAUUUUGUCGUCAAUUGAUGAGCUCAUAGCGACAUUAAUUUAUUGAAUGAUAAAAUAAUAAUUUUAUAUUCAGUAAACAUAUGAAAUAUGACUUAAAUUGAAAAUUUGAGAUCUUAAUACAUUGGAGUUACAUUGAGUUGGGAGACGAACUUUGACUCUGAAUGAGACAGCACUUAAUGUGUCAUUUAUUUAUUAAAUUUGUUAAUGGUAUGAUAUUAUCUCAUUACGACAGAAAUAUUAAAUUGCAAUGAGUCUAGUCAAUUGGGAAAACAAUUUGUGCGCGAGUAUUCUCAAUUUCCAAUAUAAAAAUUACAAGACAAAAUUAAAAAGGAGAAUGAUACUUUAUAUCUGUUUAGAAGCCAUUAGUUAUUUGGUCAUAUUCAAAAUUUGUUUUAACCACAUAAGUCCAUGAUAAGGGUUUGCCUACCUUACGUUUAACGUAAGGUGCAUCUCUUCCCAUUGCUGUAGAGAAGACUGUACCUUACGUUAAACAUAAGGUAGCAGCUCCCCAUAAUAAAAGUUAUAAGACAAAAUUAAAAAGGAGAAUGAUACUUUAUACUUGUUUAGAAGCCAUUGGAUGUUUUGGUCAUAUUCAAAACCUGUUUUAACCACGUAAGUUCAUGACAAAAGUUACAAGACAAAAUUAAAAAGGAGAAUGAUACUUUAUACCUGUUUAGAAGCCAUUGGAUAUUUUGGUCAUAUUCAAAACAUGUUUUAACCGCGUACGUAAGUCCAUGAUAAAAGUUUAAAAUACCUUUUGUGGAAAGGAUAAGUAUGAUAUUUUUAAUAAAUAAAUAAAUAAAUAGAUCUAUUAAGUAAAUAUAUAUUUUUUUGAUACAUUGAUAUAUUACAAUUUUGAUAUUUAUAAUUAGAAAUCCAUCGGAACUUAUCUUGAAUAAUCUUAUUACAGCACAACUCGAAUAUCAAUCCUCACUAAAUUAGAGAAAUAUUUACCUUCACUAUUAAUUUAUACUCGGAGGCAAGUCCUAGCGCUGACCCUGCGCUGGGACUUGAAUCCAUGCCCUCAAGGUUGUUGAGGGCAUAGGCGUGCCAAUGGAUUACAGGCCCAUUGGCUAGAUUUAUUUAAUAAAUAGAUUAGGUGGAUAAUUUAGUGAGUUCAAAUAAUUUCGAUUAAUGUAUACCCGAAGAGUGAAGCUAUUGGCACCCUUCAUUAUAAAACUCCACUUUAAAUAAAAUUACAUUUAAGGACAAAUAAGAUUUAAACACACUUAAAAAUUUUCGCAACAAAUUACUUUCAUAAUCAAAUUUUUUUUUUGCAUUCAUAAUCAAUUCAUUUUUUCUUUUUAUUUUUUACUUGUCACUUCUCUCUAAUUAAAAUAAAUUACAAAAAUUUAGAAUAAUUUAUUUUUCUUUUCUUAUUUCUUAAUAAUAGAGAAUUUUUAUACCUAAUACUUUCAAAUUAUAAUUUAAAAUGUGUCAUAUCUAUAACAUAAUACUGUUAUGAGUUUUAAUAAUAUACAAAUUCAAUUAAAAACUAAAAUAAUGCAUUUAAAAGGGAAAAAAAGGACGUUUUUGAAAUUAAAUACAAAUAUUCCAAUUGUUACUGUGAAAAUGUGAUAUUUUCAGCACUAGAGCUACCACUUUAUUGCUUAUCGGAUCCGAAAGGAACUGAUGUGGUCCAAUCGUGUUCGGAUCGGAUUGGUUGCCGUCAUAAUCUGAUCACAUUUAGGUAACUUUUCAGUUUUGUCGAGGAGAAAGGCUGUCAAUUAUGUCUACCUAAGAAAGACGUCACAUAGAUGAUGUAAUCAGAUUUUAUCAUGCGUUUGUUCCUCUUCAAUCGAGAACUUGUCACAUCCUGCCUGUAAAAGUUUUUUUUUUUUUUUGAUAAGCUGUAAAAUGUGUUUCAGUGUUUGUGAAUCUACAAUUAUUUUUUAAGGGCUUAUUGGAACCGCUGAACCACAAGUUACAAUAAUUUUUUAUUAUUUAUUGUGUGUGGUUGAAAUUUAUAUUUCACCGUAAAUUAAUUUUUAUAUAGUUAUUGUCUUAUUUUUAAGGGAGUAAUAUAAAUAGAAACUAAUGCAAAGCUACAUUUACUAUUUGAACAAAAUUAACAUGAAUUAAAAAAAAGGGGCAGCUGCAACUAAUAUCAUUAAAUCAAAGGAUUGAAUUACUAACUAGAGAUUUUAAACAAAACUGUUUGGUUUAAAAUUAUGGGAAUUUGAGAUUACACUUACAGUUUUCAUUUUUAUUUUAUUUUUAUUUUUUUGAAGAGAAGAAAGAAAAAAGAUCAGCUAUAUGAUUAAUGAAAGAGCACAUGGUUAUGCCUGGAAGAAGGGAGGUGGGGGGUGAAGAGUAAUUGGAGUCAGUUAUGUCAGGGCCGACUCAAUUAUAUUUAGGGUUUUAAGCAAAUAGUUUUAAUUAGUUCUUCUUGAAAUUUAGGAUAAAAAAUAUAUAUAUUAGUUAUAUAUUAUUUAUUGAAUAUCAUUUCUUUAAACACUCUAAAAUGUAAAAUUAUUAAAUAAAAUUAUAUUCUACUAUUGCUAAUUCAUGGAAUUUUAAUUCAAUUAUAACAUUUUCACUUAUUGUUUUUUAACUCAAAUCACAUCUUUUUUACUACUCCUUUUCUAGAUUAAACUAAUUUUUCUAUUCUUCUAUUUUCUAAAGUUUUUUGAUAUAAUUUUAUUUCAAAAUAGAUAAAACAAGCACAAAAAAAAAAAUAGUAGAUGAAUAAAAUAAUAUAUUAAAAAGAAAUAAGAAUAAAUAAAUAACACAACUAAUUAAAAGAAUGAUAAAAGGAUAAAAUCAGGAAUUUGAGAUGAAAUCAUAAAUUAACUUUAUCUUUAUAUUAAUUGUUUGAGAAAUUGAGUAAUGACCAAUAACCAUAGAGAAUAGAGAAAACUAUUAGAUUUUUUUUUUCUUGAGUGGAAAGUAGAGGAAGCAAGAUUUUUUUCCCUCUCUCUUUCUUUCUCUCAAAUACCAAGAACAUAUCUUGUCUUGAUUGUUGGAAGAAAAAUUUAAUGGAUAAGUGAUAAAAUGUGGGGCUUUUAUAGAGGUUUAAAAUGAAUAUAACACUUUUUAAUUAUAACAUAUUAAUUCUAACAAUAAAAUAGAGAAUUUGUAGGAUUGAAACUAUUAAUUUAUCGGUUUUGUAGGAAUUAAAACUAUUAAGUACUAUAUUAAAUAAACUUUAUAAGAAUUUGAUAUUUUAUUUAGAAAAAGAUCAUUAUAAAAUAAUAAUAAAUUAAAUGAAUAAGAAUGACUUUUAAAUUCAUUUUUCCCUUUUACAUACAAAAUAAUCAUCUCAUGAGGUCUUCAUGUAAAGUGGGGCCCUAAGCAACCACCUAAAUUGCCUAGAGGUCGAGCCACUAUUGAGUUAUGUAACGAACCGCCGGAGCAUUGAUCGGCGUGUAUUAUAUCAAACUGCUAACAUGUAUGAAACAGUCUUAGAGUGCAAAUAAGAGAAUAGAAAUGGUCAUAAUACAGGAACAUUUGUUGGUUCGAAGGAGCAACAAUUAGGAAUGGCUAUUUAUUUAAAAUAUGAAGUGGAAAAUUGAAUUAACUUAUUUGAAAUAGAAAUGGUCACAUGAAAAUUUUGAAUUAAUUUAUUGAAAUAGGAUCCUACAAAUGAAGUGUUUUAAUUUCGUAAUUUAUUAUUAUUAUUGUUAUUUUGUUUUUAAAUAUUAAAAAAAUUAAGUUUAUAAUACUCUAAGCAAAUUCCACAUUGACAAAGUACGAGAGAGAUGUUGAGUUUAUAAGGAGUGAUUUACACCUUAAGACGUAUUUUGGAGUGUAUGGGCGCCCCGGAAACAAACUCAUGCGGGCCUUGUUAAGAGCCAAAGCGAAUGUAACACCCUAGGCAAAUCCCUCAUCGGUAAAGUAUGAGAGAAAUACUGAAUUUAUAAGGGGUGAUUCACACCUUAAGAAGCAUUUUAGGAUAUAUGAGUAUCCCAAAAAUAAAUCUAUGCGGGCCUUAUUAAGGAUUAAAACGGACAAUAUAUUAUCAAAUCUAAGUUAGAUCACGACGGAAUUCGUUUUAGUUUCUAGCGGACAUCCGAUUCAUCGUAAUAAACGUGCCCUUGUCCAUAUAUAAAUUGCAUUUGCCUAUGAAUUCUUCAAUAAUUGAAAAAGAUGGGUGCUUGUGGGACACUCAUUUAUGAUACAAUUUAGGAAUAAGAACUUAGUGACGCAACCAUUACUAACAGCCUCUUUUUUGGAGGUACUCGGAUGGCUAUUAUUGCCAUUUAAAAGAUAACAUAAAUUUUGUAGAUUGCCAGCUAUGGCCGAGCUUUUUUUUUUUUUUUUUGAGAAAAGAAGAAAAAUAGCCAUUUGAAAGAUAACAUAAAUUUUGUAGAUAGCUAGUUAUGUUUGAGUUUUCAAUUUUUUUUGAGAAAAAAAGAUACUUAUGUCUUUGAGAUUUAGAAAAAUGAUCACAUAAAUUCUCAAAUUUUUAAUAAGAUAAAUCCAGACCUCUUUUUAUUAUAAUAUUUUUUAAUUCUAUAACUAAAAAAAAAUUGACUAUAAUAUUUUAUAAUAAAAAAAUAUAAGUGUAAUGAUCCGCCCCGAAUCUCUAGGACGAGUUUAUAUAAUCUCGCCAACCGAAUUAAUAAUAAUCUAAUAUCUAGAAUUCUACCAAAAAUUUGGCAGUCUCCUAUAUAAUUAUGAUAUUCUCAAACCUGCAAUUUUUUAAAUUUAACACUCCUAAAAAAUGAUAAAAUAUUCAAUCAACCUCCACAACUAACUUUCUCAUUCAAAUACCAGUAUCCUUUAAAUAUAUAAUGUCAAGAAUAUAAUAAUUUAUCUUUAAUCACAAAUAAGUAAUAAAUUAUACAAUUCAAAAUAUCCCAACAAAACAUCUAUGAUUCCUAACAUCAUCACGUGGCCAUAAUUCUAAAUUUAAUUAUAGUUGCUGGAUCGAUUGAUGUACCUCCAAAUCUAAUGUGGGAGAGGGGGGAAUAUAAAAAAAAAGGAAUGAGUAUAAAACUCACUCAAUUAAAAACUCUAUAACAUAAUACUAUUUUUAGUUUUAAUAAUAUACAAAUUCAAUUAAAAACUAAAAUAAUGCAUUUAAAAGGGGAAAAAAGGACGUUUUUGAAAUUAAAUAUAAAUAUUCCAAUUGUUACUGUGAAAAUGUGAUAUUUUCAGCACGAGGGCUGCCACUUUAUUGCUUAUCCGAUCGGAAAGGAGCUAAUGUGGUCCAACCGUGUUCGGGUCGGAUUGGUUGCCGUCGUAAUCCGAUCAGAUUUAGGUAACUUUUCAGUUUUGUCGAGGAGAAAGGCUGUCAAUUAUGUCUCCCUAAGAAAGACGUCACAUGGAUGAUGUAAUCAGAUUUUAUCAUGCGUUUGUUCCUCUUCAAUCGAGAACUUGUCACAUCCUGCCUGUAAAGUUUUUUUUUUUUUUUUUUUUGAUAAGCUGUAAUAUGUAUUUGACUGUUUGUGAAUCUACAAUUUUUUUUAAGGACUUGUUAGAACCGUUGAAUCACAUAAUUAAAGUUAUAAUAAUUUUUUUAUUAUUUAUUGUAUACGGUUGAGAUUUGUGCUCCCGUAAAUCAACUUCUAUGUAGUUAUUGUCUUAUUUUUAAGGGAAUAAUAUAAAUAGAAGGGUAAUGUUAAGUUACAUGCAUGUACCUUACAUCCCUCUCACAUGAAUAGUGUAUGAAUACUAUUCAUGUGAGAGGGAUGUAAGGUACAUGCAUGUAACUUAGAGGGAUCCUAAAUAGAAACUAAUACAAAGCUACAGUUACUAUUUGAACAAAAUUAACAUGAAUUAAAAAAAAGGGCAGCUGCAACUAAUAUCAUUAAAUCAAAGGAUUGAAGUACUAACUAGAGAUUUUAAACAAAACUGUUUGGCUUAAAAUUAUGGGAAUUUGAGAUUACACUUACAGUUUUCAUUUUUAUUUUUUUUGAAGAGAAGAAAGAAAAAAGAUCAGCUAUAUGAUUAAUGAAAGAGCACAUGGUUAUGCAUGGAAGGCGGGAGGUGGGGGGGGGGGGGGGGGUGAUGAGUAAUUGGAGUGAGUUAUGUAACGGACCACCGGAGCAUUGAUCGGCGUGUAUUGUAUUAAACUGCGAACGGGUAUGAAACAAUCUUAGAGUGCAAAUAAGAGAAUAGAAAUGGUCAUAGUACAGGAACAUUUGUUGGUUCGAAGGAGCAACAAUUAGGAAUGGCUAUUUAUUUAAAAUAUGAAGUGGAAAAUUGAAUUAAUUUAUUUGAAAUAGAAAUUGUCACAAGAAAAUUUUGAAUUAAUUUCUUGAAAUAGGAUCCUACAAAUGAAGUGUUUUAAUUUUGUAAUUUAUUAUUAUUAUUGUUAUUUUGUUUUUAAAUAUUUAAAAAAAUUGAGUUUGUAACACCUUAGCCAAAUCCCACAUCGACAAAGUACGAAAGAAAUUCUGAGUUUAUAAGGAGUGAUUUACACCUUAAGACGCAUUUUGGAGUGUAUGGGCGUCCCAGAAACAAACUCAUGCGGGCUUUAUUAAGAGCCAAAGCGGACAAUAUCUUGUAAGGUCUAAGUUGAGUUAUGACAUUAUGGUAUCAGAGCGGCUCCGCGUGUCCUCAUGAGUGAUGGUGGGGCAAACUUCAACGAGGACGCUAAGUCCCUAGGGAGAGUGUAUGUAACACCCUAGGCAAAUUCCUUAUCGACAAAACACGAGAAAGAUACUGGGUUUAUAAGAGAUGAUCCACACCUUAAAAUGUGUUUUAUGGUGAAUGGGCGCCUCAUAAAUAAAUUUAUACGGGUCUUAUUAAGGAUUAAAGCAAACAAUAUCCUAUUAAGUUUAGGUUAGAUCAUGACAGAAUUCCUUUUAGUUUCUAGCGGACAUCCGAUUCAUCAUAAUAAUCGUACCCUUGUCUAUGAAUUAUAAAUAGUCUAUAAUAAAAAAAAAGUGAGUAUAGUAGUUUUUGAAAAAAAUAAAUUUACUUAAAAUAAUCUAAUUUUUCCCAUAUUAAUUUCAUCAAAAUAUCAUAAGGACUUCUAGUAACUUUUCAGUUUUGUCCAGGAGAAAGGCUGUCAAUUAUGUCUCCGUAAGAAAGACGUCACAUAGAUGAUGUAAUCAGAUUUUAUAAUGCGUUUGUUCCCCUUCAAACGUCACAUAGAUGAUGUAAUCAGAUUUAUCAGGCGUUUGUUCCACUUCAAUCGAGUACUUGUCACAUCCUGAGUGUCUGUGAAUCUACAUUAUUUUUUAAAGAUCCGUUUAUGUUGCAAUCGCUCUAAGAUAGAAUACUCCUUCAUAACUACAUAAUUAAAAAAUAUAGAUUAAUUUCAGAUUUAAAACAAAUGAAGUCUUUGUUUUUAUUUGCAAGACUUUUAUAACACAUUAAUAUGUAACGCUUCAAAUUUCACCGGCGGAUUGGAUACAAAUUUUUUAUCCUUAUACUAAACAUGUGUAGAGUAGUAAGAAACAAGUUAAAAAAUAAUAAAAACACACACUUUGAUGUUGUUAUUUUUAUCUUAAAGUAUUAAAAUUUAUAUUUCUUUUAAUCUUUUAACUUGUCUUUUACGAUAUUAAAAUAAGAAAAUCCUUUGAAAAUAAGAAAAUCCUUACUAAAAGUAAAAGGGGACUUGCAUGUCAUGUGCACAGUGUACAAUAUGUUUCAAAUGUUACUUGAUAGAAAUUACUGAAAGCAUUGUAUCAUUGGAAAACUCUUGCUGCAUGCUACUAAUUUGACAGUUUAUCAAAUAUUUUUUUGCUGCUCGCUACUUAUGAAUCACGUUUAGUCCCCUUUGAAUUGUGUGCAUCCACCAUCUGUUAAAUUUAUCUUUGAAUUUUCUCGCUUCCAUAAGGGACACAAAUAAGAAACAGACAAGGACGUUCAAAUCCCCGAGUUGUAAAAUUUACAAGAUGCAUCGGGUAGAAAAAUCUUGUAGAAACCUCAGCUGAUGAACUCUGUAAAGAAUAUCCUCAUUCAUUCAGCUAACCCGUUGAACCAAAAUGCAAAAUCAUCCUCAAUAAGUACAAGAAACAAAAACUUUACAAGAAUAACUUAUGAAACUUGAUCAAUUUCUGCGGAGACUACAACGUCAUUUCAAUUUGUGAGGUAAUUGCCAUGAUGCUGACUGAAUCUCAUUAAAUUAAUGAAAAUAAUACAACAAAUGGUACGAUAACUCCAAAUCAGCUAUCACAUUAUUAUUUUUAUUUUUAUAAGUAUCACAUUAUGUAUUUGAUUCAAAUAAGAGAACAAAAUUUGCAUUAUUGAUAGAUAUUAUAUUGUUUCUUGAAACUGUCUCUUGACAAAUCGCCCAUUAAUGCAGUCAUUGCUGACAAAACAACUUCGUGAAAAAGUUCACCAAGAUAGCAAGCUGAUAGAGAAAUCAGACAAUGCAAAGCAUGUCAUCCUCACACUUCAAUUUCAGCGAAAAUGGAUAAGCCAUUUUGUUCAACUUUCACCUCCGGAAGUUGAAAAGGACCGGAAGUUGAAAAGGACAUGAAUGCAAUUAUGCAAGUUCUUAUCAAAGAUGCAAUGAAUGACGCCUAAAAUAGGGAUAGCAAUGGCGAGGGGAGGGGAGGGGACGCACUUAUUUAUGAUGUUCUUUAUAUAUCUGUCUCCUCCUCGUCCCUAUUAGAAUGGUUUGAGGGGAUUUUUGUUUCCUCCCUGAAUAAUAAGAGGGGAUUCCUAAGGGAUCUCCGAUCCCUGAAUAACUGAUACAUUUUUUAUUUCUGAACUUAAUUUAAUAAUAUUAAAAUAAAAUUUUAAACAAAGGUAAUGUUUGAUAAUAUAUCUUAGAUUAACAUUAAUUCAAUACAAAAAUUACACUACAAAAUACAAAUAAUUAGAAUAAUUAUCUUCCUCAACCUUUAUAAUCCUAUAACAAAAAGAAAUUACUCUUAUAUUAAUAAUGAAAUAAAUGAAAUGGGUAUAGAUAUUGAAAUUAAUAUCUAUAUCUAUAUCUAUAUAUAUAUAUAAAGCUAGGACUUGAGGAGGUGAUGUGGCAUCACCAUUUUGCUUCUUUGUAUAUUCUCUAUUAUCUAAUAAAUAGAGAUUUUUUUUUAGAUUUGACUUUUCAUCUCCUUAUAAUUAAUUUGAUUGUAUUUAACACAUUUAAUAAAUAGUAACUUUAUUAAUAUAUAUCAUUCAUCAUCUUUUUAUAUUUUCUUUUAUCUAAAAUAUCUAAAAUAUUGGUGGAUAUUCUUUGUACUUUUUUUUCUCUUUCUAUUUAAAUUCAACAAUAUGUAAUCAUUAAUAAUAAUUAAUUAUAAGUCUUUUGAAACAUUUAUUUAUUUUAUUAUGCUGGCAAUUAAACUUUAGUAGAUUAAAAUACAUGAAUUAAUUAACAUAGGAAGAGAGGUUCUUUCAUUUUCCCUCAACAAUGCCACUAAGGCCUAAUUUUAAUGCCAUAAUCCCAUAUUUAAUUAUGCAACCUUUUGUUGAGUGUCUUUUGGCUUCUUCAAAAUUUAUUAUACUAUCAAUUAAACUUUAGUGCCUUAAAAUACAUCACCUAAUCUAUCUCUCUCUCUCUCUCUCUCUCUCUCUCUCUCUCUCUCUCUAUAUAUAUAUAUAUAUAUAUAUAUAUAUAUAUAUAUAUAUAUAAAGUUGGGACUACAAGAGGUGAUGUGACAUCACCAUUUCUCAUCAUUUCAUAUUCUCUAUUAUCUAAUAAAUUGGUUGAAAUUAAAAAAUAAUUACAUUACAAAAUAUUAAAAUAGAAAAUAAUUAUUAGAUUAUAAAUGAUUACAUGUCUUUUCCUCUUUCUAUUUAAAUUCAACAAUAUGUAACCAUUAAUAAUAAUUAAUUAUAAGUCUUGAAACAUUCAUUUAUUUUAUUAUGCCAACAAUUAAAUUUUAGUGGAUUAAAAUACAUCAAUUAAUUAAUAUAGGAAGGAAGGUUCCUUCAUCUUCCCUCAACAAUGCCAUUAGAGCCUAAUUUUAAUGUCAUAAUCCCAUAUUUAAUUAUUCAAUCUUUUAACAAUGCCAUUAGAGCCUAAUUUUAAUGUCAUAAUCCCAUAUUUAAUUAUUCAAUCUUUUGUUUAGUGCCUUUUGGCUUCUUCAAACUCCAUAAACAUUAAAUAUUUAAGAUUUGUGGUAUCAUUAUUUCUCAUCUUUUUUUAUUCUCUAUCAUCUAAUAUAUUGGUUGAGAUUAAAAAAUAAUUACAUUACAAAAUAUUAAAAAUCUAUAUCUAUCUAUAUAUAUAUAUAUAUAUAUAUAUAUAUAUAUAUAUAUAUAUAAAGUUGGGACUAGAGGAGGUGAUGUGGCAUCACUAUUUCUCAUCUUCUUGUAUUCUCUAUUAUCUAAUAAAUUGGUUGAUAUUAAAAAAAUAAUUACAUUACAAAAUAUUAAAAAUAAAAAAUAAUUAUUAGAUUAUAAAAGAUUACAUGUCUCUUCCUCUUUCUAUUUAAAUUCAAUAAUAUUUAACCAUUAAUAAUAAUUAAUUAUACAUCUUGAAACAUUUAUUUAUUUUAUUAUGCCAACAAUUAAACUUUAGUGGCUUAAAUAUAUCAAUUAAUUAAUAUAGGAAGGAAUGUUCCUUCAUCUUCCCCCAACAAUGCCAUUAGGGUCUAAUUUUAAUGCUAUAAUCUCAUAUUUAAUUAUGCAACCUUUUGUUUAGUGCCUUUUGGCUUCUUCAAACUCUAUAAAUAUUAAGUAGUUAAGAUUUGUGGCAUUAUUAUUUCUCAUCUUUUUAUAUUCUCUAUUAUCUAAUAUAUUGGUUGAGAUUAAAAAAUAAUUACAUUACAAAAUAUUAAAAAUAGAAAAUAAUUAAUAGAUUACAAAAGAUUACAUGUCCCUUCCUCUUUCUAUUUAAAUUCAACAAUAUGUAACCAUUAAUAAUAAAUUAAUUAUAAGUUUUGAAACAUUCAUUUAUUUUGUUAAGCCAACAACUAAACUUUAGUGGUUUCAAAUACAUCAACUAAUUAAUAUAGGAAGGAAGGUUCAUUCAUCUUCCCUAACCAAUGCCACUAGGACCUAAUUUUAAUGUCAUAAUCCCAUAUUUAAUUAUGCAACCUUUUAUUUAGUGUCUUUUGCCUUCUUCAAACUCUAUAAAUAUUAAGCAUUUAAGAUUUAUUAUGUUUGGGGUUUUUUUUUAUUUAACCAACAUCCUCUUUAGAAAUGUUCUUGUCUUUUUAUUUUUUGACUUAUUUAAAUUUUUAAUAUUGUGUGCUUCAUGGAGUACUCUUUUCUUUAUGAGUUAAACAAUGAUAAAGAUAAUUGGAUGAUAAGGGUUAGGUUUUUUAAGAUGUGAGAGUCUGUUAAUACCAAGAAAAAUAGAGAGUUGAUUAGUAUGAACAUAAUUUUUAUUGAUGAAAAGGUUGUGUACAUUUAACUAUACACAUUAAUAUAUAUUUUUAAUGUUAACAAAAAAAUAAUUAACUUUCAUAAAUAACAUUAGUUUUAUAAGGCUGCGUCAUCUUAAAAAAAAUAAUUAAUAUUUUUUAUCAGUUUCAUCAAGUGCAAAGUAAUAAAAAAAGAUAAUACUAAAUUAUUUUUUUAAAGCCGCACGAAGUGCGGUUCUAUUUCCUAGUAUAUAUAUAAAGCUAGGACUUGAGGAGGUGAUGUGGCAUCACCAUUUUGCUUCUUUGUAUAUUCUCUAUUAUCUAAUAAAUAGAGAUGUUUUUUUUAGAUUUGCUUUUUGAUCUUCUCAUAAUUCAUUUGAUUGUAUUUAACUCAUUUAAUAAAUAGUAACUUUAUUAAUAUAUAUCAUUCCUCAUCUUUUUAUAUUUUCUAUUAUAUAAAAUAUCUAAAAUAUUGGUGGAUAUUCUUUGUACUUUUUUUUCUCUUUCUAUUUAAAUUCAACAAUAUGUAAUCAUUAAUAAUAAUUAAUUAUAAGUCUUUUGAAACAUUUAUUUAUUUUAUUAUGCUAGCAAUUAAACUUUAGUGGCAUAAAAUACAUGAAUUAAUCUAUCUAUCUAUCUAUACAUAUAUAUAAAGUUGGGACUACAAGAGGUGAUGUGGCAUCACCAUUUCUCAUAAUUUCAUAUUGUCUAUUAUUUAAUAAAUUGGUUGAAAUUAAAAAAUAAUUACAUUACAAAAUAUUAAAAUAGAAAAUAAUUAUUAGAUUAUAAAUUAUUACAUGUCUUUUCCUCUUUCUAUUUAAAUUCAACAAUAUGUAACCAUUAAUAAUAAUUAAUUAUAAGUCUUGAAACAUUCAUUUAUUUUAUUAUGCCAACAAUUAAAUUUUAGUGGCUUAAAUAUAUCAAUUAAUUAAUAUAGGAAGGAAGGUUCCUUCAUCUUCCCUCAACAAUGCCAUUAGAGCCUAAUUUUAAUGUCAUAAUCUCAUAUUUAAUUAUUUAAUCUUUUGUUUAGUGCCUUUUGACUUUUUAAAACUCUAUAAAUAUUAAGUAGUUAAGAUUUGUGGCAUCAUUAUUUCUCAUCUUUUUUUAUUCUCUAUUAUCUAAUAUAUUUGUUGAGAUUAAAAAAUAAUUACAUUACAAAAUAUUAAAAAUAGAAAAUAAUUAAUAGAUUACAAAAGAUUACAUGUCUCUUCCUCUUUCUAUUUAAAUUCAACAAUAUGUAACCAUUAAUAUAAAUUAAUUAAAAGUUUUGAAACAUUCAUUUAUUUUAUUAAGCCAACAACUAAAUUUUAGUAGUUUAAAAUACAUCAACUAAUUAAUAUAGGAAGGAAUGUUCCUUCAUCUUCCCUCACCAAUGCCAUUAGGACCUAAUUUUAAUGUCAUAAUCCUAUAUUUAAUUAUGCAACUUUUUAUUUAGUGUCUUUUGGCUUCUUCAAACUCUGUAAAUAUUAAGCAUUUAAGAUUUGUUAUGUUUAAGUUUUUUUUUUAUUAUUUAACGAACAUCCUCUUUAAAAAUGUUAUUGUGUUUUUAUUUUUUGACUUAUUUAAAUUUUUAGUAUUAUGUGCUUCAUUGAGUACUCUUUUCUUCAUGAGUUAAACAAUGAUAAAGAUAGUUGGAUGAUAAAGGUUAGGCUUUGUAAGAUGUGGGAGUCUGUUAAUAUCAAGAAAAAUAGAGAGUUGAUUAGUAUGAACAUGAUUGUUAUUGAUGAAAAGGUUGUGUACACUUAACUAUACACAUUAAUAUAUUUUUUUAAUGUUAACAAAAAAAUAAUAAACUUUCAUAAAUAACAUUAGUUUUCUAAGGCUGCGUCAUCUUAAAAAAAAAAUUCAUAUUUUUUAUCAGUUUCAUCGAAUGCAAAGUAAUAAAAAAAGAUAAUAUUAAAUUCUUUUUUUAAAACCGCACGAAGUGCGGUUCUAUUUCCUAGUAUAUAUAUAAAGCUAGGACUUGAGGAGGUGAUGUGGCAUCACCAUUUUGCUUCUUUGUAUAUUCUCUAUUAUCUAAUAAAUAGAGUUUUUUUUUUAGAUUUGUUUUUUCAUCUUCUCAUAAUUAAUUUGAUUGUAUUUAACUCAUUUAAUAAAUAGUAACUUUAUUAAUAUAUAUCAUUCCUCAUCUUUUUAUAUUUUCUAUUAUAUAAAAUAUCUAAAAUAUUGGUGGAUAUUCUUUGUACUUUUUUUUCUCUUUCUAUUUAAAUUCAAAAAUAUGUAAUCAUUAAUAAUAAUUAAUUAUAAGUCUUUUGAAACAUUUAUUUAUUUUAUUAUGCUAGCAAUUAAACUUUAGUGGCAUAAAAUACAUGAAUUAAUCUAUCUAUCUAUCUAUACAUAUAUAUAAAGUUGGGACUACAAGAGGUGAUGUGGCAUCACCAUUUCUCAUAAUUUCAUAUUGUCUAUUAUUUAAUAAAUUGGUUGAAAUUAAAAAAUAAUUACAUUACAAAAUAUUAAAAUAGAAAAUAAUUAUUAAAUUAUAAACGAUUACAUGUCUUUUCCUCUUUCUAUUUAAAUUCAACAAUAUGUAACCAUUAAUAAUAAUUAAUUAUAAAUCUUGAAACAUUCAUUUAUUUUAUUAUGCCAACAAUUAAAUUUUAGUAGCUUAAAAUACAUCAAUUAAUUAAUAUAGGAAGGAAGGUUCCUUCAUCUUCCCUCAACAAUGCCAUUAGAGCCUAAUUUUAAUGUCAUAAUCUCAUAUUUAAUUAUUCAAUCUUUUGUUUAGUGCCUUUUGGUUUCUUCAAACUUCAUAAACAUUAAAUAUUUAAGAUUUGUGGCAUUAUUAUUCCUCAUCUUUUUUUAUUCUCUAUUAUCUAAUAUAUUGGUUGUGAUUAAAAAAUAAUUACAUUACAAAAUAUUAAAAAUCUAUAUCUAUCUAUAUAUAUAUAAAGUUGGGACUAGAGAAAGUAAUUUGACAUCACUAUUUCUCAUCUUCUUGUAUUCUCUAUUAUCUAAUAAAUUGGUUGAUAUUAAAAAAAUAAUUACAUUACAAAAUAUUAAAAAUAAAAAAUAAUUAUUAGAUUAUAAAAGAAUACAUGUCUCUUCAUCUUUCUAUUUAAAUUCAAUAAUAUGUAACCAUUAAUAAUAAUUCAUUAUAAAUCUUGAAACAUUUAUUUAUUUUAUUAUGCCAACAAUUAAAUUUUAGUGGAUUAAGUAUAUCAAUUAAUUAAUAUAGGAAUGAAUGUUCCUUCAUCUUCCCUCAACAAUGCCAUUAGGGUCUAAUUUUAAUGUUAUAAUCUCAUUUUUAAUUAUGCAACCUUUUGUUUAGUACAUUUUAACUUCUUCAAACUCUAUAAAUAUUAAGUAGUUAAGAUUUGUGGCAUUAUUAUUUCUCAUCUUUUAUAUUUUCUAUUAUCUAAUAUAUUGGUUGAGAUUAAAAAAUAAUUACAUUACAAAAUAUUAAAAAUAUAAAAUAAUUACUAGAUUACAAAAGAUUACAUGUAUCUUCCUCUUUCUAUUUAAAUUCAACAAUAUAUAACCAUUAAUAAUAAAUUAAUUAUAAGUUUUGAAACAUUCAUUUAUUUUAUUAAGCCAACAACUAAACUUUAGUGGUUUAAAAUACAUUAACUAAUUAAUAUAGGAAGGAAUGUUCCUUCAUCUUCCCUCACCAAUACCCUAUGACCUAAUUUUAAUGUCAUAAUCUCAUAUUUAAUUAUGCAACCUUUUAUUUAGUAUCUUUUGGCUUUUUCAAGCUCUAUAAAUAUUAAGCAUUUAAGAUUUGUUAUGUUUGAGUUUUUUUUAUUAUUUAACCAACAUCCUCUUUAGAAAUGUUCUUGUGUUUUUAUUUUUUGACUUAUUUAAAUUUUUAGUAUUGUAUGCUUCAUGGAGUACCAUUUUCUUUAUGAGUUAAACAAUGAUAAAGAUAGUUGGAUGAUAAAAGGUUAGGCUUUGUAAGAUGUGGGAGUAUGUUAAUACCAAGAAAAAUGGAGAGUUGAUUAGUGUGAAUAUAAUUUUUAUUGAUGAAAAGGUUGUGUAAACUUAACUAUACACAUUAAUAUAUAUUUUUAAUGUUAACAAAAAAUAAUUAACUUUCAUAAAUAACAUUAGUUUUAUAAGACUGCGUCAUCUUUAAAAAAAAAUUCAUAUUUUUUAUCAAUUUCAUCAAUUACAAAGUAAUAAAAAAAUAAUACUAAUUUUUUUUUAAAGCCGCACAAAGUGCGGUUCUAUUUCCUAGUUUUUAAUAAAAGAAUUUACUCUUGUAUCUCAUACUCAUUCUAUUCUUCCUCGAGGAAUGUUGGAAAUUGAGAGAUAGCAUCAGGUUUCAAAUCUAAAACAAUAAAAAUAAUAUAAGCAAUAUAACUCAUAAUCUAAAAUAAUUUUGGGUCAAGACCAUUGAAAUAAGGUAUGAUCAAAUAAUAAUUUAGGACUACAACUACUUAACCAGGCUUGAAAUUUUUAUAGUAGAUGCGUAUAAAUAUUUUGAUAUUUGUUAUUUAUACUAAUAUUUAAUAUUUUAUAAUUUAAAUUUUAUAAUUCAUUUAUUAAUAAUUCUAAAAAAUAAAAUCAAAAUAAAAAAAUUAAUAUGAGGAAAUGGGGAAAUGGGUAGGGGAUGGGGAUUCCAUCUCAUCUUCGUCCCUUCCCCGAAUAAGAAAUUUGAUAUAAAAUUAUUCUCAUAUCCUCCCCGAAUAGAAAAAAAUCUCCAAGGGUCCCCGUCCCCGUGAGGAGUUUUGCCAUCCCUAGCCUAGACUCCUAUAGAGUAGAGUUAAGCUAUUAAUCACUGCACCGAUACAUCAAAAAUUAAGUAUAUGGAUCAAAGACAUCUUCAUUCAAGAGUCGAGAAAUUUCAAAGCAAAGGGGCCAAAGAUGGUGGUGCCAUUUUGUUCAACUUUCACCUCCGGAAGUUGAAAAGGACAUGAAUGCAAUUAUGCAAGUCCGUAUCAAAGAUGCAAUGAAUGACGCCUAAACUCCUAUAGAGUAGAGUUAAGCUAUUAAUCACUGCACCGAUACAUCAAAAAUUAAGUAUAUGGAUCAAAGACAUCUUCAUUCAAGAAUCUCGAAAUUUCAAAGCAAUGCUUGUCAUUUACAUAUCAAGCAAAGGGACCAAAGAUGGUGGUGCUCUAAUAUUUUGUCUAGUCAGAUUUCAGAUUUACCUUGUUCAUGUCUUUUUCUUUGGUGCAGAAGUUGACCGUGGCCUAUUUCAACAUCAUUCAUCAUCCUCUCAAUCUCCUCCUUUUUCACUGGCAGAACCAAAAAUAUCUUGCACCUCAGUGAAAUAUCAUUGGAGACAAAAAAGUUUCUCCAGCUUAUUCAACAACCAAAACCAGCCAAAUAUCAUCUCCAACCACAAAGCAAUGAGCCAAGUAAUUAAAUUUCCUUGAUGCAGGCUGAGGAAAGCCAAUAAGCAAUCAAAGGAGAUGGAAGAAUAGCACUAUUAAUUCAAGACCAACAAAGUUUGCAGCAAAACUGAUAGUAUUUAUGAUCUUGCAAAAGUCAAUCUUGUCUGGUUAUCAACACUGCAAUUAUAGCUUUUGUGCACCUCAGUUAGCCUUAAAUUGUGAAAGUUUCAGCCAAACCAACAAUUUCUAACCUACUUCUCAUGGUUAUACAAGCUAACUAGCAUCUGCUUCACUGCAUUAUGCUUAAAAAACAAUCAUACUAAAUGUCACAAUUCUGGUAUAUAAAAGUUCAGCCGUCUACACCAUUCAAGUUGAGCAUUUGACUGCAUCUCUAUGGGUACUAUUAAGGGAUGGCAAUAAUCAGUUAUGAUACGAAUAAUUGACAUCCAUAAUCCGAUAUAUCCGUCCACACCCAUGUCUAAUUUUAGAGGUUUGAUAUGGAUAUGGAUUUUUGUUUAUAUGGAUAUUGAUAUGCAUAGAUAUUCGGGAAAAAAAAUUCUACUUAACACUAUAACGAAUAGGAUACUUCUUUUAUUAGAGCUUUGUCAUGCUGAUGAUGUGCAAGAUAUCAUAAAUAAAGGGGAUCGUAGGGAACGAAAUGAAAUAAGUUUAAAGAAUUUGAAAGAAACUCUGAUUAUUCUCUUAUUCAACAACCCGGUGUGAAAUUACAUUUUACACGAGGUCCAUGUAAUUAUAUUUGUCAUUAAGAAUGAGCAUUUGCCAAAAGAAGAGACACAUGUCAUGACAAUGAGUGAUUGACAAGUGACAAAAUUGAUAGACACCCGCCGAAUAUGUCAUAACACAAACUUCUAAAAUUGCUACAGGAAAUGAAAUAUAACGAUGCACGAUGCCCAUCCAAGUUGUUUACUUGUAUUGUCCAACUGUAAAUGAGUACAGACAUGGUACCAUCAAUCGUUGUUAUUAAACUAGUCAUUGACCUCAGUCACUCCUUCAUAACCACAUAAUAAGGAGUGGCUAUUUAUUUAAAAUAUGAAGUGAAAAAUUGAAUUAAUUUAUUUGAAAUAGAAAUGGUCACAAGAAAAUUUUAAAUUAAUUUCUUGAAACAGGAUCCUACAAAUGAAGUGUUUUAAUUUCGUAAUUUAUUAUUAUUAUUGUUAUUUUGUUUUUAAAUAUUAAAAAGAAAAAAAGAAAAAAAUUGGUUUGUCUUUAGUUUCUAGCGGACAUCAGAUUCAUCAUAAUAAGCGUACCCUUGUCCAUGUAUAAAUUGCAUUUGCCUCUGAAUUCUUCAAUAAUUGAAAAAGAUGGGUGCUCGUGGGACACUCUCAUUUAUGAUACAAUUUAGGAAUAAGAACUUAAUGACGCAACCAUCACCAACAGCCUCUUUUUUUGGAGGUACUCGGAUGGCUAUUAUUGCCAUUUAAAAGAUAGCAUAAAUUUUGUAGAUUGCCAGCUAUGGCCGAGCUUUUAAAUUUUUUUAUUUUUUUUAGAGAAGAAGAAAAAUAGCCAUUUAAAAGAUAACAUAAAUUUUCUAGAUUGGCAGUUAUGUUUGAGUUUUCAAAUUUUUUUCAGAAAAAAAGAUACUUAUGCCUUUGAGAUUUAGAAAAACAAUCACACAAAUUCUCAAAUUUUUAAUAAGAUUAAUCAAGACCUCUUUUUAUUAUAAUAUCUUUUAAUUUUAUAACUAAAAAAUUUGGCUAUAGUAUUUUAUAAUAAAAAAUAACUAAAAUGACCCACCUCGAAUCUCCAGGACAAAUCUAUCUAAUCUCACCAACCGAAUUAAUAAUAAUCUAAUAUCUAAAAUUCUACCAAAAAUUCGGCAAAAUCUCUUAUAUAAUUAUGACAUUCCCAAACUUGCAAUUUAUAAAAUUUAACACUCCUAAAAAAUGAUACAAUAUUCAAUCAACCUCCACAACCAACUUGUUCAAUCAAAUACCAAUAUCCUUCAAACAUAUAAUGUCAAGAAUAUAAUAAUUUAUCUUUAAUCACAAAUAAGUAAUAAAUUAUACAAUUCAAAAUAUCCUAACAAAAUAUCUAUGAUUCCUAACAUCAUCACAUGACCAUAAUUUUAAAUUUAACUAUCGUUGUUGGGUCGACUGAUGUACCUGCAUAUCUUUUGGGAGGGGGGGGGGAGGGAAUAUAAUAAAAAAAUGUGAGUAUAAAAUUCAGUGAGCUCAGUUGAGUAUAUUAUGAAAAAAAAAAUUUACUUAAAAUAAUCUAAUCUUUCCCAAAUCAAUUUCAUCAAAAUAUCAUAAGAACUUAAAUAAACUUAUUUAAUUUAAAUCAUGUUUUAAUAUAACAAUAAUACAUAAUACGGCAUGAAAUCAAGGAAAACAUGAUACUUAUAAUAGCAAACACCAAAUACCGAAUCUAUCACCAAACAAGUACUCGGGGGAAUAAUCUCAUCAUAUCCGGACCUCGACGGAUCGGCAAUCAGAGAACCAUCAUGGCCCGAAGCUAUACGAAUAGACGGGGAAGUACUAUCUCAUAUCUCAUCAUAUAUGUGCAUGCAUAAUCUAGUAUCCAAAGGACAAGGCGCCCAAGAAUGCGGUCCAAAGCUUGUGUGUGUACUCAGAGGGGCCCCAAAGACCUAUAUUUCAUCUGUAUCAUCAUAUCUCAUCUGUAUUUCAAUAUCUAUAUCUCUGUAAUCAUCAUACUACAUGCAUAUGCCCCUAAAAGGCAAAAAUGCCCAAACACAAGACCCAAAGCCUCUAUUUGUGUUCAAACGGGCCCUAAAAGCUUCUCAUCUCAUCUGUAUCACUGUAUUUAGAUGGAAAGAGUAUUGUUUAAUGAGUUUAAAAACAACAUCUUAUACAUAUAUACAUAAACAUAAAAUGACACUUAAAUCUCAUUUCCUUUUCAUGUAACAUACUUUAAAUCUACUUUAUUCUCUUUAAAACCAUUACCGUGCAUUUACUGAAAAAUGAUAAUAAAAUCAUUAAUCAAACUCAUUUUUUGUAAUAAUAAAUAUCAACAUAUAGAUAAAAAUCCAUUUUUUAGAAAGUUAUUAAAUUCGACUGUUAAAUACUUAUUUAUCAAACAUGUUGUACUGUAUCAUAAAAUCAUAAUAUAUUAUGAAAAUCGAUUUUGUAUAUUCCACUCAUAGUGACUAUGUUCGAGCUCGAAAUCGUCAAUGUCUGUGGGUUGAUUCUUGUUCAUGGAUCCUCCUAAUAUAAUGAAAUAACAUAAUCAUUCUCUUAAAUAUGAAAUACAACUAAUUUUACGUAAUAAAUUUCGAAACGAAUAUCUAUCAAUAAUAAACUAUUCCCGUAUGCAUAAAAUUACCAAAAUACCCCAUGCAUGCCAAAAUUACCAAAAUGCCCCUUAUAUCAAUAUUUACCAAAUUAUCCUCAUAAUCCUAAAUUACCAAGCUGACGUCAAUUCAGAUCACAAAAAUAACCACAAUGUUAGAAAUUAUGAAAUUACCCUUAGAGAAUGUCCUUAACAACGUAAAUUACUAAAUUACCCCCGUAAUCUCAAAUUACCUAACUGCCCUAGUCCAAAAUUACUAAACUAUCCACCAAUUUUGGAAAUCACAAAAUUAUCCCCCACCGUUUUGUGAAAUUACCGAACUACUCCUGGCAGUUAAUGGUGACCGGACUUCGGUCGACGGCGACGAGAAGAUCAGAUCUGAUAGUUCUUAUCUCAGUGAGUCCAAUGGUGCCGGCGGUGACCAGCCACGCGCGCCGACGGUGGUAGAUCGAGCUUCCCUAGUCGCGAGCUUUUCGGUGGUCGAUCGGUGGAAUUCCAACCGUUUCAGGCAGCGAGUUUGGUUGGAAAAUGAUGAGGGUGAGCUGAGGAACAAGAUCCAAGCAGUGGCGCGGCCUAAUUCCGGCGAAAUCAAUGGCGACGAAAACGAGUUGAGAUGUGGGUUUUUCAAGCUUGAUCGCCGGCAUUCUACCCAUUUUCCGAUGAGGUGACCGGAAUCGGUGGCUGGAGUUGGGUCGGGUUGCGCGAUUUCGGGUCGGGUCAGGUCAAACUCGGUCAGCUUCUCUCUUUCUCUCUCUCCCUCUCCCUUUCUCAAUUUAUACAACCAAUUCUCUUUUUUUUUUUUCAAAGCUUAAUACAAAUUAAGCUAAUACUGAACCCAUAUUGAAAAAAAAAUCCGACUACCCAACCUUUUAAUCACGCUCAAUUUGUCUUGAUUUAUUGUCGCGACAAAUUUAAAAUAAUCCAAACACAAUAUAUAUUAAUAAAUAUGUAACAUUUAACAACCAUCCCCCAUAAUAUCGGGAAAAAAUUGAGUUGCAUCAACUUCACUGUAAAAAUUCGUAACGAGUCUACUAAAUUUAAAAUUAAUGCCAAAGGAGAAAAAUAAAAUGAUACACUUAAUUAGCAAAUUUAAAGCGCAUAUAUUACAAUAACAUUAAAAUAAAUGAAAUAAUAUAUACAUUUAAAUAUUUUAAUAUUUACAAUCUAUUAGAUAUAUUUUAUUAUAUUAAAGCAAAUUUUUAAUAAUAAAUAGAAACAUAAUAUUGAAUAUUUUGUACAAUUUUAACAUUAUUAAUGAAGAGAUUUUGUUAACUUUAAAAUCUAUUUAACUCAAAUAUUUAUUUAAAAUCUUUGUAAUAAAUCCAAAUAUAUUAUUAAAUUUAAUAAUUUUAAAUGUAAAAAUAUUUUAAUAUUACUACUCUAUAGAUAUAUUUUAUUCUUUUAUAUUAUUUUUGUAUUAAAUAAAAAUUUUAAAGUUAAUUUUUUAGUUACUAUAUUCAAAGUGUAUUAUGAUUAAAAAAGGAUCCUAAAGUCUAUAUAAUCAUUUUUUAAAAUUUUAGGAGUGUAAGUGUUGAUUUUUCUUUUUUUUAAAUAAUUCUUUUCGUACAAAACUUAUAUUCACGUUCUUUUAACUUCUCAUUAAUGCAUUUUCAUUGCCAGGGUUUCUACGUUUUCAAUCAAAAAUCUAGUGAAGAAACUGGAAAAUGUUGGAGGAAACGCUAAUGCAUUAUACGUACAACCUAAUAAACAAGUUGUUGGAGUGUACGGCUAGAGCAAUUUGUUUAUGGUCAUCUGUGCUUGUGUAUACUAUUAGUAAAUCUAUUUUGCAAUGAACCCAAAUAAUCAAAUUGUCCCGUGGUACUUACGGUCCAUGGAUCUAAUAAUUUUUGCUUCUUUUUAUUUAUUUAUUUAUUGCAUAUCAUAACCUGUCAGUCUCAUAAUAUUGUCCAACAAGAUUGCCUUUUUGAAAAAUUUCACAUAAAUCGGACACGGGUGAUUAUGUUAUCCUUUAAUUUUUCUAACGAAUAUAAUUUUCACUGUCAUUUUGUGUUUUGGAUAGGUGGAAUGACAGUGACCUGACUGAAAAAUAUGUUAUCUGGACGACGAACGACCAAGUCAAGGUCUUUUAAGUGUACAGUCCAACUCCUUUUAAAUAGCAAUUGAAUUCUGCACUUUAAGCAAUAAGUUACUCGGCCAAAUUUGCAGAAAUAUUUCAAAGUUUAAUUCUUCACUUGGAUUUUUCAUUGCUGAUCAUGUAAGUUAGUUGUUAUUAUUAUUAUUAUUUUUUCACCAAGGUAACUCUUGUGCUUACACUUUUCGCGGAGCUAGUUCUAUUUUCUUAAUGUUCUAAUUUUCAAUGAAUGUAUUUGGACAAAGCCACGAACUUGUCUUUUAGAGGACUUAAAUUGUAUUAAUAUUGCUGAUAUAUUCCUUAUAAAUAAAAAAGAGCAAACAAAGUUCUUAUAAAAAACGCAAGGAUAGCAGACAGUGAUUUUAAUUUUUUUUUGUUGAUGUUAUCUCUAUUUUAAUAAUAGAUGAUUGAUUGAUUCAAUCUUCUUCUUGUCCAUAAUUAAAAUAACUACUUUCUACUUCCUAAAGGAAUCUCUAAUCUGUCGAAAUGACUUUAUACACAUUUGUAGAAAUCAAUAUCUUGAUUAUUUGGUUGUCAAGUGUAUAUAAGUUAUACCGUCUGUUAGUUUUUUUAAUUGGCAUGUUUGAUAUUUUUCAACCAAAAUUCCCCUUGAUUGGGAAAAUAAACCAUUUCCUGCUCAUGUUUUUUAAUCCUACUCCAAAAUUCUCAUCUUAUUUGGUGAAAAUUUUAUUUUUGGGAUUUAUACGUGCAACCUAAUCAAGAAGUUGUUGGAAUGUGCUUGUGUAUUAUUUUAAUAAAUCUAUUUUGCAAUAAACCCAAAUAGUCAAAUUCUUAAUUCUCCCGUGCUAUAUAUAUGGUCUGUGGAUAUAUUAAUGUUUGCUUCUUUUAAUUAAUUUAUUUAUCUUUUGCAUAUCAUAACCUCUCAGAUUACUGUCUAACAAGAUUGCCUUUAAGUUUGAAAAUUUUCACAUAAAUUGGACGCGGGUGAUUAUGGUGUCCUUUCAUUUUCUGACGAAUUAAUUUUCACUGUCAAUUUGUAGUUUGGCUAGCUGGAAUGACAGUGGCCUGACUGAAAAAUAUGUUAUCUGGACAAAGCCAUGAACUAGUCUUUUAAAGGACUUAAACUUGUAUUAAUAUUGCUGAUAAAUUCCCUAUAAAUCAAAAGAGCAAACAAAGUUCUUAUAAAAACUGCAAGGAUAGCAGACAGUGAUUUAUUUAUUUAUUUUUUGAUGUUAUCUCAAUUUUAAUAAUCGAUGAUUGAUUGAUUCAAUCUUCUUCUUGUCCAUAAUUAAGAUACCUACUUUCUACUUCCUAAAAAAUCACUAAUCUGUCGAAAUAAGUUUAUACACAUUUGUAGAAAUCAAUAUCUUGGGAUUGUUGCUUGUUAAUUAUAUGUAAGUUAUACCAUUUCUAUGUUUUUUUUAAUCUGCUCGGCAUGUUUGAUAUUUUUCAACCGAAAUCCCCCUUGAUUGGGAAAAUGAACAAUUUCCUGCUCAUAUUUUGAAAUCCUACUCCAAAAUUCUCAUUUUAUUUGGUGAAAAUUUUCUUGAUGUUGAUAAACUUAUGUUAACUGUCAACUAAUGUUAAAUUAAGUCAAUUUGUUUUUCAACUAUCAGAUUUGGUAAUUUCCCCCUUUUUCCAGUGUAUGCAAAUCCACGACAACCACCCUACGCCUCCUUCCCUUAUUUUUCAAGGAAGUAUGUGAUUUUUUAAACUGGGUUUUGAUUGCUGGCAACUGUAAUAUGUUGGACUUCCGUAAUUGGCUUGUUUGUACUGUACAGAUAUAUAUGUAUUAAAAAAAAAAGGAAAAAAAAUGACAAAACCUUAACUUGCGUUUCGAUCAUAUCAGGUCUCAGGAUCCAGAAGCAGGUUCAAAAGAUAAACGAUAUUCUAAAGUGUAUGGUACUGGAACGACGUCGGCCGAUAAAGAACAACCUACAUGCUUAGGUUGCGUUAAAAAUCUUCUAGGUGUCAUACUUCUUUGUGUGGCGCUAUUAUGCUUUAUAAUAUUUGGUGGGACAAUAAUGCUAGUACUUUAUUACCUGUUGAUUACAAUGAUUGUGUUAUAUCAUGAAACCGGUAAAGCGAUAGCGAGAGCAAUACUCAGGAUUAAAACAAUCAAGGAUAAAGAAUAUAUUGAUGGUCUAAUGAAUGUGACUGCAAUGAUCCUUGAUGUGACUGCAAUCAUCCUUGAUCCUUUAUUCUUCUACAUUCUGGUGCUGGAUGAUGAAAAGAAAUGCAUUCACUGGGACAAAACCUUGGGGAUUACAGCUACCGUCAUCCGUUCCGUCCUCGAUUUCCUUAAGCUAGGCCAUUUUAUCUCUCACUCUAAGCUGCAUAUGGCAAAGGGGAACCAAAGAGAAAAAUUUAAGUAUUUGUGGGGGCAGUUAAAAAAUUUCAAGGUGUAAUUUACUUUCGCUAACUAGUUGUUUCUUCAACUUCCAUAAUUUAUAUAAAUAUAGUCUCCGUUAUCUUCUUUGCUCCCUACGAAGUAUUUGCUUUUUUUUUUUUUUUUGCCUUAAAAGGGAGAAGGAGAAGUACCUGAAGAUCCAAUGGGACGAAUGCGGAAGCUCUUCCUCAUUGACUGUUUGGCCAUCCUUCCCAUCCCCCAGGUAAAGGCACUAUCUAAUUUACAAUUACGUAAAUUCUGUUUAUUGACAUAUUAUGUAGUUCAAUCCUUCCCAUCCCCCAUGUGCAUAUCGUAAUAGUCUGCUUGAUUCCUGUCAUAUGUACAUCACAAAGUGGUUUUGAUUGUGAUAAAGAUAGAUCUUCAUACGAUUCAUGUCAAGGAUAAUGAUUUCAAUGUCAUUUUUCCCUUUACUUUGAUUAAAGUUGUAUUUAGACAUACAACCCUAAAUGUUUUGCAUGGAUAUUAGGGGUGGCAAUUUUCGCUAGUGAGUAGUGUUAAAUUUCAGCUAUAGGAAUUCGAUACUUUAUUAAUCUUGUUAAUAAUUUCAAACACCAACUCCACCUGUCUAUUAAUAAUUAUGUCACAUGCUUAAUAUGCUUUGAAAGUAUAUUUUUAAAUUUGACUUGUUUACAAGUUUUUAAUAUAUUUGUUUAAUUAAGAUAUUUAUAGUACUGCCUCUCAAAUUCAAAUCAAUUCUAGUCUUAAUAUAACUAGAUAAUUUUGAAAUAUAUACAAAUAGAAAGUAGUUCAAUUGUAUCCAAAAUCUAGUCGUACAACCAUUAUUAAUCAAAUAGUUAAUUAUGUCAUAAUUACAUAGGCUCACGUGACAGUAACUUAAAACCUGAAGAAGUGAAGAGAACAAAAAAUAUUUGUGUUCCUUUUCACCAACGCGAACAAACUAUUAUUUUCAUGCCAUUGGAAUCAGUUUCGCAGGUCAUUUCAAAAUUUGUCACCCCAGCUAUACCAUCAUUUUGCACAAAAAUAAAUAAUCAAUUUUGUUCAUAUUCAAUAUCCUUCAAAAUAUUUAUUUCCAUUAUUCCAUAUCAACUAAUAGGACAAACCGUCCAGGUUUUGGUGAUUUUUGGAAUAAGAGGCCCAGGAUUUUCGACGGCAAUGACCUUCUUUAUUUUACAAUAUUCGCUAAGGGUUAUUCGAACGUACUUUCUCUUCACACAUGCUACACGGGUUUCAGGGAUACUUGCCGAUGCUACAUGGGCCAUUUUUGCCUUCUAUCUUCUUCUUUAUCUGCAAAGCGGUCAUGUAAGUUCAAAGUAUCAUCAUUUUACCGAAAUAUUUUUUGGGAAAUUACAAUUUUUCCACCAUAUAGAUCGCCAAAUUAAAGGCCAAAAACAUUACAAAAUUUUGAAAUUUACAUUUUUAUUCAAGAAGUUUCCACAAACACCAUUUUUAUAUUAAUUUUUUUGGAAUCAGAAAAGCAUGAACUACGAUAUUCAGUAUUUUGUAAUUUAGAAAAGCAUAUUCUAAUAAAACUAGAAUUUUAGCAACGCCCAGUUAUUACACAUAUAUACGCACAGUCAGUUAGCUUUUUUUUAUGUAAAUUUUAGAUAUUGGAAUUGUCGAUGUAUGAUUUUCCCUCUACUCUGCAAAUUAAUUUUUCUGCUAAGCUAUCUUUCAGAUGUUUGGAGCCAUAUGGUACUAUAAUGCCAUAGAAAAAGUGACUGAAUGCUGGAGGGAAGCCUGCAAAAAUCAUACCGGAUGCAGCGGUCAUAGUUAUUUUUCCUGUAAUAAAAGUUCCAGAGACUACAAUUUUCUAAAUGAUUUUUGCCGUAUAAGUACAGGAAGUACUACCAGCUAUAGUUUUGGAAUAUAUAAUGAUGCUCUUCAGUCUGGUAUUGUGGGGGAGACAGAUUUUCCUAAGAAAUUGAUACGUUGUCUACGAUGGGGCCUGCAAAAUCUCAGGUUUGCUGUUUUUUAUAUGGCUUGGAUAAUGAUUAUUGUGCAUGUGAUCAGGUCCGUUACAGGUUCUCUUAGUCCGGUGCAGGUUUAUUUUGUAGUUCUUUUCGCAUCCAUGUAUUUUUUUUUUCCCCAAUUCUCUUUUAUUCUUUUCUUUGUAGCUUUAUGCAUAUUGUAAGGGCUAAAUUUUAUUAAAACCCACUAAUUAGCCAAUGCAGACCAAGACAUUUUAUUGAAAGGGGCUACAUCUAAUAAUACCAACAAUAUACAUAACAUAAGGGAUUAAUUAAGUUUAAAUGAUAAAAUUAAGCAAUUUCAUAAUUUUUAUUAAAUUAAGAUGACAUGUGAAAGUAAAUGAGGGAUAUUUUUAUUAUUUUUGAAAGGUUUAACAAGGAAAAAAUACUGUUUAAUUUUUUUAUAAAUUCAGAAUAAUUGAGGGGUAUGUUUUUAGGGGUUUAUUUCAAACGAACUCUUUUAUUCAGCUCAAAUAUUAAAAAAAUCAUUGGGGGUUUAACUAAUAUUUCCUGCUAAGGUCUCGAAUGAAAUUUCAGAGGGGUUAUAUGAAACAUUUCUUUUCUAUCGGCUGGUCAUUAGGUAAGUUCAAUCUUGUUUAUUCUCAUAAAAAGAGUACGAAUGUUUGGGCCACGCACAUUAUUUAAAUAUGCAAUUAUGGGCUUUAGUUACCUUACAUUAUUAUGUAAGUUUUAUAAUUUUUUUAUCUAAUGGUUGUGGGAAUAAUGUGAUUUUAUUACUUCAUAUUUUCAUAACUAUUGAAUUUUCAUCAAAUGACUAUGAAAAAAUUAUACAAUUUACGUAAUAAUGUAAGGUAACAAGCUCCCGCAAGUAUGUAAUACUUAUGAACUGUAUUGAACUUUUUGCAGUGCAUUUGGUCAGAACCUCGAAUCAAGUAACGAUGUCGGGGAAAAUAUCUUUGCAAUUUGCAUGACCAACUACGGCGUAGUUCUGUUUGUCUUUUUAAUUGGAAGGAUGCAGGUAACAUACAUUUUCUGUUUCUUCUCGAUUUCUCAAUUAACUCUCUCCUCGAGCUCUUAAUUACCUUUGAUCCUUUUAAAUCUUGGAACACGAUAUACAUAAGUUUUAAUUAGAUUUGAAAACACACAAGUUAAUUAUUUAGGUCAAAUUAAUUAAUGGCUAGAUGUACAGACUGAAAUUGCAAGGUCACAGAAGAUAAACCAGAAGUGGCAGGUGAUCAGGCAGUCGAAACACUAUGCGGAUAUCUCUCGUGAUCAAAAUGUCCGAGGGCAGUUCAAGAAAGCCAAGCGUGAAAAAUUGGCAAACAAACAUGUUGAUGUUCGCAUAGAUAGUUUUAUAAGCGAUCUCUCCCUCGACGCUGAAAAACAAGUAAAACGCCAUAUGGGCCGAAAACUGCUCAGAAAAGUGAGUUUCUAUUUCUCUGGAUAAUAAUAAUCCUUAGCUACGUACCUGCCUCUUAUUAAUUAGUUAUUCAUCAGAAGAUGUCGAAGGGGGAAUUUUGUUAGAAUUUUUUUGUGUUGACGUCUUAUAGCAACAUCUAGAAUGAUUCUUCAUUGUAUGUCCUUGAUUGUUAGAAAAUUAAUGGCAAAUGAAUUAGUAAAUAUGAACCAUAUAGGAGCAACAAUACAUAUAAUGACACAAAAUUUUUGAAUGCUGUCAAGAGGGCACCGAAUACGAAAGCAUUUUUAUCUUAUUAUCAUUUUCUUCUUAGUAAACGAUAAUUAAGGAAAAGAGUAAUGACAAAGAGUACUGAUCUGGUCCAAGAUUUUGAAUCUUAUUAAAGUUUGAGAAAAUUAUUAAGUUAUAAGGUCUAAUAGUAUAACACCAUUACACUCUUAAACAUAAGUUUUCACAAGUACGCAGUAGAUGGUGAGAUAAUGUGUAAUUAAUAGUGUAAUUGAGUAAUGAUGCUUCUUGAUGAGCCAUCAUCAAAUGGGUGAUUUUGACAAAAGUUAUAGAAUUUAUGUAUUUCAAUAUUCUAUAACUUUAUAAUCGUUGUAUAUAUUUGUAUUGACUCUGAUUCUCCUUUAUCAAGGUAGAAGAAUUACUUAAUGUAUUUCAAUAUUCUAUAACUUUAUAAUCGUUGUAUAUAUUUGUACUGACUCUGAUUCUCAUAUAUCAAGGUAGAAGAAUUUCAAAAUUGGGAUGAGUUCUAUUUGGACUAUCUGUUUGGUUGUCUGAAGCCAGUCGUCUUUAGUGAAAGGACUGUAAUUAUUCAGGAGGGAGAUCCAAUUAAUGUGAUGACCUUUGUGUUGCAAGGCAAGACUUGGGCCUACUCCAACAGCUUGCCGAUCACUAGACAGAGACAUCAAGAAGAUUGUGAUGUUCGCCGAAAAGAACUCAUAGACUGGGCUAAGAAUGAAAACUCGUACCAGCAGCUCCCUAUCUCAGACAGAACCAUUCGAGCACUUACCGACGUUGAAGCCUUUACUCUUAAGGCUGAUGACGUGAAAUGUGCAUUACUUUUCCGUCUUGUUUCCAAAGAGGCAGCAACUCUCAUACAAUCAUUCUGGCGUUUCAGGAAGCACAAACAUGCAACGCCAAGAACAUGCAUGGUCGGCUGUUUCAGGACACAGGACAAAGUUGUACUGCAUUAGAUUAACUAUUUGGGAUUGGACUUGAAGUAUUUAUUACACUAAUAUAUCUGUUAUUUAUGUUUGGUGUUUCUGUUUAGGUAUCGGAAAUAAACUACUUCUGUUGAGUGACAUAGUAGAUUAGGGGUGUUCAGAAUCCAAUUCGAUCCGCUUAAUCCGUCCGAUCCGUUUAAUUCGAUCCGUAUAAAUCCAAUCCGUGGAUUGGAUAUAGAUUGAAAAUUUAAAAAUCUGCAGUCGAUGGAUUGGAUAUGGAUUUACUUCUGUAAAUCCGCAGAAAUCCGUGAAUCCGUAAAAAAAAAAAAAAAAAAAAAAAAUAUAUAUAUAUAUAUAUAUAUAUAUAAUUAAAAAAUUAUUAUAAAUUUAAUUAAAAAAAUUAUAAAUGUGACAUUACAUAGUUACAUAAGCACUAUAACAUAUUUUAGCCAUUACCCAAUAAUAAUAUAAAAUAAAAAAUAAUUAAAUAAUCAAAUAUACAAAUAUAACUUGUAAAAAUUGUAAAACAAAAUAAAAGCAAAGUCACACGCACUAGCAAAAGCAAAGUCACAUGCACUAGCAAAGUAAAGUAACAUAACGCCAAGUCACCAACAAUUUGCAAAGUCACCCAAAAGCAAAGUAACAUGAUGCCAAGUCACCAACAAUCUGCAAACCCUAAGCUUUCCCGCCGUCACACACACUAGCAACACUCAAUACUGAUUGGAUACACUCUCGACACGGAUUUGAAGGACAUCGGCCGCGCGAUUCCAGCGAGAGCAAGCCAUCUUCUUUCCCAAGUCCAUCGAGCCACUUCACAUUCAUUGGUUCCAGCUGAACAAUUUCACUAUCACAACCUUCAAGAUCGCCACCCGUACGGCUUCUCCUGGUUCCCAUCGUGGACGGCUCCGUAAUCACCACUUUUCGACAGGCGCAACAGCCCUAGUGAAGGAUCAUACUGUAUUUGGUUUCCGAAACUUCGCCAUUUCAAUUAAUUGUGGCUUUAUUUGAACAAUUAAUUUCGGUGUUAUGUUAACGUAUUAUUGUAACUUUAUUUGAACAAUUAAGCUUAGUGUGUUAUAUUUUGAAACUUUGAACGUAUUAUUGUAGCUUUUUUUGAAUAAUUAGUCUUGAUGUGUUAUAUUUUGAAACUUUAAAUGUAUUAUUUUAGCUUUAUUUAAAUAAUUAAUUUAUUUAAAUUUUAUUCAAUUUUAAAUUUAAUUGGUAGCAAAAUUAUUUUUAUUUUAGAUUUUUUUUAUUUCAUUAGUUGGAGAGAACUAAAAAUUUUUAAUUCAAAAACUAAUGCGUAAAAUGGUGGAUUGGAUAUAGAUUAAGUCAAAUCCGUAUCCGAUCCGCAGACGUAUGGAUUGGAUAUGGAUUGAGUCAAAUCCACAUCCAAUCUGUAGAUGUAUGGAUUGGAUUUGGAUUGAAUUUUAUCAAUCCAUGAAUUAGAUUGGAUUGAAAAAUUAUAAUCUGCAAAAUCAUGGAUCAGAUAUGGAUUGAUGUCCAAUCCGUAAAAUCCGAUCCGCGAACACUCCUAUAGUAGACUAUAAUUAUCUGGUACAUGGUUUUGGAUGAAAAUAGUGUAAAUAGCAAUAGAACAACCCAUAGAUCACAGUCUAGGGAAUGAACAAAUGCACAAUUCCAGUCAAGUGAAUAAUCACAGGAUAUUUUCAUCAACUUUUAAUAAAUAUAAAAAUGAAAACUACGCAGAGAAUAUUCUUAAACACAAGUUCUAUGACUGUGAUUAUCAAUAUUAAGCAAUCAACCUCGUACAAUCAUCAACUUGUGAUAAACUAUUCAUGCCAGUAACAUGACUAUCUUAUUAAUUUCAGUUCACUGCAAAGUGAAAAAAAAUUAAUCACAUCCUCUUCGACUAAAAUUGAAGUUAAUUCUUGGCUCCCUUCAACAAAUUUUCUUUUCUAGUACUCUAUUAUUCACGUUCAUCUCAUAAAAGAUAUGUAGAGAUUGUCAAGUUAUGUAAUCAACUUGAGCAACAUCUUCCCAAGAUUACUGGAUUAGAUUUACAAGAUGAAUUAAAGAUGAUCUGAACUUACAAUGAUUUUAAACAACUCAAUAUCACAACGAACCAACAGUAAGCAAUUAAAGAAACUAAAAGAAACCCAAGAAUUAACUCAGACACAGCAAGUUACGUGGCUCAGUCAAUUCAUCAUUGACUUACAUCCACGGAGGAACAAAUUGACCAGCUUUAUUGAUUGAACCAAGUCUCUUUUACAACCAGAUUUAUAGAGCCCUAAUCAAGGAACAAGAACACUAUGUUUACACAAGCUCUCUCUCUCCUGAAUCCUCUGAAAUCCUCUCGGUUUGUUACACCAGAAUUAGCUUCAGCUUAUGUGUUUAUAACAACCCAGAAGCAGCCCAAGCUGAGCACGUGAGCAGCAUAUGUCUUUAACGGCUUUUAACAGCCUUCUUACGUCAUUAAAAACUCACGCGCAUUGCUCGUCAUUAUUAUAACCCAAAGCGCUAGAGUCUUAUGUCGUUUCUCAAAGAGGUAUUAAGAUAUCCUGAAACGCAGAUUGCUGUGCCGUUUUCCUUUUGACAUCAAAUGCCAAAACGCAGAGCUUCCUGUCGUCUCCUUAAAUCUCUUUUUGAUUUGUUUCAUUCUGGUCCAACAUAACUCCACCUUGAAGCAAAUCAACCCUGAUCUAAUUUUCUCCUCGUCCCUCUGUAUAAUUAGAGGCUAUCAACACCAGCCAUGUUCAAGCAAGCUUUGAACUUGGCUGUAAGAACAAUUUUAGUAAGUAUGUCUGCUGGGUUAUCAUCUGUGUGAACCUUUACUAUCUUGAUUACUCAUUUUGACACUUCAUUUAUGAUAAAGUGUAGUUUGACAUCAAUAUGUUUGGUUAUUUUAUGAUGAGCUGGGUUUUUGCUUAGGUAGAUGGCACUUGAGCUAUCACAAUGGACUUCAACUGUUUUCUGACUCAUCCCCAACUCUUCGAUCAUCCCUUUGAGCCAUAAAGCUUCUUUGAUAGCUUCUAUGGCUGCUGUGUAUUCAGCUUCUGUUGUUGAUAGAGCAACAACAUGUUGGAGACUUGCCUUCCAACUGAUGAUGCAUCCAUUGAGCAUAAACAAGUACCUUGUUAAUAAUCUUUUUCUGUCAUUGUCUCCAGCAAAGUCUGAGUCUACAUAACCCCAUAGGCCACUACUUCUCCCUUCUGAUCUUCCAUACAGCAGUCCAAGUUUCUCAGUACCAUUCAGAUACCUUAGUAUCCACUUAACUGCUUGCCAAUGCUCAUUCCCAGGUGUUGCCAUAUACCUACUAACAAUGCUUAUAGCAUAAGAAAUAUCAGGUCUUGUUAAGACCAUGGCAUACAUCAUACACCCUAUAACAUUAGCAUAUGGAAACUUUGCCAUUUCAUGUCUCUCUUCAUCUGUCUUAGCACAUUGCAGAUUGGAGAGCUUGAAAUGGGAGGCUAGUGGUGUCAAUACUGACUUACAGGCUGACAUCCCAAAUGUCUUAAUUAUCUUCUUCGCAUAGCCUCAUUGUGACAGAAACAUUGUGCCUACCUUCUUGUUCCUCAUUAUAUCUAUGCCUAAGAUCUUCCUAGCACGUCUUAAAUCCUUCAUAUCAAAUUCUGAACUCAGUAGCUCUUUCAACGCUUCAAUCUCAUCCCUUACCUUACAAGAAAUUAACAUAUCAUCUACAUACAUCAACAAGUAUAUGUAGUGAUGUGUCUUAAGUAUCUUGUAGUAGACACAACAAUCGAAACUGCAUCUUUUGAAUCCAUUUGUUGUAAUGAACUCAUCAAACCUGAGGUACCAUUACCUUGGGGACUGUUUUAAACCAUACAAUGAUUUCUUUAGCAAACACACAUGUUCUGGUCUCUCUGGAUCCACAUACCCCUCUGGCUGAACCAUUAGAAUUUCAUCUUGUAAUAUUCCAUGAAGGAAUGCUGUUUUGACAUCGAGUUGAUCAAGCUCCAUGUCAUAAACUAUAGUCAUAGCUAGCAAUACUCUGAUUGAAGUAUGUCUAACUACUGGUGAAAAAACUUCUUUAAAGUCAACCCCUUCCUUUUGAGUGUAGCCCUUAGCCACUAACCUAGCUUUGAAUCUCCUAAGUUCUGAAGCUGUCAGGCCAUCCUUAAUUCUAUAGAUCCAUUUACAACCAAUGAGUUUUCUUUUUUCAGGUUUUGUUACUUGCUCCCAGGUGUUGUUUUUAUAGAGGGAUGAUAUUUCUUCAUCCAUUGCCUGCUGCCAAUCAGUUUUGUAUGAGCUUUGCAUUGCUUCUUUAUAGCUCAUUGGUUCUUCUUCAUCAACCUCUUGUGAGGUGGCCAGUGCAUAUGCUAUAAGAUCUGCAUAGCCAAACCUCUUUGGGGGUCUUAUUACUCUUCUCUUUCUGUCUCUAGGUAGAUGAUAAUCUUCUAUAUGGGAGGGUUUUGGGUGUUCUGAGCUUGUAUCCCUAUCACCAGCAACUUCUUUAUCUGAAUCUACAGCUUCACCAAAGGUUUUCUUUGCUGGAUGCUUCACCUCAAACUGUAUAACAUCAUCAGUUUUAUUUUGAGGUUUAGCAUUUUCAACAGGGUUUUUCCUCACUUAGCACCAUCUGCUCAUUAAACACCACAUCUCUGCUGACUAUACAUUUUGGAGGGGCCAAGUCUGCGUACCAAAUCUUAUAGCCUUUUACCCCUUCUGGAUAACCUAUAAACAGCCCCUUUAGAGCUCUAGAUGCUAGCUUUCCUUGGUUUGUAUGUGCAUUGGCAGUGCAACCAAACACUUUCAGCUUGCUGUAAUCUUCUAGUUUACCACACCACUUCUCAUGUGGUGUUUUGAAGUCUAAGACUGGGGAAGGGCUCAAAUUUAAUAGCAUGCAAGCUGUCAGUAGUGUUUUUGCCCAUAGCCCUUUAGGUAAAUAUGAUUAUAUCAUCAUGCAUCUUACCUUCUCCAUCAAAGUUCUGUUCAUUCUUUCAGCCAAGCCAUUCUGUUGUGGUGUUAGUCUCACUGUUUUGUGUCUAGCAAUGCCUUCUUUUGAGCAGUAUUCAUCAAACAUAUGAUUACAAUAUUCUAGUCCAUUGUCAGUUCUAAGAAACCUUCAGCUUCUUCCCUGUUUGAUUUUCAACAAGUGCUUUCCAUUCUUUAAACCUCUCAAACACAUGAUCUUUGGUUCUAAGUACAUACACCCAAACCUUUCUAGAGUAGUCAUCUAUUAUAGACAUAAAGAACCUAUUGCCUUCUAAAGAUGGAACCUGUGAAGGUCCCCACAGAUCUGUAUGCACAUAGUCCAGGAUACUUUUGGUUUUAUGGACAGAUUUCUUAAAGCUAGCUCGUAUGGAUUUCCCUAGAACACAAUCCUCACAGAAAUCUAGUUCUUCAAUCUUGUCACCCCUCAAAACCCCCUGCUUUUCUAAUUCUUUAAGACCAUUUAGGCUUAUGUGUCCCAAUCUUAAAUGCCAAAGCCUGGUAUUAUCAGCAUUAGUCUUGACAGACACAUUGGAUUCACUAGUCAUUACUUCCCCAUCCAGGACAUAAACCCCAUUUCUCCUUGUGCCUUUCAUAAUCAAUGUUGAGCCAUUUAGGAUUCUUAAGUCACCACACUCUAAUUUUAUACUACACCCAAUUUGGUCAAGCAUCCCUAGAGAGAUUAAAUUCCUUUUAAGGUUUGGUACAUGCCUGACCUGUUUUAUUAGCCUCACAAUCCCAUCAUGUAGUUUUAGAUGUAUGUUUCCUAUCCCAAUGACCUUACACAUUGCAUUGUUUCCCAUCAUUACCCUUCCCCCAUCAUAUUCAUGGUAAUCUGAAAAGUAACUCUUUACAGGACUCAUAUGAAAAGUAUAGCCAGAAUCAAGGAUCCACUUACCUAUCUGCACUUCAUCAGUUGCCACACACACUCCAGCUGAUUCAUAUCCCUCAUCUUCAACUAUUGCUGCAUCUCCAAUCUUUUGUUUAUUUUUAGGGCAAUCUUUCUUGAAGUGUCAUUCCUUGUGACACUGAAAACACUUCAAGUUCUUGUUUUUGUUCUUCCCCUUUCCUUGCUUCUUUUUCUUUCCAUCAAUUCUUUCAUUUCUUCCUUUCACAGUUAAUCCCACUCCACUCUCUGUGUUAACUUGCUUUUCUUGUAGACCUCUGGUAUUCAAUGCAGCCUUAACCUCAUCUAGAGACAAGGUUUGUCUACCAUACAUUAAAGCAUCCACAAAAUUGGAGUAUGACUGUGGUAAUGAACUUAUCAGAAGUAGAGCUUUUCCUUCAUCAUUCAGGCCCUCAUCAAUGGUCUCCAAGGUGUCACAAACUUUGUUGAACUCAUCGAUAUGUUCAUCAAGAGAUGAUCUCGCAGCCAUCUUUAAUGAAAACAUCAUCUUCUUUAUAUAGAGCCUAUUUGCCAGUGACUUUGUCAUGUACAGAUUCUCAAGUUUAGCCCAUAGCUCUGCCACUGUUCUCUCCUUUGCCACUUCUCUAAUAACUGAGGCACUCAAACUCAGAAUUAUCGUGCUUCUUGCUUUCUUGUCGAUCUCAGCAGCCAGUUCUAGAGAUUUUGAUGAAGAUACCUCAUUCCCUUCUUUCUUGGUUGUUGGUUCUAUGGUUUCACCUAGGCCUUGAGUAAUUAACAAUGCCUCCAUUUUCACUUUCCACAUAUUGAAGUCGUUCUUCCCAUUAAACUUUUCAAGAUCAACUUUAGGAGCAGCCAUACUUGUAUCUGAUCAAGAAACCGAGCUCUGAUACCAAUUGUAGAGAUUGUCAAGUUAUGUAAUCAACUUGAGCAACCUCUUCCCAAGAUUACUGGAUUAGAUUUACAAGAUGAAUUAAAGAUGAUCUUAAUUUACAAUGAUUUUAAACAACUCAAUAUCACAACGAACCAACAGUAAGCAAUCAAAGAAACUAAAAGAAACCCAAGAAUUAACCCAGACACAGCAAGUUACGUGGUUCAGUCAAUUCAUCAUUGACUUACAUCCCCAGAGGAACAAAUUGACCAGCUUUAUUGAUUGAACCAAGUCUCUUUUACAACCAGAUUUACAGAGCCCGAAUCAAGGAACAAUAACACUCUGUUUACACAAGCUCUCUCUCUCCUGAAUCCUAUGAAAUCCUCUCGGUUUGUUACGCCAGAAUCAGCUUCAGCUUCUGUGUUUAUAACAACCCAGAAGCAGCCCAAGCCGAGCACAUGAGCAGCAGAUGUCUUUAACAGCUUUUAACAGCCUUCUUACGUCAUUAAAAACUCACGCACAUUGCUCGUGAUUAUUAUAACCCAAAACGGUAGAGUCUUAGGUCGUUUCUCAAAGAGGUAUUAAGAUAUCCUGAAACGCAGAUUGCUGUGCCUUUUUCCUUUUGACAUCAAAUGCCAAAACGCAGAGCUUCCUGUCGUCUCCUUAAAUCUCUUUUUGAUUUGUUUCAUUCUGGUCCAACAAGAUCAAUUUAUUAGAAGACGAUAUUCCUCCAUCAAAUUGAAAGAGAAAUUGAAAAUAUCAAAAAGGGAACAGUAAGACGAUACUAUAUAUAUUAUCAUGAUAUUUUUGGUUUUUGUUUUGGAAAUGGAACAUCAUGAAACCGAGUAGAGGUGCACAAAAAUGGUGAAGAUAUAUUUCAGCUUCAUCGAUUGUCUCGAAUAAAAACAUCAAUGAUGUGUUAAACAAUUAACUCAAAAAUAGAUUGCUUACCUUAAAGGUGUGCCCAAAUUAUAAAUUUCAGUUUCGACUAUUGACCUUGGUUCGUAACGCGAUAAACUAAUCCGUGGCAUUUCACAUACCCAACAAUCUUGUAAGAAUUGGUUGAACUCUCAGAUCCCAUUCCACAACAUGCAAAACUCCCUGAUAUUGCCAAUGGCGGUGAUAUGAUUCAUUUAAAGGGUUCCCCUUGUUGCCAAUUACCUUUAAAGAACAAUAAACUAUUGCCAAUGUUCUCGACACGGUUCCAUCACUCUGAAAAACUAACGCAUGUGAGCAAAACAAAGGCAGUCAAUUAUGUCACUCCAGUAUUCAGAGACAGAUCGCCGACUCAUAAGUGAUUUAGUGGGCAAUCCAAGAAAGAUGUCAUAGAUGAUAUAAUCAGAAAUUUCUUCCUCCAUCAGUUUUAUACAAUUUUUAACAUCCCUUUGAGAUUCUGGUCAAUUAAGAACUUAAUCAGUUCCUGCAUGUCAAAGUUGUUUGAGUGUCAUAAAACCUGUAGCGAAUCUACAUUUUCUGGGAAUAAUUUAAUAUAAAACUUAGCAGAAAGCUAAUACAAAUAUGCAGUUUUUAUUCGAACAAAAUUUAUGUGAACCAAGAAACAGAGCAUAACAGGGUAGCUGCAACUAAUAACACACAAAUUAACUCGUAAAAGUGACCUAACAAGCGUCAGAAUCAAUGGAUUAAAGCACUAAUCAGAGAUUGUGAACAAAACGUUUGUUUUAUAAUCAUGGAAAUUUGAGAUUACAUCAGCUAUAUGAUCCAUGAAAGAUAAGAAGCUUAAAGUGAGUUUAUGUAGCAUUGAUAGGCCUGUAUGGUGUCGCCAGCGCAGUGGCGUCGUCGGCGUGAGUGCGAGUGAAUUUUGGGAGACCUCCGGCUCCGGUUCCGUUGACUUUGCAUUAAAUUUGGUAAUAAUUUUUUUUUUAAAAUUUAAAGUGUUAAAAUAUUCUAUUUAGCAGAAAAUAGAAACAAAUUGCGAAUGAGAUUAGAAUCCAAAUUUCAUUGCUAUCAUUUGAUAUAGAGGCAUUUCAAGUAAACUUUGGUCGUUUUUCAUUACCCAUGAGAGUGAGAACAGAGAACUCGAGUUAUCAUAUUGAAAAAUGGUAAUGAGACAGAAUUUAAAUCCUUACAAACCAAUAAUUAAUUAAUCGGUGUUAGUUUAUCGUGUUUGCAGCUAUAUUUUAUUGGAAACCUUAAAAAAGAAAUGGAAUCUUUCAGUUCAUAAUGUAUUAUUAUAUUUAUCCCACUCUUGUUUAUGACAAUUUGCAUCUGAGCCAGCUGGAAUGCUAUAGACUGAAAAAAUUAACAAUGUUUUCUGAGGAUGACUGACCAAGUCAAAGUCUUUGAGGCGCACAAUUAAUCUAACCGGGGCGAGCAGAAAUUACUGUAUUUAUAAAAUUUUGAUUCACUAGUUUCAAGUGAAAGAAAUAUUAAAAUAUAUAUCAUUCGCAUUUAUGAUGGAGCCUCUAACGAUUAUUAAAUCAUUUUAAGCAUUUAUGUAUGACUAUUACAUUUAAUUAAUUGUAUUGCAUAAUUUGCAUAGGCUCCUCCACUUUGAGGCAGUUACUUGGGUUCAAAUUUGCAGUUGCAGAGCACCAAAGUUUGCUUUUUCGAUCUACUUGGAUUUUUCUUUGUUGAUCAUGUAAGUUAUACAUACAGCACUGCAAAAUGCCUCUACAAUAUUGCCAGUUUUCGUAUAACAUGUCCUUAGGAGGACUCUUGUGUACAUAAAUAUGUUGUUCGGUUAAUGUCGGUCUCGUUUAAUUGUAAUUCAUUGUAGAUCCAAAAUUGUAAACUAUUGUUUCUUUAGCCUGAACUUGUGAACCAACUGAUUUGAUCAUCAGGUCUCAAGACUUGGACGCAGAGGAAGGUCUUAAAAGAAGGCUUCUGCACGGAGAUGGUAGGCCCAGUGAUGGAACAAAAAACUCAUCAGUUGUGUCCGUAACCGGAAGAUCCGGAACGCAAGCAGUAAAGACAAGUUUUCUUCAGCUGGAAAAGAUGAGAAAUUAUGCAGCAAAUUACAGAAUCGAUUUACCAUGGUAUGUGAUUUCAAUAUUAUGGGAUCCUUUGUACUUCUACACUCUGGUGAUCAAUGAUGAAAAGCAGUGCAUUGAAAUGGACUUUUCUUUGGCUUCCUUGGUGAUUGAACUCCGCUUCUACUUUGAUUUGGCCAAGUUGAUCCACAGUUCGUUUGUGAUUUGUGUUGAAUAUUUUGAAAAUAGAAAGAUAAGCGUGUGGCUGAUGUUCGCAUGGCUCAUUGACUUUGUGUCCAGUAUAAUAUUUACCCAGGUGCGUAAUAGAUCUGAAUUUAAUUUAUUUAGUUGUCUAAUAUUUCAAUAUCAUUUAUAUGAUUACUAAUACUUCAAAUUCAUAAAACAACAUCCAGAUGGUGGUGGGAAUAACGGACAUUCUGUACUCGAGGAAUUUCUUUCUGUUUCAAUAUUUGCUGAAGAUUAUUCGAACCUACCACCUGCUUACAGCAGCAACAGGGGUUUCAGGGAUAUUUGGUGAAUCUACAUGGGCCAUUGUUGCGUUCAAUGUUCUUCUUUACAUGCACGGCAGUUACGUAAGUCAAAAGUACUAUCAUUUAUGUAAGUUAAUUUAUAAUAAAACCCUUCUCAGGCAAAAAGAAAAAUUAAAAUAGAACCACAUUCAUGCAUCCUGCUUUCUUCCUUCCUAAUUUUGAUAAAUGAAUUCUUUUAGUCCUUAAGAUUCGAGUUAAUUAUUCAGUUACUACUGUCGCAUAUAUUGUCAGACAGAAGUAAUGACAAAGACAUUUUUGUGUAAUUCUUAAAAAUAUGGAGAUUAACUGAAUAAUUAACCCAAGCCCUCGUGAAUGAAGGGAAAUUGACACUCGAAGCUUUUCUACUUUCUCAACCGCGCAUGUUUCUAAUCGAGUGGUCCUUUAGGUAUUUGGUGCCUUGUGGUACUUUUUUGCCAUAAACAAAGCGACCGCAUGCUGGAUGGAUACCUGCAUGAAGAAUACUGGUUGCUGGGGCGUCUUAAACAUUGAUGCCUAUUGUGAGGGCCGUUCAGGAGACUAUAAGUUUCUAAACGAUGUUUGCUCUGUAAAGACGGGAAACUCAACAAACAAUUUUUAUGGCUUAUAUGGUGAUGCUUUUCAGUUAGGAAUUGUGGGGUUGACCGAUGUUCCAAUGAAAAUCUUGCUUUGUUUACUAUGGGGACUGCAAAAUCUCAGGUUUGUGCCUUGCAUUGUCGUUACUGUGUGAUGUGAGGUCAGCCGUUAAUAACUUCGAAAAUUGUGAGUUCAUUGAAUUGCUUUUUGCAGUGCUUUUGGUCAGAGCCUCCAACCAAGUAACGAUUUCUGGGAAAUUAUCUUCGCAAUUUGCAUGACCAACUAUGGCAUCGUUCUGUUUGUCUUCUUAAUUGGAAAGAUGCAGGUUCACAUAUAUAAAUUCUAUAUCGUAAUUGUUAUGACAUAUGAUGAUAUAAUAAAUUAUCAUGCGUUAAUUAAUGACCGGCAUCUUACCAUCUCGCUGUUACAUAAAGAAAUAUUUUAGGGCUGUGAGAAUGCCAUGUCAAUUAGAAUUAAUACAAACUUUGCAUCCCAAUUCCUUAUAAAAUUAGCGUUACUCAUAAUUUUCUGUUUACGUCUAUAGAUUUGAAGAUUGAUGCACAAUUCAAUUAUUGACUCUGUUUCAUUUGAAAUAUCUGAUACAUAAAUAUAUAUGCAGUCUGACACAGAAAGAUCACAAAAGAUCAAACAGAUGUGGGAGGAGAUAAAGCAAUGGCAGCACUUUAAGGAUAUAUCUAAUAAAGUUCAAGAUCAAAUAAGGAAAGACAAGCGCAACAACUGGGAAGAAACCAAAGGAGUUGACAUAGAUAAUUUGGUGAAUAAUCUCCCUAAGGACACUGGAAAAAAAAUAAAACGCGAUCUCGGCCGAAAGCUGCUCAAGAAUGUGAGUUCUCAUCAUCCCUCUUUAUAAUUAUAAUAAUUGAUCACUUUUCUAUCCUGCCCGCUCUGAAGUUCAAAUGUCUCGAUGUUUCAAUCAUUUUCAUUCUUAACCUGAUCGGGCGAGCCAAAUUAAUCCUUCGUUACAUUAAAAUUACAGAUUCGUCUUAUUUUCCCUCUUUGAUUGGUACUCCUUCUGAAUCCAAGCAUCGAACCUAAGUCAUACCUCAUUGAAGUUCAUGGGCUUAACUAACACAUGGUCAAAAGCUAGCUAGUUCGUAGUUAGGUUGAGAUUUGCCUCAAGGUUAAAUACUUUAUUCAUGAUUUACUCUUAGCUGACAUGCAAUGUUUUACAUACGCAGAGAGAUAGAGAUAGUCAUUCUCAAAUGCACGCCCUCAUUUUUUUUAAUAUGAAUACUCUGUUAACAGAGUUAAUUUCCAAUAAAUUGUAAACCCAUAGCAUUAAAAAUUGACUUUAUUAAACUGCAUAGUUUAGAUAUGUGUCCGCAAGAAAAAAAAAAAAGAGGGCACCCGCACUUAAGAAUGAUUAAUAUAUAAUAUGGACGCCCUCAUUUUUUUAAUCAGAAUAUGCUCUUAAACUGUGCAGUUUAGGAGAGUUAAAGACUAACUCUCUUAAACCUCAUGAUUUAAAAGCGUUUUUGUAUGAAAAAAAUGAGCGCGCUCGCACCAAAAAAGAACUCUCGGGUGUGUGUGUGUGUAUAACUUUUUAUAAAUGUAUUUUUAAAGUCACAUGACGAGGUGGGCUUUCAUUCUUAUAACUAAUCUUUGUUAUCUCGAUUUACCCAUGUAAUGGUUGGAUAUAUUUAUACUCUAAUUCUCAUUCUUGGAUAUGUGUAAAUAUAUAUGAAGGUAAAAGAGUUUCAAAAUUGGAGCGAAACAUCAUUAGAGGAACUAUGUGAUUGUUUGAAGCCAGUGUUCUUUAUUGAACGUACUCGAAUAAUUCGAGUAGGAGAUCCAAUUGAUGAGAUGCUCUUCGUGUUGAAUGGCAAGCUUUGGACUUACUCAUAUGACUUCAUGAAUGUAACAACAACUGCCUCUAUGUUGAUCCAUCGUCGUAGCCGGGAAAAUCUUCUAGAAGAUGGUGAUUUUUGCGGACAAGAACUUAUAGCUUGGUCUCAAAAUGAAAGCUCAUCACCCCACCUCCCUAUCUCAACCAGAACCAUUCAGGCACUUACUAACGUUGAAGCUUUUACUCUUAUGGCCGACGACUUGAAACGUGUAUCAUUACUUCGACAUUUUGAUCGGGCAGCUCUUUUGUUACAAUCACGCUGGCGUUUCAAAAGGCUGUUGCGUGCUAGAAGGAAUCCAGAGAAACGAUCACGCCUGGAAUCACUAAUGUAUAAAUUUAUAUAGAGAAACAUAUAUACGUUUGUUGCAGCAUUAUAAUUAGUCCCGAUUAUGUAAAAGCAAGUACAGAAAGCCAUUUAAAUAUGGGAAACCAACGUGCUGUUGCUCAUACUACACUAGGGGUGGCAAAACGAAUUGGCAAAUCGAAUUCGUGUAGAAUCCUAAAUGAAUCAAAUCAAAAUUCGAUGGAUUCAAAUUCGAUUUGUUUAUUAAACGAAUCGUAAUCUCAUGAUUUGGACUCAAUUCGUUUAGUAAACGAAUAUUCAUUUACAAUUCAUUUACUAUACAAAGUUAAAUUAAAUAAUAAAUAAUGAAAGUUUUUAAUAAAGAAUCCAAUGGAUUAAUUUAAAUUUAUUUAAAAUCUAAUCACAAAAUCGAUUCAUUACAACUAGAUCCAAGCAAAACACAAAUACAAUUCAAAAACAAGAAGCUGAAGAAACUCAAAGGCAUGAGGACGGACGAAGCUAACAGUCCAAUCAGUGGUGGGUGUGGCUAUUCGAGACCUUGUCACUACCGUAACCAAGAGAAGUGAAGCUUGCCGAAAAAUUUUAAGUGAGAGCACUGAUCUAAUUUUUGGGAGUGUUUGGUUUGGCUUUCGUUUGGGGGAAUGAAGAAAAGGGUCACCAAAUUCAAGUGAAAGAGAACAAUGGAGGAAGGACAAUGAAGAGUGGAGCUAGGCUCAAUUAAUGAGUGAUGAUGCCCUUGCUUUCAUUUUCUUUUUUGGUUUGUUUUCAUUUCAUAAUUUCAAAACUAACCUUAUACCUUGAAAUGUUAAAACAGAUUUUUUUUUUUAAUUUUAAUGAUAUAUAAGUUUUUUAUUAAAAUCUAUUAUACUAUUUGGUUACAACCUAUUUAAUAAAUGAAUUAUAAACGAAUAAAUGAAUUGUUGGCGUCAAAUUCAUAUUCAAUUCGUUCAUUUAACAAAUCAAAUUGAAUUCACUCAUUAAUCAAAUGAAUCAAUUUUUUUAACUCAGACCAAUUUAAUUCAACUCGAAUUAAAUCAAAUUAACAAAUCCUGACCCGGCUUGUCACCCCUAAUAAUAUGCAAAGGUAAUAAUUGAGUAUUAUGUAAAUAGUCGAGGUUAAAUGGUAAAAGAUGAAAACUAUAGGGGGUAUGUGUCAAUAUCGUUUUUUAUUAAUUUAACAACCGAUGGUUGAAUGAUUCAACCUUCUUCAUCCAAAUGGAAUUUUUCUUAUGUAUAAUGUUCAUUUAUGCUGAGACAAAUAGGUUAUCUCUUUCCACGUUGUUUUUUUCACCCAUUUUGGGCCCGAUAUAGCUGAGUAAUUGUGAUGAUGUGAACGGUCUUACACUUGAAUGAAGUCACAAUGUGAGUCAUACACUUGUAAUUUUUUGAACAUUUGUAGUUAGCUAGCCUUUGAUUGUGCUGUUAUUAAAUUUCCAAUUUUCGUCUUUUAAACGAUGACUUUUAGAAUGGUACCACAAUAAACGUUCUGGUUAGCCUUUGUUUGAUCAGCUGUUGCUAAAUGCCUUGUUUUUAUCUUUUAAUUUAAUAACUUUUAAAAUGGUACUUUAGAUGUUAUGAUACCAUUUCGAAACAACAUCGUUGUUAGUCUUUGGUUGAGUUGUUAAAUAUCUUGUCUUUGUCUUUAAGACGAUAACUUUUAAGAUGGAAUUUUGAAUGAUAACUUAAAGCUUGGACGUUAUUUUGUCUAUUUUGGCCGGCCAUUACCCAUUAAAACAACACUUUAAAUGAUUAAAUUUAUUAUUUUACUUUUAAAACUCACAACACUCUCUAAACAUGGUUUACUAAAUAACCUAAUAAUUUUUUUUUUUGUUUAGCUGAUUAUUUUUGUAAACACGACAUAAGCAGAAUAUUUUGUGAGCACCAACAAUCUCCAAUAAAUAAACUUUUAGAGUGGCUUGCCUACAACGUUUCUUUCUACAUGUUUUUCUACACCCAUUUUGUGCCCGAUCUAGCUGAAGUACUUCUGAUGAUGUGAAGGAUCCUGCACUUGAAGGAAGUCAAUCGGCCAAUUUUGCAGAAACCCUAAUUUUGAUUCUUCUACUUGGUUUCUAACAUUAUCGAUCAUGUAAGUAACUGAUCUAGGUAUUGGUACAUAAUAUUCGUCGAUUAAUUUUGCCCUUGUAAUUCCUUGAACAUUUUUUUCUUCCUGGACAAAUCAAAAGCACAGACUGCAUGAUAAACAUUUUGGUUAGUCUUUGUUUUAGCAGUUGGUUAAUGUCUUGUUUCUGUCUCCAAAAUGGCUUUUAGAAUGGUACUUAAGAUGUUUCUAACUUUACAGUGGAUGUAUUUGGGCAAAGCUACGAAUUGAUCUUAAAGGACACACGCACACAUACAUCUUUAUUUUUGAACAUCCAAAAAGGUUCAAAUGAGUGGAAAGCAAGUGUGAUGAUCAAGAAGAAAUUAUUAUUACUUUUGAUGUUUUGUUAGUCUUCAAAACAGAUGAUAGGAUGAUUCAAUCUUUCUAAAGAAAAUGCAAAUGAUGAAACAUAUGUAUAUUUUUCAUUUUGGAUUCUUCUUAAUUACCCAUUGUUGAUCAUGUAAGUAAAUGUUGUUGUUUCCAACAUUGAUCAUGGAAUUUUGCCAACUUGACACUUUUUAAACAGUUUUUCUUUGCCUGGAUCACUUGAAGAAGGGUUAAAUGCUCUUUAUAUCUCUGCAAUUGAUACCGCUCCUUUUCGUUUUCUUAGAUACGCUUAGAUUUACAUUGGAAAUCCUUUUACCCCACUCGAUAGGAAGUUUUAUAAUUCAGCGAAAUUUCAUUGUGAUUUAUUUUAAAACCUUGUUUUGUUAAAGUUAAUUUGCAAGGGAGUCGUAAUUUUUUUUUGAGUUUUUAAAUAUUGUUAAUUAUACUCAUCUUGAAAAAAUUAAAAUUUUUAAUACGAAUGUAAAAUGUCCAACUUUUUAUUUUUUUAAAUUAAAUUUUCGUAAAUUUGUAUAUUUAUCAAAAAUAAAUUCUAACAAAUAAAAAAGUAAUUUAAAUUAAUUUUCUACUUAAUAACAGUUAUAUUCCUAGCAAAAAAUUAUUUUCUAUUAGGGAUCAAAUAUUUUCCUUUACGGAAAAUGAGUUUUACAUGAUUAAUAAUUAGAGUGAUAUAUAAAAACUAAUUCGUGAGCACAACAAACAUUUUCCAGUAUUUAAACAAUGAUUUUUUAAAAUAAUAGUGAAAAAUCAUUCAUUCAUUUGAAUUAAGUCUAAAUUAGAGGCAAUGAUGUUGACGUAUUUUACAAAGAUGCCAAGAGUAUUUGUCUGUUGAGCUACUACAAUGUUGUCAUAAAAUUUACGCAUUGCAAAAAAAUUCUAAUUACUCAUAACGUGUCUUGAUCAGGUCUCGGAACCCGCAAUUAGAGCAAGGCACAGCAGCACAAGCUCUCGGAGAAGAUAGUGAACCACCACGUAAAUGGCCAUUGUUCUUCUUGGUUGGCCAAAUUUUAUACUGGUUACUCUAUGUGACAUACAAAAUUUUAUACUUGUUGCUUUAUUUGACUGCCAUAAGUUUAUUCGGGUGUUUUGCUGGGAUGUUUGAAAGCAUAGGGUUGAUUGUGGCGGUAGUGAUAUUGGAUAUUUUCAGGCCGAUGAUAAAGUUGGCUAUCAAAAAAAAGAUUUUUCUUCUACUGUCUGUUAUUGCAAUUAUAUUGGAUCCUUUGUUCUUCUACAUUCCGGUCAUAAAUGAUGAAAAGAAGUGCAUUGAAAUGGACAAGAUUUUGGGAACUACAGCCAUUUCUCUUCGUUCGGUAAUCGAUUUAUUUAAGAUAAUUCAUUUUAUCUUUGAGCUGCUCACUAAAUUACCCGUAAAAGGAAGGAUGCGUGUGUGGUUGGUCUUUCUCAUUGACAUUUUGGCCAUUCUUCCCCUCCCUCAGGUAUGACAAACUAAAUAUCCGGAUACUUAAGCUAGCACAUUUGUUAUUUUAUGAACUAUGACAGCAAAUAUAUAAUGCUGUGCAAAUGAUAUUCGGUGCUAUGUCCAUUCAGGAGGAGAGAGUCUUUCAUGAUCCUAGAGCAUUUCUAAUUAUAUAUUCACCUACUUCCUAACACAUGUGUAUAAAUAUUAUUACAAUUGUUUGAAGCAUACACGUGCCAAAGAAUGAAUGAAAAAGAAGCAGUUCUACUAGAGCACCCAAGACUUUUCCCCAUUAUUUAUAGCCACUUUCAAGGUUUAAAUUCUUUUUUAGUUCCGAAUGGUUUGGCCAAUUACCUAUUUAGUCCCCUUUUUUGGGGAAAUUAAUUAAAAUUAUCUAUUGUUACUCUUAUAGCUAUUAGAUCUAAUCUUUUAAGAGUAAAUUAAUAUUUUUAUCUGAUGUAAUUAAAAUUUAAACAAAUAUGACAUGUCAUAGGUGAAAAGUAAAGAAUAAUUGAGUAGAAUUUAAUUGAUACAUACAUACAAUAAGUACAUUUUGGAUAAUUUUCUAAAAUACCAGGAUAAACUUUAGAGGCUAUAGUAGAAUUUACCUCAGUUUCAAGCUAUACAUUGUACAAAGGGUUCAUAGUCCGGAUUUUGAAAACGUGCAGUCAUAUACAGAGGGGAAUUCUCAUACUAUGCAUUGUAUGAGGUAUUUAAUUAUCUACAUAUAAUACUGACUACCACUCAAUUGUCCAGGUGCUUUUGAACUUACAAAAAGUAAGAGGCACGGAAUUUCUAUACGCAAUGAGCUUCUCCCUUGUACAAUAUUUGUUGAGGGUUAUUCGAACCUACUACUUGUUUACAGAAGCAACAGGUGUUACAGGAAUACUUGCCGAAGCUACAUGGGCCAUUGUUGGGUUCAACAUUCUUCUUUAUAUGCAAGGCGGUCACGUAAGUUAUAAAAGACCAUUCAUUCAAUUUAAUUCCUAAGAUAUGCACGAGCCGAAUGAAUAUAUCUUUAUGCAUACUUUAUAUUGUUGGCACUGGGACAUACAGUUAUUUCUGAAUCAUGCACCCUUUUCAGGUAUUUGGAGCCUUAUGGUACUUCUAUGCCAUCGGAAAAUUGACAGGAUGCUGGAAGAAAGCGUGCCAAAAUAAUACUGGAUGUCAUCAUAGUUCGUUUUAUUGUGAAGACAUGAUCAGUACAAGAGAUUACACGUUUCUAAAUGAUUUUUGCAGUAUAAAGUCAGGAAAUACAUCAGAUUACAAUUUUGGAUUAUAUAAUGAUGCUCUUGAGUCUGGUAUUGUGGAGGUGACGAAUUUUCCAAAGAAAUUGUUACAUUGUUUACAAUGGGGCUUGCAAAAUCUCAGGUUUGAGCAUAAUCCAAACUUUCUCUUUGUGAUGUUAUGGUUGAAAAGAAAAAAGAAUGAAACAAUAUUGGUUGAAAAAAAUAAAAUACUUUGGUCACUCUUAGACACUAUUUUACCACUUAGGUCCCUGGUAAAAUUUUAAUAUCUUAUUUCAUACUAGAAUUGGAAUAAAAGUAUAGAAAAAAACACAUUGUUGAAAGUUAAACGUCACAUUUUAACAAAUAGAUUAAAUAACUUUAAUUUGCAUUGAUCUAAAAUAAUCAUGUUUAUUCUGGUAUUGUUUUCAAGGAGCAAAGUAUUACAUAUUCCCCUUUCGAGAAAACUGCCGAUUCUUUUGCAUAGGAGAGUGACUUUAUUCUUUUGUGUAUAUCAUUUCAAAUAAAGCGUAUAGAUUGAACCCUUUGCAGUGCUUUUGGUCAGAACCUCCAAACAAGCACCGAUAUCUGGGAAAACGUUUUUGCAAUUUGCAUGACCAACUUUGGUGUGGUACUGUUUGUCUUUUUAAUUGGGAAGAUGCAGGUUCGUAUACAUUUUCUAUUUCUUAUAUCUGAAUUAACCUCAAUUCCAAGUGUUAUAAUUAAUAUUGAAGUACAUUUGAAAUUAAUGGAUUGUAACUGCAGUCGGACACAGCAAGAUCACAUAAGAUAAAAAAGAAGUGGAAGGAGAUAAAGCAGUGGCCGAAUUUUGGGGAAAUUUCUUCUGAUCUAAAAGAGCAGGUGAGGACAUACAAGCGAGAGAAAUGGGAAGAAACCAAGCGUGUUGAUGUUGAUAAUUUGGUGAAUGAUCUUCCCCACGAACUUGGCAUCAAAAUAAAGCGCAAACUUUGCAUUAAACUAAUCAAGAAUGUGAGUUCCUAUUACUUCUUUAUCCAGUAAUAAGUCACUUGUGGUUUCUUUAUCUAUUGAAAAAAAAAAAGGAAAAGAAAAAAUGCUAGGCAACAGUUACGAGUUCAUUGCCACAAAAUUGCCACUCCUUGUUUAUUACAAGAAAUUGAAACAACAUUUGUUAUAUUCCGUUACCCUUACUAAUCGUUUGGAUGCAUCUAAUGUAAUUCUCAUUUUUUGGUCCGUACCUAUCUAUGUACACAGGUAAAAGAGUUCGAAAAUUGGAAUAAAAAAUCAUUGGAGUUUCUGUGUGAAUUUCUGAAGCCAGUCUUCUUUAUUGAGCGUACACGCAUUAUUCGGGAGGGAGACCCAAUUGAAGAGAUGCUAUUUGUGCUGAAAGGCAAUCUCUGGACUUACACUUCCGGGAAUGUAGCAACAACUAGCAGCAAUAGUAGUCGUUAUGGAAAGAAUCGUUUGAAAGGUGGUGACUUUUUUGGAGAAGAACUUAUUGGUUGGGCUGAGAGUGAGCACUCUUCCAAUUUGCCUAGCUCAACCAGAACUAUUCAAGCGCUUAGUGAGGUUGAAGCCUUUGUUCUUAUGGCAGAUGACUUGAAACAUGUAUUCUUACUUAGACAUUGUGACCGGGCAGCUCUUUUGUUACAAUCACGCUGGCGUUUCAGAAAGCUUUUGCGUGAUAGGAGGGCUAAGCAAAAAUCAAUCUUGAGAAGAGUGCGGAAUUGGGCAGCAGUACUACAGACUAUAGAAUAACAAUUUGAGACUGGAUUUGAAAUUAUUAUUUGUAUGAAUACUACCAAAAUGAAAAUAGGUGGUAAAAUCUGAAAAAUUAAGGGGAAAAUUGUCGAUCUCCCUUGUUCGAUUAUGCAGUCAACAAGAUCAGAAACAGUAAUCGCCAAGUUCGAUUUGGAAAUCUUAUCCAACCAAUGGUACCUUUUUCUUUUUUCUUUUUUUCCCUGAAUCAAGGACUUCACGCUUCGUUGAUGGGGAUACCAUUCCUAAAAUUAAAAGAUAUUGACCAUUACUAUCUCAAACAACAAUUAAUUAUACAUUGCCAGCACGCAAAAAUGAGCGACAAACUUCUUCAUUAACUAAUCUAUUUGAACAACUGCAUUUCUAAGCAUAUAUAUGAUCAUUUCAGAUGAAAAUAGUUUAAAGUGGCGAUAGAAGAACCGGUAGAUCACAGUUGAGAGAGUGAAGCAGAUCAUCAGGGGGCAAUCUUAAGUGUGUCACGCGGGUAGAGUGAUGUUUUGCGAAUGUUGUUGAGAUCGCAGAAAAGCAUCACCACACUCUUCAAUCCCACUUCACAUCCACUAUGUCUCGAAAGGAAUCCAAUGAUAACAUAAAGCUAACAGUUUUUAGAGGACCACACUGUUUUUCUAUUUGCGUACAAAUGGACAGUGGUUUCAGAAUAACCUUAGCAUUGUCAAGUUUAACCAGAGAGCAUGGAAACCAAAGCCAGAUCAAAAGAGGAGGAAGAGAUGCUCAAAAAUCCGGUCAAAUGAACAAUCACAUGAUAUUUUCAUCCAACAAGUAUGAAUGUUUGCAAUGAAAAGAAAAAUGAAAACCCGACAGAAAAUUCUUCAACACAAGGAUUUUGAAUGUGGUUAUCAUUAUAAUUAAGCAGUCAACCUAAUACAACCUUCAACCAGAGGUGAAUUCAUUUAUGCCAGUCACAUGACCACUCCUAUCAACACCACUGCAAAAAAAGCGCAUCCUCUUUAUUAAUAAAUGAAGUUUUGUUCCUGCUUUACUUCACCAUUCAUUUUCAUCUCAUAAAAGAGCAAUUUAUUGGAAUACAACAUACCUCGAUUAAACUGAAAGAGGAUUAAGAUAAUUUAAAAAAUGAAAACUGCGAGACAAUACGAGUAGUAUCAUGAUAAACUUAACUCCAGAUGGACAGCCAUUUUUUAAUCGUAAUUAAUGAAACAAAUGUAGAUCGAGAUUUCCCCAGAACAACACCACAAAUACAAGUAUAUGUGCAUCCAAAAUGAAGAAGAAAUGUUUCAGCUUCAUACAUUACCUCGAAUAAAGACAUCAAAUUAGUUUCUGUAAAGAGCAUUGUCAGGAGGGGGCGCCUAACAGCCCAAGGAUAACGAUGGAGUAUAUAAAAUUCGGCGCCAUACCUACAAUAGGAAGCAACAAUCAGGCACGCAUUGAUGAUAUACAUAGAUAUUUAAGCUUAAAAAUGAGAAAACACUUAUCAUGAGCUAAGAGCAAUGAGGCUCUUAAUUGUUUCAAAAUUUGAAACUAAUAAUAGAUGUAUGUUAUACAGACAAAUUCAGACUUCAAUACUUGUAAGAAAAAUCAAGUCAGUAAAUAUGGAACCUACUUAUCUCCGUUCCAUAGGUUUGGUUGUCUUUUUUUUUUUUUAAUUAAUGUUCAGAAUCGAUUAAAAAGUUUUUUAAUUCGAGUUCUUGCUAAUUUCAUUUUUUGAUUCCAUUUUGAAAUUCAAUUUUCUUAUUUAAUUUUAUUCCGAUCCUAUCUACCCAUUCGAAUUUUGGUUGCUUAAUUGUUCAGGAUGUUGGAGUUGAGAAUGAUCCUCUUGAAGACUUGAAUACUGAGGCAGAGAGGAAGUUGAUCCAACUAUUUUCCUACGAUUCUUGGGAACAGUAGAUACUACUUUUAAAGUAUUCAACCUACUAAAUGAUUCCUCCACACUACUGUUACCCUUAAAAAUCAUCUAAUUAGUUAUUCAUACACUAAUCUAAAUAAUGGCGUGAUAAAUCAGAAACCUUUCUUCAUGAAACAUGAACUGAGGGGAUGAAAGAAAUUAAGUUACCUUGAGCAUUUGAAUCCCUUUUCCGAAUGUAAGACAAAGAGUCUUUGCCUUGUACUGCAACAUUUAGAAAAUGCCACAAUCAGGUUCAAGAAUAGAGAAAAGCUGAGGUGAUAUAUAAUUUUCCAUAUUCCAAAUAUAUCUAAACUAUACAAGCACUUCAAAAAUUAUUAUGAUAACAGAAUUUUAAGAACAAUUCAAAAUAAAUAAUGACCUUCAGAGGUUCAAACGGACACUGAUUCGCCACAUAUUCAACUUCCUUUUUGCACCUCUCAUUCAAAUCAUCAAAAAUUGUGACAAAUAAGCGGCCCACAAUAUCCAUCACCUGUGUUCAGGUGCUUACCUUAAUAGAACCAAAUAAAUAGUAACACGCGUCUCGGCGCAUACCUUUCAUAUAAUCACAUUUGUAUAUGUACGAUGAUAUCACCGCCACCUAAAUUUCUCAUUUAUUAUAUUUGAUUAUUUUCUUUUUAUUUCAUUGAUUUUCUCGUAUAAAAGUAGAUUUACUACGAUUUACCAUUGUGUUGUUGUGCAAUGGUCACCCUUUUUGUUCGGGCUGCCUAUUGAUUUAUUGCUUUUAGAAGAACUCUCAGAAUAGCUUUACAUUAUACUUUUCUAAUUUGCAAUGAAUGCGUCCAGGAGUAUAAAGCCAUGAACUGAUUUUUGAACAACUUAUAUCUUACUUGCUAAUGUCGAUGGAAUUCAUAAAUUCAUAAUACAUCCAAUAAAGGGGGAGAAAAAUAGGAAAGAAAGAAAUACUCCCUGUGUAUCAUCUAGACUAGUUUUAAAACUUCUUGAAUUGGACAAGAAUAAGUUGGCUGACAAGCUUUCCUAACUUCUCACAACUUUUAUUAUUGUUACCUUAUAUUUUCAUAGUCGUUAGAUUUUUAUACUUUGAAUUGGUACCAAUCUCUUUUUUAUCAAAUUUAAACAGAGAUAAUUGAUUGAAUGAUUCAGUCUCCUUCGUCGAAACAACGUUCUUAUUUGCUCAAACAGAUGGAAUCCAGAAAACUCAUCCAUUUGAUUCUCUUCAAUUGAAAACUCAUCACUUCCUGCAUGUAAGAGCAAUUUGAGUGCCAUAAAGCCUGUAGUGAAUCUACCUAUUUAGGGAAUAAUUUAAUUAGAAAAGUUAACAUGAAGCUCAUACGCCCUAAUUACAAAGCUACUCUUAAAAUAACAUGAAUCAAGAAACAGAGCAAAACAGAGUAGCUACUAAGAAGAACACCCAAAUUAACUCCUAAAAUUGACCAAACAUAACAAGCAUCAAAUCAAAGCAUUAAAGCACUAAUCAGAGACUUUACACUAAAUUGUUUGUUUUAAAAUAAUGGGAUUUCAAGAUUAUACUUAAAACUCAAGUAAAAUCAUCUGCAUGGUUGAAGGAUCAGAAGCUCAUGGAUGGAAUAAUAGAGAAAUUAAAGUAAACAAUGUAACUAACCGGUUCCUUGAAGAAGUUGGUUAUCGACGGAGGCCCAGUGACUUUGUCGGAGUGGUGGCAUCGCUGGCUUAGGCGUGAGUGAAGAGUGAAUAUUGGGAGAUCUCUGGCUUCGGUUCUUUGACCUUACGUUAUUUUAUUUAUUCAUUAUUUUUUUUUUCUAGUGUAUGCAGAUGCUCCGCUCACUUUAAACUCUAGUGGAUGCAGUGUGGCAACUGAAGUGAUCAGUUGCUGCCCAAGAUCACAAACCAAAUCUGCCAAGAUGCUUCCAAGAUCAAACUGAUUUGAAGCUUAAUUGAUAUGAAAUGCAAACGAUGAUGAUGAUGAAGAACAUAAAUCAAUUUAGAGAUGAAUAGAAUCAACGAAUCAAAAGAAAAACGGAGGAUAAAUCGAUUUGCGUGGUUCAGCUAAUUUUUGGUGUUUUUAAAUAAUUACCUCAGCGGGUGGAAAUUUCUGUUCAGCUUUUAUUGAUUGUUCAAGAUGUAUUACAGGGUUUUUACAAAGUACAAAGCAACGAACAAGAGUGCUUCAAUUCUCUCAGCAAUCUCUCCCUAUAAAGCUCACACAAUCCCCCCUUUUUGUUGCACCAGAGCGAGCGGUUUAACGGCUUUGUAACCAACCCAGAUGAAACCCAGAAAACCACGUGACAUGCAUGUGCGUUAACAAACUAUAACGAACAUAAGCAGCUUUCUUUAAGCACGUGAAGCGUCCGCGCUUCAUUAAACCCAAAACGGUGUUUCCCGAAGUCGUUUCACCAUGCAAUACCACCCAGUACGCAUCAAACGGCCGCAACUCAUGUCGUUUAGCUUAAGUGUCUUAAGCCCAAAAGGCGACACUCGAUGUCGUUUUGCUUAUUUCUGAUUUGCUUCACCUGUCACACAACAUGCAGUGUAGAUGCUGUUUUAACUUUUGAAUUUUAUAUGAUUUUAUUUUGUCUUCUUAAAAGAUAUCUUUUAGAACUGAAGGGCACUUUCGAUGUUUCUUAUUUAUUUUACAGUGACCUCUUCUGGCUCUUUCUGCUGAGGGAGGGUACAAACAAUGAAUCAUCAUCAGAUUAAUCAAAAUAUAACCCCACUCAUAACAUAAAAAUUAGAAAACGUCUCUUCAGAUGAUUUGAGUCACACACAUCAACAAUCAGAAAUCGUUAACUAAGUAUACAAUUUCUUUUUGGACUCGUAUUUUCCCCAUUGUUGAUCACGUAAGUUACUGCUGUAUAUGUUGUUUUGAUGAGUAAUUAAUGAUCAUGGAAUUUACUUAAUUUGCCAACUUAAAUCAAUCAUUAGUCUUAAACUUUUCCGUAACAAAACCCUGAAUUUAUAUUUUGAUUAGGAAUCAGGAUUUGCAAUUAGAGGAAGGUGCAGCAGGCCAAGUUCCUGGAGAACGAAUUAGCAGUGUUUAUGGAACUUUCUCUCUAAUAUUGGCUACAUUUUACUAUUUUUAGCACCAAUAAGAAUGAUAGGGACGAUUAUCGGGACAAUUAUAAAGAUUUUUCUUGUAUCGUGUGUGAUUGCAAUCAUAUUGGAUCCUUUGUUCUUCUACAUUCCGAUAAUGGAUGAUGAAAAUAAGUGCAUUGAAAUGGACAAAUUUUUAGGAAACAAUGCAGCUUUUUUUCGUUGUGUGUUUGAUUUGCUCAAGAUACUUAAUUCAUUUUACCUUUGAGUUGCGUAAUUAUCAAUUUCGUUUUAAAGAAAGGAAAAGUUUGUGGCGCUGGCUGCUCUUCUACAUUGACAUUUUGGCCGCUGAUCUUCCCCUCCCUCAGGUAAGUCACAUCACGUAUUAUUAAUUUUAUCUUAAACCUUAUAGUUUAUCGAACUGAAUGUGGUUAUUUAAUUACUUUGAUUUUCUCACAUUUGAUUGGUGAUCUCUCAAAGAAUGAGAGGCACAGAGUUUUUGUAUGCAAUGAUAUUCUCACUUCUGUAAUAUUUGCUAAGGGUUAUUCGAGCAUACAGAGUGUUUUCGGAAGCAACAUUGGGCUCAGAAAUACUCGCUGAAGCUACAUGGGCCAUUAUUGGCUUCAAUAUUCUUCUGUACAAGAAAGGAGGUCAUGUAAGUUGAUAAAGCACCAUUCAUGUAAGUCUAUUUAUAUUGACUUAUAUGCACAAGCCUAUAAUACAAACAGCAUCAUUGUAAUACAAAUUUGUUUAGAAAUUCAUGGCCUAUAAUACACCAUUUAUGUCCUAGACUUACUUGUCAACCUUGCAAAAUUUUUGUGCUUGGCAACUGGUUUUGUUGAUGCCGAAAUCCGGAUGAGUUGGUUAGUGACUCGAUCUCAGAUUCCUACAUCAACAUUAAAUUUAUUUGGUGGGAAGCUACUGGUUGAUCUCCAAGAAAAUCCUCCGACUAUGAGCAGAACAUUCAUGAGCUGUUGAUUAGUGAGCACCGAGAGCAGAUAAUUGAUGAGCAGACGACCAAUGAGCAGAUGAUCCAUGAGUAGAUAAUCCGCGAGCCUGCGAGCACAAAGAACAGUCAGGGGGCGCCGGAAGUUUUUCCGACAUAAACCCUCCGACACUCAAGUCAGCGAUUUGGGUCUACUUGGAAAAACUCAUACCACAAUUCACAUGGUUUAACUAUGAUUGUUUUAAACAAAAAGCUUUUAAGUAAAUUUAAAUGAAAAUAAUUGAAAAUAAUCAAUUUUAAAGAAAUCAUAAGCGAAAGAGAAAUUUCCCAGUGGUAGAGAGAGAAAAAGAUUCAAUGGAUUCAGUCACCCAAAGGGACAGAGGAAAAAGAAUCCCCCAUUUCCCCUAUUUUCCCAUGGUUUUUAUAGGAAAUUAUAGCGGUUUUUAUCCUCUUAUUUAGAAUUCUCAAGAAAAUUACUAAUUUUGAGCCCAUUAGAAUAUGGUUCCUAAUAUUUCGGAGAAAAUAAGUGAGAUUUGUUUUAACUGAGUCGUGUUUUCUAAUAACAUCCUGGUCGAGUGUUUUCUAAUAACAUCCUGGUCGAGGUGAUGUGGUCGAGAUGACCAAAUAACAUCCUGAUCGAAGUGUUGCUCAUUUUUUACUUAGAGGGGAGCACAAUAAUGUAUGAACAAACACCUUAUCUUGGUCACCUUAUUCUAUUCCCCAAACAGGUUUGUCGGUCCUCCAGGUAUUUGGAGCCUUAUGAUACCUUUUUGCCAUGGAAAAAGUUCGAGGAUGUCGGAAGGAAGCCCGCAUAAUUAAUCGAGCUGGAUGCAAACACAGUUCGUUUUACUGUGAAGACAGAGUUUAGGAGACGACAGAAAAUUCUAAAUGACUUGUGCGGCAUAAAUAAUUUUGGAUAAUUUAAUGAUGCUCUUGAGUCUGGCAUUGUGGAGGUGACUGAUUUUUCAAAGAAAUUGUUACAUUGUUUACAAUGGGGCCUGCAAAAUCUCAGGUUAAUUUGCUCAUACAAUAAUAUAUUUUCCUUGUGUGUGUUGCAUAAUAUGAUUAAUUCUUGCGUUGCAGGUUCUUCAUUUUGGAAAAUUGAGUUAAAGAAGUAAUGCUAACAGUACAUUAUAUCUCUUUCAGAUAUUUAAUAACACUUAGGGGCAAAAAUUUUAACUGAUAGUUGUGUUAACGGCACAAUCAAUUUGUUUGAAUGUCAAAGGUAGUCAAGGACUUGAGUGAUAGAAGUUUUUUCUACAGAGGAUGUAAGUGAGGAAUUUAUGAAACUUUUUGAUAAAAAGAAUUAUCUAGGAUAAGCAAUUGAGCAGAAUUCUUUUACAGUGCAUUUUUGCAAUUCACAUAACCAACGUAGGGGUGGUGCUGUUUGUGUUUUUAAUCGGCAAUAUGCAGUUUGACACAGCAAGAUCACAGAAGAUAAGACAGAAGUGGAAGGAGAUGAAGCAAUGGCCAAAUUUUGAGUAUAUUUCUUCUGAUGUGCGGGGGGCAGUUAAGGAAAUACAAGCUAUACAAAUGGCAAGAAACCAAACGUGUUCGUGUUGAUAAUUUGGUGAAUGAUCUUCCUGACGAACUUGGCAACAAAAUAAAAUGUCUGCAUUAAACUGCUCAAGAAUGUGACGUUGAACUAUUCAAUCACUCAGCGACAUUGAAGCCUUUUUACUCUUAUGGCUGAUGACUUUAAACAUGUAUUAUCUACCAUUCACAAAUUUCGAUCGGGCCGCUCUUUUGUUACAAUCAUACCGGCGUUUUGGGAAGCUUUUACGUUGAUAGAAGGAAGGCUAAACAAAAAUCAUGCCUGAAUUGUUGGACUUGGGCAACCAAAGGAAAUAAACAAAGUGGUACAUGUAACAACGCACAAUACAAGAAAAUUUAACAGUGCUUGUGACUAAAUCAUUGAUGACAAACUGUUUAUUCUUUAUAUUUACAUGUGAAACCGCAGAAAAGGGCCAAAAUUGUAGUUUGAAAUUUUACAUUUGAUUUUGUCGUCAAUUGAUGAGCUCAUAGCAACAUUAAUUUAUUGAAUGAUAAAACAAUAAUUUUAUAUUCAGUAAAUAUAUGAAAUAUGACUUAAAUUGAAAUUUUGAGAUCUUAAUACAUUGGAGCUACAUUGAGUUGGGAGACAAACUUUGACUCUGAAUGAGAUAGCACUUAAUGUGUCAUUUAUUUAUUAAAUUUGUUAAUGGUAUGAUAUUAUCUCAUUACGCAGAAAUAUUAAAUUGCAAUGAGUCUAGUCAAUUGGGAAAACAAUUUUUGCGCGAGUAUCUCAAUUUCCAAUAUAAAAAUUACAAGACAAAAUAAAAAAGGAGAAUGAUACUUUAUACCUGUUUAGAAGCCAUUGGUUAUUUGGUCAUAUUCAAAACCUGUUUUAACCACGUAAGUCCAUGAUAAAAGUUACAAGAGAAAAAGAAGAAUGAUACUUUAUAGUUUAUACCUGUUUAGAAGCCAUUGGAUAUUUUGAUCAUAUUUGAUAAAAGUUACGGGACAAAAUUAAAAAGAAGAAUGAUACUUUAUACUUGUUUAGAAGCCAUUGGAUAUUUUUAUCAUAUUUGAUAAAAGUUACGAGACAAAAUUAAAAAGAAGAAUGAUACUUUAUACCUGUUUAGAAGCCAUCGGAUAUAUUGGUCAUAUUCAAAACCUGUUUUAAUCACGUAAGUCCAUGAUAAAAGUUUAAAAUACCAUUUGUGGAAAGGAUAAGUAUGAUAUUUUUUAAUAAAUAAAUAAAUUUAUUUAGUAAAUAGAUUAGGUGAAUAAUUUAGCGAGUUCAAAUAAUUUCGAUUAAUUUAUACGUGAAGAGUGAAGCUAUUGGCAUCCUUCAUUAUUCUUAUAAAUCUCCACUUUAAAUAAAAUUACAUUGAAGGACAAAUAAGAAUUAAACACAUUUAAGAAUUUUCAUAAUAAAUUACUUUCAUAAUCAAUUCUUUUUUUUUUUUUGCAUUCAUAAUCAAUUCUUUUUUGCUUUUUCUUUUCUACUUGCCACUUCUCUCUAAUUAAAAUAAAUUACAAAAAUUUAUAAUAAUUUAUUUUUCUUUUCUUAUUUCUUAAUAAUUGAGAAUUUUUAUACCUAUUACUUUCAAAUUAUAAUUUAAAAUGUGUCAUAUCUAUAACAUAAUAAUGUUUUGAGUUUUAAUAAUAUACAAAUUCAAUUAAAAAAUAAAAUAAUGUAUUUAAAAGGGAAAAAAGGACGUUUUUGAAAUUAAAUACAAAUAUUCCAAUUGUUACUGUGAAAAUGUGAUAUUUUCAGCACUAGAGCUACCACUUUAUUGCAUAUCCGACCCGAAAGGAACUGAUGUGGUCCAACCGUGUUCGGAUCGGAUUGGUUGCCGUCAUAAUCUGAUCACAUUUAGGUAGCUUUUCAGUUUUGUCCAGGAGAAAGGCUGUCAAUUAUGUCUCCAUAAGAAAGACGUCACAUAGAUGAUGUAAUCAGAUUUUAUCAUGCGUUUGUUCCCCUUCAAACGUCACAUAGAUGAUGUAAUCAAAUUUUAUCAUGCGUUUGUUCCUCUUCAAUCGAGUACUCGUCACAUCCUGAGUGUUUGUGAAUCUACGUUAAGGGUAUGUUUAUGUUGGAACCGCUUUACGGUGGAGUAUUUUUUUGUAACCACAUAAUUAAAAAAUAUAGAUUAACCUCAGAUUUAAAAUAAAUGAAGUCUUUGUUUUUAUUUGUAAAACUUUUAUAACACAUUAAUAUGUAACUGGAACAUCCCAGUCCAAAAUUUAAGGACAAAUAUGUCCACAACUCAUAUAUGAUUUAAAUAACUCUUUUCUAAAAUUAUCUCAUAAAUAACCUUUAUUUAUAGUUUAGUAUCCAUUUUCUUAAUAAGGGUUAUAGGCACCUAUAAUUCCCAAUGAAAACCCAAUUUCCUUAAUUUAAUAUUAUGAAAAUUUGUGGCGUUACAGUAACGCUUCAAAUUUCACAGCAGAUUAGAUACAAUUUUUUUAUCCUUAUACUAGACAUGUGCAGAGUAGUAAGAAACAAGUUAAAAAAUAAUAAAAACACACACUUUGAUGUUGUUAUCUUUAUCUUAAAGUAUUAAAAUCUAUAUUUCUUUUAAUCUUUUAACUUGUCUUUUACGAUAUUAAAAUAAGAAAAUCCUUUGAAAAUAAGAAAAUCCUUACUAAAAGUAAAAGGGGACUUGUCAUGUGCACAGUGUACAAUAUGUUUCAAAUGUUACUUGAUAGAAAUUACUGAAAGCAUUGUAUCAUUGGAAAACUCUUGCUGCAUGCUCUACUAAUUUGACAGUUUAUCAAAUAUUUUUUUGCUGCUCGCUACUUAUGAAUCACGUUUAGUCCCCUUUGAAUUGUGUCCAUCCACCAUCUGUUAAAUUUAUCUUUGAAUUUUCUCCCUUCCAAAAGGGACACAAAUAAGAAACAGACAAGGACGUUCAAAUCCCCGAGUUGUAAAAUUUACAAGAUGCAUCGGGUAGAAAAAUCUUGUAGAAACCUCAGCUGAUGAACUCUGUAAAGAAUAUCCUCAUUCAUUCAGCUAACCCGUUGAACCAAAAUGCAAAAUCAUCCUCAAUAAGUACAAGAAACAAAAACUUUACAAGAAUAACUUAUGAAACUUGAUAAAUUUCUGCGGAGACUACAACGUCAUUUCAAUUUGUGAGGUAAUUAUUUGAUGCCAUGAUGCUGACUGAAUCUCAUUAAAUUAAUGAAAAUAAUACAACAAAUGAUACGAUAACUCCAAAUUAGCUAUCACAUUAUGUAUUUGAUUCAAAUAAGAGAACAAAAUUUGCAUUAUUGAUAGAUAUUAUAUUGUUUCUUGAAACUGUCUCUUGACAAAUCGCCCAUUAAUGUAGUCAUUGCUGACAAAACAACUUUGUGAAAAAGUUCAACUAGAUAGCAAGCUGAUAGAGAAAUCUGACAAUGCAAUGCAUGUCAUCCUCACACUUCAAUUUCAUCGAAAAUGGAUAAGCCAUUUUGUUCAACUUUCACCUCCGGAAGUUGAAAAGGACAUGAUUGCAAUUAUGCAAGUCCUUAUCAAAGAUGCAAUGAAUGACGCCUAAACUCCUAUAGAGUAGAGUUAAGCUAUUAAUCACUGCACCGAUACGUCAAAAAUUAAGUAUAUGGAUCAAAGACGUCUUCAUUCAAGAAUCUCAAAUUUCAAAGCAGUGCUUGUCAUUUACAUACCAAGCAAAGGGACCAAAGAUGGUGGUGCUCUAAUAUUUUGUCUAGUCAGAUUUACAUUAUUCAUGUCUUUUUCUUUGGUGCAGAAGUUGACCGCGGCCUAUUUCAACAUCAUUCGUCAUCCUCUCAAUCUCCUCCUUUUUCACUGGCAGAACCAAAAAUAUCUUGCACCUCAGUGAAAUAUCAUUGGAGACAAAAAAGUUUCUCCAGCUUAUUCAACAACCAAAACCAGCCAAAUAUCAUCUCCAGCCACAAAGCAAUGAGCCAAGUAAUUAAAUUUCCUUCAUGCAGGCUGAGGAAAGCCAAUAAGCAAUCAAAGGAGAUGGAAGAAUAGCACUAUUAAUUCAAGACCAACAAAGUUUGCAGCAAAACUGAUAGUAUUUAUGAUCUUGCAAAAGUCAAUCUUGUCUGGUUAUCAACACUGCAAUUAUAGCUUUUGUGCACCUCAGUUAGCCUUAAAUUGUGAAAGUUUCAGCCAAACCAACAAUUUCUAACCUACAUCUCAUGGUUAUACAAGCUAACUAGCAUCUGCUUCACUGCAUUAUGCUUCAAAAACAAUCAUACUAAAUGUCACAAUUCUGGUAUAUAAAAGUUCAGCCGCCUACACCAUUCAAGUUGAGCAUUUGACUGCAUCUCUAUGGGUACUAUUAAGGGAUGGCAAUAAUCAGUUAUGAUACGAAUAAUUGACAUCCAUAAUCCGAUAUAUCCGUCCGCACCCAUGUCUAAUUUUAGAGGUUUGAUAUGGAUAUGGAUUUUUGUUUAUAUGGAUAUUGAUAAGCAUAGAUAUUCGGGAAAAAAAAUUCUACUUAACACUAUAACGAAUAGGAUACUUCUUUUAUUAGAGCGUUGUCAUGCUGAUGAUGUGCAAGAUAUCAUAAAUAAAGGGGAUCGUAGGGAACGAAAUGAAAUAAGUUUAAAGAAUUUGAAAGAAACUGAUUAUUCUCUUAUUCAACAACUCGGUGUGCAAUUACAUUUUACACGAGGUCCAUGUAAUUAUAUUUGUCAUUAAGAAUGAGCAUUUGCCAAAAGAAGACACACAUGUCAUGACAAUGAGUGAUUGACAAGUGACAAAAUUGAUAGACACCCGCCGAAUAUGUCACAACACAAACUUCUAAAAUUGCUACAGGAAAUGAAAUAUAACGAUGCACGAUGCCCAUCCAAGUUGUUUACUUGUAUUGUCCAACUGUAAAUGAGUACAGACAUGGUACCAUCAAUCGUUGUUAUUAAACUAGUCAUUGACCUCAGUCACUCCUUCAUAACCACAUAAUAAGGAGUGGCUAUUUAUUUAAAAUAUGAAGUGGAAAAUUGAAUUAAUUUAUUUGAAAUAGAAAUGGUCACAAGAAAAUUUUGAAUUAAUUUCUUGAAACAGGAUCCUACAAAUGAAGUGUUUUAAUUUUGUAAUUUAUUAUUAUUAUUGUUAUUUUGUUUUUAAAUAUUAAAAAGAAAAAAAGAAAAAAUUGGUUUGUCUUUAGUUUCUAGCGGACAUCAGAUUCAUCAUAAUAAGCGUACCCUUGUCCAUGUAUAAAUUGCAUUUGCCUCUGUUGUGAUGUGAAGCAAAUCUGUUGGUGAAAACGUCAGCUGAUGCUGCGUUUUGGGAAGUCAAACUCGUGCUUCCUGGAACGACGUGAAUGAAGGUCGUUUUGGUUAAGUGAUGCACGAGAGUUUCACGUGCACGAAUAAGUUGUGUUCUAGGUUCGUUAGAAUCAGUUAACUCACAUGAUUGUCACGUGAUUUUCUGGGUUGGUUGCUGAUUCGUUAACGAGCUGUUAUAUACAGCUGAUUCUGGCAACAGAGAGCGAGGACGUGAGAGCUACUGUGAGUUGAGAAGAUUGAAAACCAAAGGCUUCUUGAGAGACUCUGUAACAAGCUUGAUAAACUCUCUGUAACUUCUUUGAACAAUCAAUAUAAUUGGGUUCUGUUUCUCCCGUGGAUGUAAGCUAGACUGAAACUAGCUGAACCACGUUAAUUCUUGUUCUUUUCUUUAAUUCUUUCAGUUCUAAUAAUCUAUGUGUAUUCUGCUGGAUUGAUUCUUGGUGCAUCUUGUUUGUUUGAUUGUGAUCUUGGGAAGUGUUUUGAGUUGAUUGGGAUAGUUAGUCACUCUUAAACACUACAAUUGGUAUCAGAGCCUGGAUUACAAAUCAGACACAAGUAUGGCUGGUUCAAAGAUCGAUCUAGAGAAGUUUACAGGGAAGAAUGACUUCAAUAUGUGGAAGGUUAAGAUGGAGGCACUACUGAUCACUCAAGGGCUAGGUGAUGCCUUAGAACCUAUCAUCAAGAAAGAAGGAUUAGAAGCCUCCACAUCAUCAUCAUCACUAACACCACAACAAGCUGCUGAGAUUGACAAAAAGGCAAGGAGUACCAUAAUCUUGAGUCUUGGAGACUCGGUGAUCAGGGAAGUUGCUAGAGAAAGAACAGUGGCUGAUCUGUGGGCAAAACUUGAAAGGGUGUAUAUGACUAAAUCAUUAGCCAACAGACUUUACAUCAAGAAGAGGAUGUUCACGCUAAAAAUGGCUGAAGGAUCAUCUCUUGAAGACCACAUUGAUGAAUUCAACAAAGUCUGUGAUACACUGGAAAUAAUUGAUGAAGGUUUAGAUGAUGAAGGUAAAGCAUUGCUUCUGGUCAGUUCACUUCCACCCUCAUAUUCAAACUUUGUCGAUGCACUCAUGUAUGGGAGACAAACUUUAUCAUUGGAUGAAGUUAAGGCUGCCCUAAAUACUAGAGGGCUGCAAGAAAAGUCAAGGAAUAUGAACUCUGGAGAAGUGCUGGCAGUAAAAGCAAGAACUGAUAAGUAUGAUGGAAAAAAAAAGAAGCAAGGGAACAACAAACAAAAGACUAAAGGCAAGAAAUGUUUUCAAUGCCAGAAAGAAGGGCAUUUCAAGAGAGAUUGCCCAGAACUCAAGAACAAGAAAAGGGAACAAAAUGGAGCUGCUGCUACUGCUGAGGAAGAAGGGUAUGAGUCAGCAGGAGUAUGUGUGGCUACAGAUCAUGUGCAAAAAGGUACCUGGAUUCUAGACUCAGGUUGUACAUUUCAUAUGUGCCCCUUUAAAGACUACCUAUUAAACUAUCAUGAAACUGAUGGUGGAAAAGUUAUGAUGGGUAACAAUGCUGUCUGUAAGAUUGUGGAGAUAGGAAAUGUAAACCUAAAACUGCAUGAUGGAACAAUUAGAGAAUUAAAGGAAGUUAGGUAUGUGCCUGAACUUAAAAGGAACUUAAUAUCUCUAGGUAUGCUUGACCAAAUGGGGCUUAGUAUUAAGCUUGAAUCUGGUGAGCUGAGAAUCUCAAAUGGAGAUGGGGUAGUUAUGAAAGGUUACAAGAGAAAUGGAGUUUAUAUUUUGAAUGGGGAAACUAUAACUGGUGUGUCAGGAGUAUCAAUAAGUUCAAGUUGUGAUAACACUUUGCUGUGGCACCUUAGAUUAAGACAUAUGAGCUUGAGAGGUCUGAAAGAAUUACAGAAGCAAGGGGUUCUAGGCAGCAGUCAAAUCUCAGAACUGGAUUUUUGUGAAGACUGUGUACUAGGCAAAGCUACAAGAAAUAGCUUUGGGAAAUCAGUUCAUUCCACCAAGGGCAUCCUUGAAUACAUACACUCAGAUUUAUGGGGACCAGCACAGACAGUUUCACUAGGCGGCAACACCUAUUUCUUGUCUUUAAUAGAUGAUUAUUCAAGGAGAGUAUGAGUUUAUGUCUUAAAACACAAAGAUCAGGUAUUUGGCAAAUUCAGAGAGUGGAAAUCCCUGGUUGAAAAUCAAACUGGAUUGAAGGUGAAGAAACUCAGAACUGACAAUGGUCUUGAGUUUUGCAAUCAGGAGUUUGAUAGCUACUGUGCAGAUAAUGGCAUUGCAAGGCAUAGAACUGUAAGGUUGGCUCCUCAACAAAAUGGAUUAGCCGAAAGAAUGAACAGAACCCUGAUGGACAGAGUAAGAAGCAUGAUGAUCCAGUCACAACUUCCCAAAGGAUUGUGGGCUGAGACUCUGUUAACAGCAAGCUAUCUGGUAAAUCUAAGUCCCUCUGCAGCACUUGACUUCAAAACCCCAUUUGAGAAAUGGCAUGGAAAACCAGCAGACUAUGGCAGCCUCAAAGUAUUUGGAUGUCCAGCCUAUGCACAUGUGAGUUAAGGGAAGUUAGCUCCAAGAGCCCUUAAAGGAAAGUUCAUUGGGUAUCCUGAAGGUGUUAAGGGAUUCAAACUAUGGUGUACAGACCUUAAUCCUCCCAGGUGUAUUAUCAGUAGAGAUGUAAUAUUCAAUGAGAAAGCUGCACUGGAAAUGAAGAAAUCUACUGACACAGAUGCACAAAAGGAUAAGGAGAGAACCAAGGUUCAGUUUGAGGUGGAGCCCUACACUAGAGAAGCUUCAAAAGAUAAUGAGGAAUCUUAUCAAGGAGCUGCUGAUGAAGAAACUGAUCAUGGAAAGCAGACUGAAGCUCAACAUCAGGAGUACCAACUAACAAGAGACAGAGAAAGAAGGAAAGCAAAAGCACCUGUCAGAUAUGGAUAUGCAGAUCUGAUAGCCUAUGCAUUGACAGCAUCUCACCAAAUUGAUGAUGAACCCAAGAACUACAAAGAGGCUAUCCAAGGACCAUACAAAGAUGAGUGGAAAAAGGCCAUGGAUGAAGAAAUAUAUUCACUGAAGAAGAACAAUACAUGGGAGCUGGUUAAAAGACCUGCCAACAGCAGAACAGUAGGAUGUAAAUGGAUUUACAAAGUCAAAGAUGGACUAACAGCUAUUGAACCUAGAAGAUUCAAAGCUAGGUUAGUAGCUAAGGGUUACACACAGAGGGCUGGAGUGGAUUUCAAAGAGGUGUUUUCACCAGUAGUCAGACACACAUCAAUCAGAGUGCUACUGGCUUUAACAGCUGUAAAAGACAUGGAGCUUGAUCAACUCGAUGUCAAGACAGCCUUUCUACAUGGAAGACUAAAUGAGGACAUCUUAAUGACACAGACUGAAGGGUACACAAGUCCUGAAUCUGUUGACUGUGUGUGUCUGCUAAAGAGGUCACUGUAUGGGCUAAAACAAUCACCCAGACAGUGGUACCUUAGGUUUGAUGAGUUUAUGGUCACUCAUGGGUAUCUAAGGUGCAGCUAUGAUGUAUGUGUUUACUACAAGAUCAUACAAUCAGGUAACUACAUAUAUCUGCUGUUAUAUGUAGAUGAUAUGUUGAUUGCUUGUAAUGAAAGGGAAGAGAUUGAGGCUUUGAAGCAACUGCUCAAUUCAGAAUUUGAUAUGAAAGAAUUGGGUCCAGCUAGGAAGAUUUUGGGUAUGGAAAUAAUAAGGAACAUGAAGAAGGGUACUAUGAUUCUGUCUCAAGAGAAGUAUCUAGAGAAGGUACUGGGAACUUUUGGGAUGUCAAACAGCAAGUCAGUAGUAACCCCUCUUGCAUCUCACUUCAAGCUGUCAUGUUCACAAUGCCCCAGUACAGAUGAAGAGAGAAAUGAAAUGACAAAGGUUCCUUAUGCAAAUGUUGUUGGUUGCAUGAUGUAUGCAAUAGUACUUACAAGACCAGACUUAGCUCAUGCUUUAAGUGUUGUAAGUAGGUUUAUGGCUACACCUGGAAAGGAGCACUGGAAGGCUGUUAAAUGGGUGCUGAGGUAUCUGAAGGGUACACAACAGUAUGGGCUGGUAUACGGAAAAUCAGCUGGGAAGGUUGCAGGUCUCUGUGGUUAUGUUGACUCAGACUAUGCUGGGGACUUAGACAGAAGGAGAUCUUUAACUGGCUAUAUGUUUUUCCUGAAUGGUUGCCUUGUUAACUGGAAGGCAAGUUUGCAGCAUGUUGUUGCCUUGUCAACAACAGAGGCUGAAUAUACUGCUGCAACAGAAGCUGUCAAGGAAGCUCUGUGGCUGAGAGGGUUGAUAACAGAACUGGGGAUGACGCAGGAGACUGUGGAAGUUCAUUGUGACAGCUCAAGUGCAAUUUACUUGAGUAAGAACCCAGCUCACCAUGAAAAAACUAAACACAUAGAUAUCAAGUUACAUUUUAUCAGAAAUGUGAUCUCUAAAGGUGUGCUUAGCAUGGUGAAAGUGCAUACAGAUGAUAAUCCUGCUGACAUGCUUACUAAGGUUGUAACUACAGCUAAGUUCAAGAGUUGCUUGGACAAAGCUGGGCUGAGUGAAUUCUAAAUACUCAGGUUGGAGAAAUCAGGAUCAGGAAGUGAUUUGUUCAAGGUGGAGAAUUGUUGUGAUGUGAAGCAAAUCUGUUGGUGAAAACGUCAGCUGAUGCUGCGUUUUGGGAAGUCAAACUCGUGCUUCCUGGAACGACGUGAAUGAAGGUCGUUUUGGUUAAGUGAUGCACGAGAGUUUCACGUGCACGAAUAAGUUGCGUUCUUGGUUCGUUAGAAUCAGUUAACUCACAUGAUUGUCACGUGAUUUUCUGGGUUGGUUGCUGAUUCGUUAACAAGCUGUUAUAUACAGCUGAUUCUGGCAACAGAGAGCGAGGACGUGAGAGCUAUUGUGAGUUGAGAAGAUUGAAAACCAAAGGCUUCUUGAGAGACUCUGUAACAAGCUUGAUAAACUCUCUGUAACUUCUUUGAACAAUCAAUAUAAUUGGGUUCUGUUUCUCCCGUGGAUGUAAGCUAGACUGAAACUAGCUGAACCACGUUAAUUCUUGUUCUUUUCUUUAAUUCUUUCAGUUCUAAUAAUCUGUGUGUAUUCUGCUGGAUUGAUUCUUGGUGCAUCUUGUUUGUUUGAUUGUGAUCUUGGGAAGUGUUUUGAGUUGAUUGGGAUAGUUAGUCACUCUUAAACACUACAGCCUCUGAAUUCUUCAAUAAUUGAAAAAGAUGGGUGCUCGUGGGACACUCUCAUUUAUGAUACAAUUUAGGAAUAAGAACUUAAUGACGCAACCAUCACCAACAGCCUCUUUUUUGGAGGUACUCGGAUGGCUAUUAUUACCAUUUAAAAGAUAGCAUAAAUUUUGUAGAUUGCCAGCUAUGGCCGAGCUUUUAAAUUUUUUUUAUUUUUUUUAGAGAAGAAGAAAAAUAGCCAUUUAAAAGAUAACAUAAAUUUUCUAGAUUGGCAGUUAUGUUUGAGUUUUCAAAUUUGUUUCAGAAAAAAAGAUACUUAUGCCUUUGAGAUUUAGAAAAACAAUCACACAAAUUCUCAAAUUUUUAAUAAGAUUAAUCAAGACCUCUUUUUAUUAUAAUAUCUUUUAAUUUUAUAACUAAAAAAUUUGGCUAUAAUAUUUUAUAAUAAAAAAUAACUAAAAUGACCCGCCUCGAAUCUCCAGGACAAGUCUAUCUAAUCUCGCCAACCGAAUUAAUAAUAAUCUAAUAUCUAGAAUUCUACCAAAAAUUCGGCAAAAUCUCUUAUAUAAUUAUGACAUUCCCAAACUUGCAAUUUAUAAAAUUUAACACUCCUAAAAAAUGAUACAAUAUUCAAUCAACCUCCACAACCAACUUGUUCAAUCAAAUACCAAUAUCCUUCAAACAUAUAAUGUCAAGAAUAUAAUAAUUUAUCUUUAAUCACAAAUAAGUAAUAAAUUAUACAAUUCAAAAUAUCCUAACAAAAUAUCUAUGAUUCCUAACAUCAUCACAUGACCAUAAUUUUAAAUUUAACUAUCGUUGUUGGGUCGACUGAUGUACCUGCAUAUCUUUUGGGAGGGGGGGGGAGGGAAUAUAAUAAAAAAAUGUGAGUAUAAAAUUCAGUGAGCUCAGUUGAGUAUAUUAUGAAAAAAAAUAAAUUUACUUAAAAUAAUCUAAUCUUUCCCAAAUCAAUUUCAUCAAAAUAUCAUAAGAACUUAAAUAAACUUAUUUAAUUUAAAUCAUGUUUUAAUAUAACAAUAAUACAUAAUACGGCAUGAAAAUCAAGGAAAACAUGAUACUUAUAAUAGCAAACACCAAAUACCGAAUCUAUCACCAAACAAGUACUCAGGGGAAUAAUCUCAUCAUAUCCAGACCUCGACGGAUCGGCAAUCAGAGAACCAUCAUGGCCCGAAGCUAUACGGAUAGACGGGGAAGUACUAUCUCAUAUCUCAUCAUAUAUGUGCAUGCAUAAUCUAGUCUCCAAAGGACAAGGCGCCCAAGAAUACGGUCCAAAGCUUGUGUGUGUACUCAGAGGAGCCCCAAAGACCUAUAUUUCAUCUGUAUCAUCAUAUCUCAUCUGUAUCUCAAUAUCUAUAUCUCUGUAAUCAUCAUACUACAUGCAUAUGCCCCUAAAAGGCAAAAAUGCCCAAACACAAGACCCAAAGCCUCUAUGUGUGUUCAAACGGGCCCUAAAAGCUUCUCAUCUCAUCCGUAUCACUGUAUUUAGAUGGAAAGAGUAUUGUUUAAUGAGUUUAAAAACAUCUUAUACACAUAUACAUAAACAUAAAAUGACACUUAAAUCUCAUUUCCUUUUCAUGUAACAUACUUUAAAUCUACUUUAUUCUCUUUAAAACCAUUACCGUGCAUUUACUGAAAAAUGAUAAUAAAAUCAUUAAUCAAACUCAUUUUUUGUAAUAAUAAAUAUCAACAUAUAGACAAAAAUCCAUUUUUUAGAAAGUUAUUAAAUUCGAGUGUUAAAUACUUAUUUAUCAAACAUGUUGUACUGUAUCAUAAAAUCAUAAUAUAUUAUGAAAAUCGGUUUUGUAUAUUCCACUCAUAGUGACGAUAUUCGAGUUCGAUAUCGUCAAUGUCUGUGGGUUGAUUCUUGUUCAUGGAUCCUCCUAAUAUAAUGAAAUAACAUAAUCAUUCUCUUAAAUAUGAAAUACAACUAAUUUUACGUAAUAAAUUUCGAAACGAAUAUCUAUCAAUAAUAAACUAUUCCCGUAUGCAUAAAAUUACCAAAAUACCCCAUGCAUGCCAAAAUUACCAAAAUGCCCCUGAUAUCAAUAUUUACCAAAUUAUCCUCAUAAUCCUAAAUUACCAAGCUGACGUCAAUUCAGAUCACAAAAAUAACCACAAUGUUAGAAAUUAUGAAAUUACCCUUAGAGAAUGUCCUUAACAACGUAAAUUACUGAAUUACCCCCGUAAUCUCAAAUUACCUAACUGCCUUAGUCCAAAAUUACUAAACUAUCCACCAAUUUUGGAAAUCACAAAAUUAUCCCCCACCGUUUUGUGAAAUUACCGAACUACUCUUGGCAGUUAACGGUGACCGGACUUCGGUCGACGGCGACGAGAAGAUCAGAUCUGAUAGUUCUUAUCUCAGUGAGUCCAAUGGUGCCGGCGGUGACCACCCACGCGCGCCGACGGUGGUAGAUCGAGCUUCCCUAGUCGCGAGCUUUUCGGUGGUCGAUCGGUGGAAUUCCAACUGUUUCAGGCAGCGAGUUUGGUUGGAAAAUGAUGAGGGUGAGCUGAGGAACAAGAUCCAAGCAGUGGCGCGGCCUAAUUCCGGCGAAAUCAAUGGCGACGAAAACGAGUUGAGAUGUGGGUUUUUCAAGCUUGAUCGCCGGCAUUCUACCCAUUUUCCGAUGAGGUGACCGGAAUCGGUGGCUGGAGUUGGGUCGGGUUGCGCGAUUUCGGGUCGGGUCAGGUCAAACUCUGUCAGCUUCUCUCUUUCUCAAUUUAUACAACCAAUUCUCUUUUUUUUUUUUCAAAGCUUAAUACAAAUUAAGCUAAUACUGAACCCAUAUUGAGAAAAAAAUCUGACUACCCAACCUUUUAAUCACGCUCAAUUUGUCUUGAUUUAUUGUCGCGACAAAUUUAAAAUAAUCCAAACACAAUAUAUAUUAAUAAAUAUGUAACAUUUAACAACCAUCCCCCAUAAUAUCGGGAAAAAUUUGAGUUGCAUCAACUUCACUGUAAAAAUUCGUAACGAGUCUACUAAAUUUAAAAUUAAUGCCAAAGGAGAAAAAUAAAAUGAUACACUUAAUUAGCAAAUUUAAAGCGCAUAUAUUACAAUAACAUUAAAAUAAAUGAAAUAAUAUAUACAUUUAAAUAUUUUAAUAUUUAAAAAUUAUUUUAAUAUUUACAAUCUAUUAGAUAUAUUUUAUUAUAUUAAAGCAAAUUUUUAAUAAUAAAUAGAAACAUAAUAUUGAAUAUUUUGUACAAUUUUAACAUUAUUAAUGAAGAGAUUUUGUUAACUUUAAAAUCUAUUUAACUCAAAUAUUUAUUUAAAAUUAUUUUAAUAUUUACAAUCUAUUAGAUAUAUUUUAUUAUAUUAAAGCAAAUUUUUAAUAAUAAAUAGAAACAUAAUAUUGAAUAUUUUGUACAAUUUUAACAUUAUUAAUGAAGAGAUUUUGUUAACUUUAAAAUCUAUUUAACUCAAAUAUUUAUUUAAAAUCUUUGUAAUAAAUCCAAAUAUAUUAUUAAAUUUAAUAAUUUUAAAUGUAAAAAUAUUUUAAUAUUACUACUCUAUAGAUAUAUUUUAUUCUUUUAUAUUAUUUUUGUAUUAAAUAAAAAUUUUAAAGUUAAAUUUUUAGUUACUAUAUUCAAAGUGUAUUAUGAUUAAAAAAGGAUCCUAAAGUCUAUAUAAUCAUUUUUAAAAAUUUUAAAAGUGUAAGUGUCGAUUUUUCUUUUUUGUUUUAUAAUUCUUUUCAUGCAAAAAUUAUAUUCACGUUUUUUUAACUUCUCAUUAAUGCAUUUUCAUUGCCAGGGUUUCUGCGUUUUCAACAAAAAAUCUAGUGAAGAAACUGGAAAAUGUUGGAGGAAACGCUAAUGCAUAAUACGUACAACCUAAUAAACAAGUUGUUGGAGCGUACGGCUAUAGCAAUUUGUUUAUGGUCAUCUGUGCUUCUGUAUACUAUUAGUAAAUCUAUUUUGCAAUGAACCCAAAUAAUCAAAUUGUCCCGUGGCACUUACGGUCCAUGGAUCUAAUAAUUUUUGCUUCUUUUUAUUUAUUUAUUUAUUGCAUAUCAUAACCUGUCAGUCUCAUAAUAUUGUCCAACAAGAUUGCCUUUUUGAAAAAUUUCACAUAAAUCGGACACGGAUGAUUAUGUUAUCCUUUAAUUUUUCUAACGAAUAUAAUUUUCACUGUCAUUUUGUGUUUUGGAUAGGUGGAAUGACAGUGACCUGACUGAAAAAUAUGUUAUCUGGACGACGAACGACCAAGUCAAAGUCUUUUAAGUGUACAGUCCAACUCCUUUUAAAUAGCAAUUGAAUUCUGCACUUUAAGCAAUAAGUUACUCGGCCAAAUUUGCAGAAAUAUUUCAAAGUUUAAUUCUUCACUUGGAUUUUUCAUUGCUGAUCAUGUAAGUUAGUUGUUAUUAUUAUUAUUAUUUUUUUCACCACGGUAACUCCUGUGCUUACACUUUUCGCGGAGCUAGUUCUAUUUUCUUAAUGUUCUAAUUUUCAAUGAAUGUAUUUGGACAAAGCCACGAACUUGUCUUUUAGAGGACUUAACUUGUAUUAAUAUUGCUGAUAUAUUCCUUAUAAAUCAAAAAGAG
RNAcentral lists this long non-coding RNA (149411 nucleotides) under Citrus maxima (pomelo). RNAcentral's name for it is "long non-coding RNA (CMAX_LNC004027)". Lineage: Eukaryota; Viridiplantae; Streptophyta; Magnoliopsida; Sapindales; Rutaceae. The record is from RNAcentral.